Molecule: long non-coding RNA, 98392 nt
Filed under: Hordeum vulgare
Lineage: Eukaryota; Viridiplantae; Streptophyta; Magnoliopsida; Poales; Poaceae
Description: long non-coding RNA (HVUL_LNC006141)
Source: RNAcentral
GCUCCGGCGACCUCUGCGACACGGAGCUCAGGUGCGAACGUGACACGCGCAUGGGCUCUGGCGUCAUCGAGCUAACCAAGAACGAGAUAAACGGCAACGUCUUAAGCGUCGGUCGGGCAUCGUACGCGCGCCCGGUGAUGCUCUGGGACGACGCCUCCGGCGAGGUUGCCAGCUUCUCCUCUAGCUUCACGUUCCAGAUCAAGCCCAAAAACAGCUCGGACGACCAUUUCGACCUAUGUAACUUCACUACCGCUGCCGACGAUAAUGCUGACGGUAUGUCUUUCUUCCUGGCGCCCUACCCGUCGAGGAUCCCUCCCAACAGUUGGGGCCCCAACUUCGCCCUCUUCAAUACGAGCAACUGCUUCAAUGCCACCGGCGAUGACCGGAUAGUCGCCGUGGAGUUCGAUACCUACCUCAACGACUGGGACCACAGCGACAACCACGUCGGCAUAGACGUCAACUCCAUCGACUCCAAGUCCUACAUGAACGUGACCAAGCGUAUGGUCUCCGACGACGCCACCAUGACUGCUGAGAUCAGCUACGACAACCGCACGGGUAUCCUGGUGGCUCGAGUCCAGAUGGACGGCGACGAGCGGAUUUACAACGUAAACACGUCGCUGGACAUGAAGAGAGAGCUGCCCCUACAAGUUGCAGUUGGCUUCAGCGCAGCAACGGGUUUCUGCGCCGAGCUGCAUCAGGUGCUGUCUUGGUCGUUUAGCUCCACUAUAGACGAUGAUGCCACCGCGACAGCAAGUACCGUUCCCCGGCUGCGACGUCGAUCACUGGUGCCUGUGCUAGUGCCUUCCGCGGCAGCUUUUCUCGUGUUGCUCUGCGGCGGCGCCGUCAUAGUCCGUCAGCGGCGCAAGCGUGAGCAAGCUGAGUUCGAGAAAGGUGUAGGCCCUAGACGGUACCGUUACCAUGAGCUCGCGGCCGCCACCAAGGGUUUUGCGAAGGAGGGGAAGCUCGGGCGUGGUGGCUUCGGCAGCGUCUACCAGGGCAGCGGUCUUAGCGACCAAGACAGCCUCGUGGCCAUCAAAAUGUUGUCUCCGGAAUCGUUUACGCAGGGGAGGAGAGAGUUCGAGUCAGAGGUGAAGAUCAUCAGCCGGGUGAGGCACCGCAACCUUGUGCACUUGCUAGGCUGGUCCGACAGCAAAAGAGGGCUCCUGCUCGUCUACGAACAUCUGUCGGAAGGCAGCCUCGACAAGCACAUAUACAACACCAAUCGUCCUCUCACUUGGUCAGAAAGGUAUGGAAUUUCUCCAUUUUUUGGGAUCAUUAUAUUACCAACAUUGGCUGUAAUUCAAUCACAAGGCAAUGAACCUGGUCUAACCGAUUCAAUUAACACACAUACAUAUAGUAUAUAUGUACAGUCAAUGUUUUAAAUAGCGGGCUACGGCAAAUAGCGGCGAGCCUCUAAAUCAGCUAUAGCGGCGUAUUUGUACAUGAUACCAUUUAGCGACACCUUGUUAAAAAGGCUAUAGCGGGGCUAUAACGGGCUAUUUAAAACUAUAUGUACAGAUCCAAAAUUAUCCUUGGGCUGGGAUCUGCACUACGCUAUCUCCACACAGAGUGCGAUCAAUGCGUACUGCAUGGUGACAUCAAACCCAGCAACAUGCUCCUCAUCUCAUCACGCGGCACCAAGCUGGCGGAUUUCGGGCUGGCGAGGCUUGUGGAUCAUGGAGCAGGGCCGCAAACGACUAAUAUCAUCAAGGGCACCGAAUGGUACAUUGACCCGGAGUUUAUUCGCUCACGCCGGCCGAGUACCGAAGCGGACGUCUACAGCUUCGGCAUCGUUCUGUUGGAGGUUGUGUCCGGUAAAUCCCCAGGGAUGGGGAUGGAACACCGGGUCGACGAAGUCAGCCCGCUGCUCAUGUGGAUCUGGGACAUGUACGAGAAGGGCACCAUCCUUGACGCAGUGGCUAACAUGUUACCCGGUGGUAACCAGCAACUCGACGACGACUGUAAGCGGCAGAUGCGCCGUGCAUUGGUCGUCGGACUCUGGUGCACGCACCCACGCAUUGGCACGCGACCGUCCGUUGUGGAGCUCAUGAACGUCUUGCAAUCUGAGGAUGUCAUGCUGCCGACCCUGUCAUGGUCGAUGUCCGGCGGUUCCCUUGGAUCACACGGACAUAAUGCAUCGACAUCGGCCAAUUGAUGUUUGCAGUAUUGCUUCUUUGGGCAAUCAGUGGCAAAUGACCAAAUUUACUUUACUGGAGAGACUCUGAUAUAAAAGAAGGAUCACUGAUAAUGGUAGUUGUUCAACUAAAAAUAAUGGAAGUGUUAAACGUGCUAUAUCCAUACUGUUGGCAGGAGUUCUAGUCAACUACGCUUGUCCAUGUAUGCAUGCAUUACCCAGAUGGCGUGGAAACAUUUGAGGGAAACAUGUGUCCAACUCUCAUCACCAGAAGCCACUUGACCCAUGGGUGAGCGCACAUGGACCUUAACACCACACCGGUAGCCGGUGGCUCGUCAUCCGGUGGGACGAGGAAACGCGCGCGGGAAAUGUCAACCGACAUACUCUGCGGCGCGCACGAUCUGUUCAACGAAACGCCCGUAGCCAACGACGACGAGAAGACCAACCACUUCAUACAGAGCAUCAUCUUCGAGGGUGCUCCGGCGGUCGUAGGUGGUGCUGGCUACGAUCUUGAUGAGAUCCAAUGCUAGGACGGUCGAGGCGGACUCUUCACGCCGUUGACCCAUGACCAGGCUGACAUGCAGCCCGCGUUCGUGCAAGAUCAGGUCGUCCUGGACCUGAACAGCUUCCCGCUCGACCACGUGUUUUCGGAUGACUACGGCCUUGAGGAAGAGGAUGAGGUGGACAUCGAAUGAGUGCCUGAGGACGAGCUCGCCACCCAAGCCGUCGGGGUGCAUCCCAAGCGAAAGAGCAGAUGGACGAAGGCAUACACGGCGGCCGAGGACAAGCUUCUUUGUGAGUGUUUGAGGGACAUUGGGCAAGACCCCUUCUCUUCGUCGAAGCUGGCUUUGUAUGUCGGCUGCUAGUAUGGUACCGGCAUGAACUUUGGACGACGGCAUGGUCGCUCGCUUGAUCUACUUUUCAAAAGUGUGCGCGGACAUAAAAUGGGUCACGGAUGUUGGACCCACUGCCGACCCAAAUCUUAAAUAGGACGGACGUCGAGCGGACGGCCGACCCAAACACACAAAUAGCGCCAAAAUUUGUAUCCUCCAAUAAAUGUUGACAAUAUAUAUCGUCCUUGGUUGGACGGUAUUUUAAAUAGAUUCAAAACGAUAGUAAGGAUGGAAAUGUAUGCCUUACUUUGACCGUUUUGGCUAUGUAAAAAUAUUUUAGUUUUUAAAUGACAAAAAUGCUUCUCUCUACCUUUUAUUUUUCUUUGUACGCACUCACUUCGUAUGUGGUCUAACUACAACGACCGGAACGGAUGGUUAGGAUGUUUUUUCGUAAUUUGGACGACAACAUAACUGCAGAUCGUUGUACAACCACUUUGGACAUAGGUAUAGUGUCGGUUGACUCUACUAUUGUUGAUUUGUCGGUUUUAUUACAUUUCCUAUUAUCAGCCUUUUGAUGUUUGGAUGUAUGCAUCCUAAUUAUGCAGCUGACAAGUGUUACUCAUAAUAUUUUGAUCCUGUUUGGAUACUUUAACUCGGUUAGAGGUUAGAGUUAGAUUUUAACCCUAGACUAACCAUGAACUAACUCUAACCAAAGAGAUGUUUGGAUGACAGGGUUAGAUUUUUAAUAAAUGCAUCUUUUCUAAUUAUUUGGCUCCUUUAAUCAGGACUUGGUGUGGUGGAGGUACAUGGAAAAGUAAUUUGUUUUGGGUUCCACCUAACUCUAACCCAAAUAAGCACCUCUUGAAUGGAUUAGUUCUUUUAAAUGGGUUAGAUGCAUCUAACCAACUCUAACCCUUCUGUUUGGAUGUUUUACGAUUAGAUUGGUACAAUCUAACCAACUCUAACUUUAAUCCAUAGAUCCAAACAAGACCUUUGUAUCCAUUUGAUGCUAGUAUAUUUUAAAAUAAUUAAAGUGCCCUUUUAUCAAAAAAAAAUGUAUUGGAUCGCCUGCAAAUGUGUACGUAGAGGGCGUAGACACUUUAGUAUAUUCGAUAUUCGAUCGGUUCGGGUGCAUAGUGGGAUCGACAUAUAUGGCCUUUAGUUCCCAGCUUUCCAGGGGCGUGCUGCUUGCCUCUGCAGGGACACACACCAUCAUCGUCAUCAUUUCCCCUGAAAAUGCAUGAUUCCACCUAUUGCUACGAAAAUUAUGUUUCUACCUUAACUAUAUCAUCAUGUAGUACUACAGCUUGCUAAUCUACCAACUUUUGACAACAAUGUGUCACCUUAUCGAUCUCUAGCUAGCGUACGUACGUGCGUGCUUGAUUAGCUUGCUGGAGCGUCUGUGAUGAUCAGCUGUUAUUUGGAGCAUGCAGAUCAGCUAGUGUUUGUGCUCGCACAUGUUGAUCUGCUUUGUGCUCGAUCGCUAGAUCUCCCCGCUGUGAGCUGAAUAGUGUAUUGAACGGUCCCCAGGUAUCCGUGUUUACUUAACUCCGAACCCCACAUGCACGCGUGCAUGUGAUAAUGAACCAAGAGGAGGAGUAGCGUCAAUCUGAAUCAGCAGCUAGCUGUAAUGUCGACGCUUUCGGGUGACACGAGAAUACUCUUCUUCUCUUUGGAUGCAUGGUCCAAAAAAUACCUGAGGAGAUGGAGAGGGAUUAAGCAGGCAGCAAAAUCUCAUCCCAAAAGCGAGAGCAGAGCCGGUCGAUGGAGAGGCCGACAAAUUAAAGGGAUGGAUCGAUGGAUGGAUGUGGUAGCACUAGCUAGCAACCAUCCAUGAUGGAUGCGCGCACCAUCAUCGUCGCCACUCUCCACCGGUUGCGUCGCAUCCUAUCGUCGCUUUUCCCGGCCGGCCGGUAUUUGCGUACCUUGGGUUUCCAAAAAGGAGUGCAGCACCACAUGAUAUAUUUCACUCCUCAUGUCCAAACCACCAUACGUAUACAUGGAUCAGCUGGCCUGAUUUACUACUCACCGUAGUUUACCCACUCUUCAGUCAUUACUAUGGCCCUGUUUGGACACUCUAACCUGGUUAAAGUUAGAGUUAGAUUCUAACUCUUGAACUAACCUAAACUAACUCUAACUCUAGAGGUGUUUGGAUGAGAGGGUUAGAUGGACAAUAAAUGCUUUUUUUAAUCAUUUGGCUAUUUUGAACCUCUCUCUUUCUCUGGACCCCACCUACUCUAACCCAAAAAAGCACCUCUUGGGUGGGUUAGAGUUUUUGAUUGGGUUAGAUACAUCUAACCAACUCUAAUCCACCUGUUUGGAUCUUUGAGGGUUAGAUGGCUUAAAUCUAACCCACUCUAACUCUAACCCUAGAAUCCAAACAGGGCCUAUGUGAUGGACAGUCCCCCAACAUACUUUCGCACUGGCUACGGCUGUGUUGAGGCGAGCUUCGUGCUCUUGGUGUUGCCUCGGUGCAUUUUUGCUAAAUGAUGCACAAUAAGCCUCCACAACUUGCUAAUCGUUCCAAAUUAACCCAACGGAGCUUCCAGUGAAGGUUCGUGUUUGGCACUCAUUCAUAGUGGAUGCUCAUGUGUUGCACCGUAGGUUCAAUACGCAUGUCCUUGAUGUGCGUUAGGUUGCUCGCAAAGUCUUGGUACUGUGAUCCCUUGACGACACCCCAUAACUACAUGUGUGCUACAUGGUGAUGGUCUUUUUAGUCUGCUAGCUAGGCCUGCCCUAUGUUCAGCGUCCUGUCCUUAUCUCCUUGUAACCUUGUUACUUGGAUGGUUUGGUCUAGUUCUUUUAUAGACGGGGCCAACUUGUUCAGUCUUUUUAUCCAGUAUUCCUUAUAAACAGGAACCCACUUCUGGCAAUAUAUUCAGGUGGAGGGACUCCUCUCCCGGUCAUUUUCUAAGAAUCCGCCCUAUAUUUUUGUUUACAUCGAUGUGUGGAUCACUUGGAUGCAGGGUUCCGUAAGACGAAUCUUGAUUAUGUUGAGCCAUAUAUGCUCAAAUACAACUUUGUAAUAACUGAAUAGAAUCACUUUGUGGUGUUCAUUUUCUUCUAGAAAACUUUUUAGAUAUGCAAACACUUUGAUGUCGCUCCAGAGGUUAUGCUUAAGCUUUGCUUAUGCAAUCAUGUAAAGACACAUGAUGUCUGCUACUAUAACACUUACAGCUUCAUUUUAUAUACGUGCUAAAAUGAUUUGCUGGAGAGCUAAUACCUUUAAAGAAAAGUAUAUUUUUCGUCGGUUAACUCUUGACUGAGUCUAGAUUUGGUGCCUCGACUCACGGACCACACAACUUGCAGCCCCCUCGACUCGAAUUUCACUGGUUUUGGUUUUGUCAUCCUGCUUUUCACCGAUGCUGACUAAAAUUUGUGUACUCUAUUCAAAUUCAUGAACUUUCUUGAAAUUGGGGUAUAGUUUUCAAAUACACGGACUUUCUUUCAAGUUUGUCCAAUUGUUUUUCAAAUUCGUAUAUUUUUUGAAAUCUGCAAACUUUUUGAAAUCCUCAUACUUUUUCCUGGUUUGUGUCCUUUUUUCGAAAUCCCGUACUUUUUUCAAGUAGCUAUAUUCUUUUUUAAUUUGCGUACUUCUUUUCAAAUCUGCGUAAUUUUUCAAGUUCACGUAAUUUUUCCAUAUCCAUGAUUUUUCCCAAACAAAAUAUGCCGAUUCGAAAAAGAACGUGAAUUUAAAGCAAAUAACAAACAUGAAAAGGGUGCACAAAUUUGUAAAGUGACACAAUUCCAAAAAGGUUCACGUAUUUGAAAAAGUACACGGAUUUUAGGAAAACAUAUGAUGGACAGUCAUCCACAUACUCCCGCAUUAUUUCGUUUGUGUGGAUGUUUGUGUGGAUCACUCGGAUGUCGACGCUAAGGGUCUCUCCCUUUUUUAAAAAAGCAUAAGGGGAAAUCGUAAAAACUCGCAGUUUUGUCCCAUUCCGGUCAGUUUUGUAUACUAUUACUCAUUAAUUUUGGUUCCCGCUACGGUCCAAACGUUUCGUUAACCCGUGGUCCGAUUACGGGGAACUCGUCGAAACUCGCAGUUUUGGUCUAUUCUGGCUAGUUUUGUAUGCUAGUACUCACUAACUUUGGGUCCCGCUGCGAUUUGAACGUUUCGGGAACCCUGGGGUCCGAUUACGUGGAAUUCGUCAAAAUUCACAGUUUUGGCUUAUUCCGGCCAAUUUUGUAUGCUAUUACUCACUGAAUUUGGGUCCCGAUGCCAUCCGAACGUUUCGGGAACCUCGGGGUCCGGUUAAGGGGAAAUCGUGAAAACUCGCAGUUUCGGCCUAUUCCGGCCAGUUUUGKAUGCUAUUACUCACUGAUUUUGGUUYCCRCUKMGAUCCGAACGUUUCGGGAACCUCGAGGUCCGGUUACGGRGAACUCGUCAAAACUCACAGWUUUUGUCUAUUCUGGCUAGUUUUGUAUGCUAUUACUCACUAAUUUUGGGUCUCGCCGCGAUCCGAACAUUUCGGGAACACCGGAAUCCGACUACGUNNNNNNNNNNNNNNNNNNNNNNNNNNNNNNNNNNNNNNNNNNNNNNNNNNNNNNNNNNNNNNNNNNNNNNNNNNNNNNNNNNNNNNNNNNNNNNNNNNNNNNNNNNNNNNNNNNNNNNNNNNNNNNNNNNNNNNNNNNNNNNNNNNNNNNNNNNNNNNNNNNNNNNNNNNNNNNNNNNNNNNNNNNNNNNNNNNNNNNNNNNNNNNNNNNNNNNNNNNNNNNNNNNNNNNNNNNNNNNNNNNNNNNNNNNNNNNNNNNNNNNNNNNNNNNNNNNNNNNNNNNNNNNNNNNNNNNNNNNNNNNNNNNNNNNNNNNNNNNNNNNNNNNNNNNNNNNNNNNNNNNNNNNNNNNNNNNNNNNNNNNNNNNNNNNNNNNNNNNNNNNNNNNNNNNNNNNNNNNNNNNNNNNNNNNNNNNNNNNNNNNNNNNNNNNNNNNNNNNNNNNNNNNNNNNNNNNNNNNNNNNNNNNNNNNNNNNNNNNNNNNNNNNNNNNNNNNNNNNNNNNNNNNNNNNNNNNNNNNNNNNNNNNNNNNNNNNNNNNNNNNNNNNNNNNNNNNNNNNNNNNNNNNNNNNNNNNNNNNNNNNNNNNNNNNNNNNNNNNNNNNNNNNNNNNNNNNNNNNNNNNNNNNNNNNNNNNNNNNNNNNNNNNNNNNNNNNNNNNNNNNNNNNNNNNNNNNNNNNNNNNNNNNNNNNNNNNNNNNNNNNNNNNNNNNNNNNNNNNNNNNNNNNNNNNNNNNNNNNNNNNNNNNNNNNNNNNNNNNNNNNNNNNNNNNNNNNNNNNNNNNNNNNNNNNNNNNNNNNNNNNNNNNNNNNNNNNNNNNNNNNNNNNNNNNNNNNNNNNNNNNNNNNNNNNNNNNNNNNNNNNNNNNNNNNNNNNNNNNNNNNNNNNNNNNNNNNNNNNNNNNNNNNNNNNNNNNNNNNNNNNNNNNNNNNNNNNNNNNNNNNNNNNNNNNNNNNNNNNNNNNNNNNNNNNNNNNNNNNNNNNNNNNNNNNNNNNNNNNNNNNNNNNNNNNNNNNNNNNNNNNNNNNNNNNNNNNNNNNNNNNNNNNNNNNNNNNNNNNNNNNNNNNNNNNNNNNNNNNNNNNNNNNNNNNNNNNNNNNNNNNNNNNNNNNNNNNNNNNNNNNNNNNNNNNNNNNNNNNNNNNNNNNNNNNNNNNNNNNNNNNNNNNNNNNNNNNNNNNNNNNNNNNNNNNNNNNNNNNNNNNNNNNNNNNNNNNNUUGGCCUAUUCCGGCCAGUUUUUAUGCUAUUACUCACUGAUUUUGGUUCAUCAGCGAUCCGAACGUUUAAGGAACCCGCGGUCCGAUUACGCGGAACUCGUCGAAACUCCCAGUUUUGGUCUAUUCUGGCAAGUUUUGUAUGCUAUUAUUACUCACUGGUUUUGGGUCCCGCUGCGAUCCGAACAUUUCGGGGAACCSAUGGGGUCCGGUUACGUCGAACUCGUGAAAACUCGCAGUUUUGGUGUAUUCCUGCCAUUUUUGUAUGCUAGUAGUCACUGAUUUUGGGUCCCGUUGUGAUCCGAACGUUUCGGUAACCCCGUGGUCCGUUACGGGGUAAUCGUCAAAUCGCAGUUUUGGCCUAUUGUGGCUAGUUUUGUAUGCUCUUACUCACUGAUUUUGGCCCCGCUGCGAUGCGAAUGUUUCAGGAAUCACGGGGUCCGGUUACGGGAAACUCGUCAAAACUCGCAGUUUUGGCCUAUUCUGGCCAGUUUUGUAUGCUAUUAGUCACCGAUUUUGGGUCCCGAUGCCAUGCUAACGUUUCGGGAACCCCGGGGUCCGGUUACGGGGAAAUCGUCAAAAAUCGCAGUUUUGGCCUAUUGCGACCAGUUUUGUAUGCUAUUAGUAAGUGAUUUUGGGUCCCGAUGAGAUCCGAAUGUUUCGGGAACCCUAGGAUCCGGUAACGGGGAACUCAUCAAAACUCGCAGUUUUAGCCUAUUCUAGCCACAUUUGUGUGCUAUUUGUCACUCAUUUUGGGUCCUCCUGCGAUCCGAACGUUUCGGGAACCCCGGGGUCCGGUUACACAUAACUCGUCAGAACUCGCAGUUUUGACCUAUUACGACUAGUUUUUUAUGCUAUUAGUAACUGAUUUUGGGUCCGGCUCAGAUCCGAAUGUUUCGGGAACCCUAGGGUCCGGUUACGUGGAACCACGGGUCCGGUUACGGGGAAUUCGUCAAAACUCAAUGUUUUUUGUCUAUUCUGUCUAGUUUUGUAUGCUAUUAGUUGAUACGUCUCUGUUGUAUCUAUAAUUUUUGAUUGUUUCAUGCCAAUAUUCUACAACUUUCAUAUACUUUUGGCAACUUUUUAUACUAUUUUUGGGACUAACAUAUUGAUCCAUAGCCCAGUGCCAGUUCAUGUUUGUUGCAUGUUUUUUGUUUCGCAGAUUAUCCAUACCAAACGAAGUCCAAAUGCAAUAAAAAACCUACGGGGAUUUUUUUGGAAUAUUUAUGAUUUUUGGGAAGAAGAAUCUAUGCAAAACGAUGCCUCAGGAGGUCACAAGCCCAGGAGGCCCCCCCUAGGGCGCGGCUGGCAGGCUUGUGACCAAUCCCUAAGGCGGUUGGGGCCCUUCUUUCGCCGGAAGAAAGCUAAUAUCCGGAAGAAAAUCGUGUUAAAAUUACAGCCCAAUCGGAGUUACGAUCUCCGGGAAUUUAGGAAACGGUGAAAGCGAGAAUCUGGGAGGGCCAAAACAGAAGGACACACAGAGAGAGAUCCAAUCUCGGAGGGGCUCUUGCCCCUACGCCGCCAUGGAGACCAUGGACCAGAGGGGAAAUCCUUCUCCCAUUUAGGGAGGAGGUCAAGGAAGAAGAAGAAGAAGGGGCGCUCUCUCCCCCUCUAUCCCGGCGGCGCCAGAACGCCGCCCGGGACAUCAUCGUGUGACGACGAUCUACACGAACACCUCCGUCAUCUUCACCAACACCUCCAUCAGCUUCCCCCAUCUAUAUUCAGCGGUCCACUCUCCCGCAACCCGCUGUACCCUCUACUUGAACAUGGUUCUUUAUGCUUCAUAUUAUUAUCCAAUGAUGUGUUGCCAUCCUAUGAUGUCUGAGUAGAUUUUCGUUGUCCUAUCGGUGAUUGAUGAAUUGCUAUGAUUGGUUUAAUUUGCUUGUGGUGAUGUUGCUGUCCUUUGGUGCCCAUCAUAUGAGCGCACGCGUGGAUCACACCAUGGGGUUAGUAGUAUGUUGAUAGGACUAUGUAUUGGAGGGCAAGGGUGAAAGAAGCUUCAUCCUAGCAUAGAAAUUGAUGCAUAUGGGAUUGAAGGGGAACUAAUAUAUCUUAUUGCUAUGGUUGGGUUUUACCUUAAUGAACAUUAGUAGUUGCGGAUGCUUGCUAAUAGUUCCAAUCAUAAGUGCAUAGAAUUCCAAGUAAGGGAUGACAUGCUAGCAGUGGCCUCUCCCACAUAAAACUUGCUAUCGGUCUAGUAACAUAGUCAAUUUCUUAGGGACAAUUCCGCAACUCCUACCACCACUUUUCCACACUCGUUAAACUAAUGUAAUUGUUUCUUCAUCUAACCAGCCCCUAGUUUUUAUUUACGUGUUCAUUCUUUCUUGCAAACCUAUCCUAUCACUCCUACAAAGUACUUCUAGUUUCAUACUUGUUCUAGGUAAAGCGAACGUAAAGUUUUCGUAGAGUUGUAUCGGUGGUCGAUAGAACUUGAGGGAAUAUUUGUCCUACCUUUAGCUCCUCGUUGGGUUCAACACUCUUACUCAUCGAGAAAGGCUACAAUUGAUCCCCUAUACUUGUGGGUUAUCAAGACCUUUUUCUGGCGCCAUUGCCGGGGAGCAAUAGCGUGGGGUGAAUAUUCUCGUGUGUGCUUGUUUGCUUUAUCACUAAGUAGAUUUAUUUGUUGUUCUAAGUUUUUUUCUCUAUAUUUAGUUAUGGAUAUGGAACACGAAAUAUCAAAACAAUUAGGUGUACUUACUACUCAUGGAGAUGGGGAACCUCCUAAAACCCUCGAUGCUCGUUAUGUGGAAAAUAUUAUGCACUUCUUUAAUAAUCCUGAGAAAACCCCAUUAAAUUAUAUAAUGGGAUACACGUUGGAUCAACGUGAAUACUUUAGGGAUUAUUGCUUGACUCAAAAAAGGAAACUAUUAUGGGAUCAAAUGCAUAUGUUGAAAUGGUAUGCUUGGGAGCUAUGCUCGAGAUAUGAUAUUACUUGUUGCUCUAGGAUGAAGGCUAAACACCUUCCCUUUUCUUGUAAAUUUAAUGCUAAUGAAACCUUGGCUUCUUAUGCUAAUGGUAUAUAUGAUUACUAUGAUGUGGAACAAAUAGAAGAGUUUGUUGCUUUUAUGGGUGCUUAUGAAAUUGAAGCUCUAUUUAAAAGGUGUGAUGAUAAUGAUGAUGUUGCUUACCGAUCUGAAAAUUUGGUUAUGAUUCAUUAUUGUUAUACUAAUUAUGAAUAUAAUGCCCAUAUUUACCGAUUUAUGGAGAAACUAUUCGCUACCCAAGAAGAGACUAAUAUUUUGCAGGAAACUAUGGAAGAAGAAAAUGCUGAAACUGUGAGCUCAUUAGAUGAAAAAGAUGACGAGGAGAGCGAAGAACAAAAGGAGGAAGAGCAGACUAGCUACCCGUGCCCACCUUCUAACGAGAGUAACUAUUCAACUCAUACAUUGUUUAAUUUCCCUUCGUUCAUACCGAAGGAUGAAUGCUAUGUUGAUUGCUAUGGUCCCUUGGAUUCGUUUGAAAUAUCCCUUUUUGAUGAACUUGAUGCUUGCUAUGGUUGUCGCCAUGAUGCCAAUAUGAAUGAUGCUUAUGAAGAUGAACUUGCUAUAAUUCCUUAUGUUAAACAUGAAAUUGUUGCUAUCGCACCCACUUAUGAUAGUCCUAUUAUCUUUUUGAACUCUCCCAACUACACUAUAUCGGAGAAGUUUGCUCUUAUUAGGGAUUACAUAGAUGGGUUGCCUUCUACUAUUACACAUGAUGAUUUUGAUGAAUAUAAUAUGCAUGUGCUUGCUGCUCCUACUUGCCAUUAUUAUGAGAGAGGAACUACAUCUCCACCUCUCUAUGUUUCCAAUACGAUAAAAUUGCAAGAAACUGCUUAUGCUAUGUAUUGGCCUUUACUUGAUGUGCAUGAAUUGUUCUUUUAUGACAUGCCAAUGCAUAGGAAGAGAGUUAGACUUCGUCAUUGCAUGAUAUAUGUUACCUUGUGCUCACUACUAAAUUACAAAUCAUUGUUAAUUAAAAUUGGCUUUGAUAUACCUUGGGAUCCGGGUGGAUCCAUUACUUGAGCACUUUAUGCCUAGCUUAAUGGCUUUAAAGAAAGCGCUGCGUGGGAGACAACCCGAAAGUUUUAGAGAGUCAUUUAUUUCUGUUGAGUGCUUUUUUAUAGUUUAAAAACAAAAAAAUAUAGAGGGGAACUUAAAACUUUUUCAAAAAGAGAAGCGAUUGAAAGGUGAUGCAUUGCGGAAGUGAGGGUCGACCUUGAACACUUGUGUUCAUGCUCAUGGAAACAAUGUAGAAUUUUUCAUGGAAGUUUCUCGCAAAAAUAAUUAUCCCCUUGUACAAUUCCAUUGUAUUAUAAAAAUAUUGUGCCAAGUAAAGCCUUUAUGAUUAGUUUGGGUGAUAGUUGUUUGAUCAUGCUGAAAAAGACAGAAACUUUGUGCUCACGAAAUUAUUUUUAAUUCCUAUCCAGAAAGAGCUUUUGAGUUGAUUCUUUUUUCUGAUGAUUGAUACACAAAUUUCCUUAAUUAUCAUAAUUUCUUCAGAAUUUUUGUAGUAUCAGAAGUAUGGUAUACGUUCAGAUUACUACAGAUUGUUCUGUUUUUGACAGAUUCUGUUUUCUAUGCAUUGUUCUCUUAUUUUGAUGAAUCUAUGGGUAGUAUCGGGUGGUAUGAACCAUGGUGAAGUUGGAUUACAGUAGAUAUAAUGCUAAUAUGAAUUUGAAAUGACUUCACAACAUUACUUAGAGUGGUGAUUUACUUUAUUAUACUAACGGAUCUCACGAAGGUUUCGUUGAGUUUUGUGUGAUUGAAGUUUUCAAGUUUUGGGUGAGACCAGGAUGGAUGAAGGAAUAAGGAGAGGCAAGAGCCUAAUAUAGGGGAUGCCCGAGGCACCCAAAGGUAAUAUUCAAGGAAGACUCAAGUGUCCAAGCUUGGGGGUGCCCCGGAAGGCAUACCCUCUUUCGUCUACAAUUUAUCGGUUAUUUUACUCGGAGCUAUAUUUUUAUUCGUCACAUGAUAUGUGCAAAUGCUUGGAGCUUCUUUUGUGUUUAUCUUUCCUUUUUAUUUUAUGCACCAUGCUGGUAUGAGAUAGUCCUUGGUUCAUUUAUAGAGUGCUCUUUGCACUUCACUUAUAUCUUUUGAGUAUGGCUUUAUAGAAUGCUUCAUGUGCUUCACUUAUAUCAUUUGAAGUUUGGAUUGCCUGUUUCCCUACACAUAGAAAACCGCCAUUUGUAGAAUGCUCUUUUGCUUCACUUAUAUUUGUUAGAGCGGGGCAUAUCUUUUAUAGAAAGAAUUAAACUCUCAUGCUUCACUUAUACCUAUUUAGAGAGUUAACAUGAGUUGGUCAUUCACAUGGUUAGUCAUAAAAUCAUACAUAAAGCUUGUAGAUCACUGAAUAUGUUAUGUUUGAUUCCUUGCAAUAGUUUUGCGACAUGAAGAUGUGAUAUUAGAGUCAUGAUAGUGAGUAGUUCUGUAUUCGUAGAAAUAAUUGUGUUAAGGUUUGUGAUUCCCGUAGCAUUCACGUAUGGUGAACCGUUAUGUGACGAAGUCAGAGCAUGAUUUAUUUAUUGAUUGUCAUCCUUUGUGUGGAAGUCGGGAUCGCGUGAUGGUUAACUCCUACCAACCCUUCCCCUAGGAGCAUGCGCGUAGUACCUUGUUUCGAUGACUAAUAGACUUUUGCAAUAAGUAUGUGAGUUCUUUAUGACUAAUGUUGAGUCCAUGGAUUAUACGCACUCUCACCCUUCCACCAUUGCUAGCCUCUCUAGUACCGCACAACUUUCGCCGGUGCAGUACACCCACCAUAUACCCUUCCUCAAAACAGCCACCAUACCUACCUAUUAUGGCAUUUCCAUAGACAUUCCGAGAUAUAUUGCCAUGCAACUUCCAUCGUUCCAUUUAUUAUGACACGCACCAUCAUUGUCAUAUUGCUUUGCAUGAUCAUAAGAUAGCUAGCAUGAUGUUUCAUGGCUUGUCCGUUUUUUGAUGUCAUUGCUACGCUAGAUCAUUGCACAUCCCGGUACACCGCCGGAGGCAUUCAUAUAGAGUCAUAUUUUGUUCUAAAUAUCAAGUUGUAAGUAAAUAAAAGUGUGAUGAUCAUCAUUAUUAGAGCAUCGUCCCAUGUGAGGAAGUAAUAAAAGAGGCCAAUGAAGCCCAAAUAAAAAAUGGCCAAAGAAGCCCACCAAAAAAAAUAAAAAAAAUGAGAGAAAAGAGAGAAGGGACAAUGCUACUAUCCUUUACCACACUUGUGCUUCAAAGUAGCACCAUGAUCUUCAUGAUAGAGAGUCUCCUAUGUUGUCACUUUCAUAUACUAGUGGGAAAUUUUCAUUAUAGACCUUGGCUUGUAUAUUCCAAUGAUGGGCAUCCUCAAUUGCCCUAGGUCUUCAUGAGCAAGCGAGUUGGAUGCACACCCACUUAGUUUCUUUUUGAGCUUUCAUAAACUUAUAGCUCUUGUGCAUCUCUUGCAUGGCAAUCCCUACUCACUCACAUUGAUAUCUAUUGAUGGGCAUUUCCAUAGCCCGUUGAUAUGCCUAGUUGAUGUGACCAUCUCCUCCUUUUUGCCUCACAACAACCACCAUAUUCUAUUCCACCUAUACUGCUAUGUCCAUGGCUCACACUCAUGUAUUUUGUGAAAGUUGAAAAAGUUUGAGAACACUAAAGUAUAAAACAAUUGCUUGGCUCAAACCGAGGUUGUGCACGAUUUAAAUACGUUGUGUGGGGAAGAUGGAGCAUAGCCAGACUAUAUGAUUUUGUAGGGAUAACUUUCUUUGGCCAUGAUAUUUUGAGAGGACAUGAUUACUUUGUUAGUAUGCUUGAAAUAUUAUUAUCUUUAUGUCAAAUGAUAGACUAUUGCUUCGAAUCACUUGUGUUUUAGUAUUCAUGCCAUGAUUAGAUUAUAUGAUCAAGAUUAUGCUAGGUAGCAUUCCACAUCAAAAAUUAUCUUUUUUAUCAUUUACCUACUCGAGGAGGAGCGGGAAUUAAGCUUGGGGAUGCUGAUACGUCUCCGUCGUAUCUAUAAUUUUUGAUUGUUUCAUGCCAAUAUUCUACAACUUUCAUAUACUUUUGACAACAUUUUAUACUUUUUUUGGGACUAACAUAUUGACCCAGUGCCCAGUGUCCGUUCCUGUUUGUUGCAUGUUUUUUGUUUCGCAGAUUAUCCAUACCAAACGAAGUCCAAACGCAAUAAAAAACCUACGGGGAUUUUUUUUGGGAAUAUUUAUGAUUUUUGGGAAGAAGAAUCUACGCGAAACGAUGCCCGAGGAGGUCACAAGCCCAGGAGGCGCGACCCCCCCCCUUAGGGCACGGCUCACAGCCUUUUUAAGGUGGUUGGGGCCGUUCUUUUGCCGGAAGAAAGCUAAUAUCUGAAAGAAAAUCGUGUUAAACUUUCAGCCCAAUCGAAGUUACGGAUCUCCGGGAAUUUAAGAAACGGUGAAAGCCACAAUCUGGGAGGGAAGAAACAGAAGGACACAGAGAGAGAGAGAUCCAAUCUUGGAGGGGCUCUUGCCCCUCCGCCACCAUGGAGACCAUGGAGCACAGGAGAAACCCUUCUCCCAUCUAGGGAGGAGGUCAAGGAAGAAGAAGAAGAAGAAGGGGGGCUCUCUCCCCCUCUCUCCCGGUGGCGUCGAAACGCCGCCCGGGACAUCAUCGUGUGACGGCGAUCUACACCAACACCUCCGUCAUCUUCACCAACACAUCCAUCACCUUCCUCCAUCUAUAUUCAGCGGUCCACUCUCCCGCAACCCGAUGUACCCUCUACUUGAACAUGGUGCUUUAUGCUUCAUAUUAUUAUCCAAUGAUGUGUUGCCAUCCUAUGAUGUCUCAGUAGAUUUUUGUUGUCCUAUCGGUGAUUGAUGGAUUUCUAUGAUUAGUUUAAUUUGCUUGUGGUUAUGUUGUUGUCCUUUGGUUCCCAUCAUAUGAGCGUGCGCGUGGAUCACACCAUGGGGUUAGUAGUAUAUUGAUAGGACUAUGUAUUGGAGGGAAAGGGUGACAGAAGCUUCAGCCUAGCAUAGAAAUUGAUGCAUAUGGGAUUGAAGGAGGACCAAUAUAUCUUAUUCCUAUGGUUGGGUUUUACCUUAAUGAACGUUAGUACUUGCGGAUGCUUGCUAAUAGUUCCAAUCAUAAGUGCAUAGAAUUCCAAGUAAGGGAUGACAUGCUAGCAUUGGCCUCUCCCACAUAAAACUUCCUAUCAGUCUAGUAACAUAGUCAAUUGCUUAGGGACAAUUCCGCAACUCCUACCACCACUUUUCCACACUCGUUAAACUAACGUAAUUGUUUCUUCAUCUAACCAGCCCCUAGUUUUUAUUUACGUGUUCAUUCUUUUCUUGCAAACCUAUCCUAUCACUCCUACAAAGUACUUAUAGUUUCAUACUUGUUCUAGGUAAAGCGAACGUAAAGUGUGCGUAGAGUUGUAUCGGUGGUCGAUAGAACUUGAGGGAAUAUGUGUCCUACCUUUAGCUCCUCGUUGGGUUCGACACUCUUACUUAUCGAGAAAGGCUACAAUUGAUCCCCUAUACUUGUGGGUUAUCAGUAGUAACUGAUUUUGGAUCCCGAUGCCAUCCGAACGUUUAGGGACCCCGGGGUCCGGUUAAGGGGAUAUUGUGAAAACUCGCAGUUUUGUCCUAUUCCGACCAAUUUUGUAUGCUAUUACUCACUGAUUUCGGUUCCCGCUGCGAUCCGAACAUUUUGGGAACCCGUGGUCCGAUUACGGGGAACUCGUCGAAACUCAAAGUCUUGGUCUAUUGAGGCCAGUUUUGUAUGCUAUUACUCAUUGAUUUUGGGUCCCGCUGCGAUCCGAACGUUUAGGUAACCCCGGGGUCCGGUUACGUGGAACUCGUGAAAACUCAUAGUUUGGGCCUAUUGUGGCCAGUUUUGUAUGCUAUUACUCACUGAUUUUGGGUCCCGCUGCGAUCCGAAUGUUUUAGGAACCCCGGGGUCCGGUUAAGGGGAAAUCGUGAAAACUUGUAGUUUUGGCCUAUUCCGGACAGAUUUUGGGUCCUGCUGCGAUCCGAACAUUUCGGGAACCCCGGGAUCCGGUUACGUGGAACUCGUCAAAACACGCAAUUUUGGCCUAUUGUGGCAAGUUUUGUAUGCUAUUACUCACUGAUUUUGGGUUCCGCUGUGAUCCGAACGUUUGAGGAACCCCGGGAUCCGGCUCCGUGGAACUCGUCAAAACACGCAGUUUUGGCCUAUUGUGGCAAGUUUUGUAUGCUAUUACUCAGUGAUUUUGGGUCCCGAUGUCAUCCGAACGUUUCGGGAACCCAGGGGGUCCGGUUACAGGGAAAUCGUCAAAAAUCGCACUUUUCGCCUAUUGCGACCAAUUUUGUAUGCUAUUAGUAACUAAUUUUGGGUCCCGCUCAGAUCCCAAUAUUUCGGGAACCCUAGGGUCCGGUUACGGGGAAUCGUCAAAACUAGCAGUUUUCGCCUAUUCUGGCGAGUUUUGUAUGCUAUUAGUCACUGAUUUUGGGUCCCGAUGUGAUCCGAAUGUUUCAGGACCAUUGGAUCCGGUUACGGGGACUCGUCAAAACUCGCAGUUUUGUAUGUUAUUAGUCACUCAUUUUGGAUCCCGCCGUGAUCCAAACAUUUCGGAACCUCGGGGUCCGGUUAUGGGGAACUCGUCAAAACUCGCACUUUUGGCCUAUUGUGGCUAGUAUUGUAUGCCAAUAGUCACUUAUUUUGGGUUCCAGAUGUGAUCCAAAUGUUUCUGGAACCCUUGGGUCCGGUUACGGGGAACUCGUCAAAAUUGCAGUUUUGACCUAUUCCCGAGAGUUUUAUAUGCUAUUGCUCACUAAUUUUAGGUCCUGCUGUGAUCCGAAAGUUUUGGAACCUUGCGGUCCGGUUAGAGGGAACUAGUCAAAACUCACAGUUCUGGCCUAUUCCCGCCAGUUUUCUAUCAUAUUAGUCACUGAUUUUGGAUCCCGCUGCGAUCCGAACGUUUCGAGGAACCCCGGGGUCUGGUUAUGGGGAACUCAUCAAAACUCGCAGUUUUGGCCUAUUCUCACCAGUUUUGUAUGCUAUUUACUCAUUGAUUUUGGUCCCCCUGCGAUCCGAACGUUUCUGGAACGGCGAGGUCCUAUUACGGGGAACUCAUCAAAACUCGCAGUUUUGGCCUAGUGUGGCCAGUUUUCUAUGGUAUUAGUCAAAGAUUUUGGGUCCAGCUGUUCCCCAACCAUCUCGGGAACUCCGGGGUUAGGUUACGGGGAACUCGUCAAAAAUCAAUGUUUUCGCUUAUUCUAGCCAGUUUUGUAUGCUAUUACUCAUUGAUUUUGGGUUCCGCUUCGAUCCGAACGUUUCGGGAACCCCGGGGUCCGGUUACAUGGAACUCGANNNNNNNNNNNNNNNNNNNNNNNNNNNNNNNNNNNNNNNNNNNNNNNNNNNNNNNNNNNNNNNNNNNNNNNNNNNNNNNNNNNNNNNNNNNNNNNNNNNNAUGUGAACACUUCGGGACCCCGGAGUCCGGUUACGGGGAACUCGUCAAAACUCACAGUUUUUGUCUAUUCUGGCUAGUUUUGUAUGCUAUUACUCAUUGAUUUUGGCUCCCGCUGCGAUCCGAACGUUUUGGGAAGCCCUAGGUACGGUUACGGGGAACUCGUCGAAACUCGCAGUUUUGGUCUAUUCUGGCCAGUUUUGUAUGCUAUUACUCACUGAUUUUGGGUCCCGCUGCGAUCCAAACGUUUCGGGAACUCCGGGGUCCGGUUACGGAGAAUUCGUCAAAACUUGUAGUUUUGGUCUUAUCUCGCCAGUUUUAUAUGCUAUUAAUGACUGAUUUUGGGUCCCGGUGCGAUCCGAACGUUUUAGAAAUCCCGGGGUCCGGUUACGUGGAACUCAUGCAAACUCUUAGUUUUGGCCUAUUCUGGCCAGUUUGUAUGCUAUUAGUCACUAAUUUUGGGUGCCCUUGUGAUCCGAAUGUUUCUGUAACCCCGUGGUCCGGUUACGGUGAACUCGUAAAAAAUUGCAGUUUUGGCCUAUUGUGCCCAUUUUUGUAUGAUAUUACUCACUGAUUUUGGGUCCAGCUGCGACCUGAAAGUUUCGGGAACCCCGGGAUCCGGUUACAUGGAACUCGAGAAAACUCGCAGUUUGAGCCUAUUCUGGCCACUUUUGUAUGAUGUUACUCAGUGAUUUUGGUUGCCACUGCGAUCCGAACGUUUAGGGAACCGCGGGUCCGGUUACGGGGAAUUCGAGAAAACUCGUAGUUAUGCUCUAUUCUCGCCAGUUUUGUAUGCUAUUACUCACUCAUUUUGGGUCCCGCUGCGAUCCGAACGUUUCAGGAACCUCGGGAUCCGGUUACGUGGAACUCGUCGAGACUCAACAAGCAAGCAAAAAGUAACAAGUAACAAGUAAAAAGUAGUAGCAAGCAAAAAGUAACAAGUAACAAGUAGUAGCAACGGUGCAGCAAGUGGCCCAAUCCCUUUUGUAGCAAUGGACAAGCCUGAACAAAGUCUUAUAGGAAGAAAAACGCUCCUGAGGACACACAUGAAUUUCUCUCAUGCUAGUUUCAUCAUGUUCAUAUGUUUUGCGUUCGUUACUUUGAUAGUUUGAUAUGUGGGUGGACCGGCGCUUGGGUACUGCCCUUACUUGGACAAGCAUCCCACUUAUGAUUAACCUCUCUCGCAAGCAUCCGCAACUACAAAAUAAGAAUUAAGACAACGUCUAACCAUAGCAUUAAACUAGUGGAUCCAAAUACGCCCCUCAAGAAGCAACGCAUAGACUGGGGUUUAAGCUUCUGUCACUCCAGCAACCCAUCAUCUACUUACUACUCACCAAUGCCUUCCUCUAGGCCCAAAUAUGGUGAAGUGUUAUGUAGUCGACGUUCAUAUAACACCACUAGAGGAAAAACAACAGACAGCAUAUCAAAAUACCGAACGAAUAUCAAAUUGACAUGACUAUUAUCAGCAUGACUUAUCCCAUGUCCUCAGGAACAAAAGUAACUACUCACGGAGCAUAAUCAUAAUCAUGAUCAGAGGUGUAAUGAAUAGCAUCAAGGAUCUGAACAUAAACUCUUCCACCAAGUAAUCCAACUAGCAUCAACUACAAAGAGUAAUCAACACUACUAGCAGCCCCCCUCCGGUACUUCUUUCGCCCAGUAUUUUUUAUAUAAUCCCAAAAAAAUCCACGUAACUUUUCAAGGCAUUUGGAGAGGUGCAGAAUAGUGGACUAAGAUUUACUCCUUUUCCAGUCCAGAAUUCCAGCUGCCUGAAUUCUCCCUCUUCAAAUAAACCUUGCAAAAUGGUACCACACAGUAAUAUAACAGCCCAAAAGGCAAUAAAUAUCAACAUGAAAGCAUGAUGCAAAAUGGACGUAUCAACUCCCCCAAGCUUAGACCUCGCUUGUCCUCAAGCGAAAACCAAGUUCCAUAAACAUGUCCACAUGUUGAGGUACGAAGGUGUCGAUAAAACAUAAUACGGACAUGAGGGCAUCAUGAUCACACAUAGAACAACAAUACAUCAUAAAGAUUCUUAUGGGAAAGUAACAAUUCCUUCAUAAAGCAAAGCAUGAAGCAAAAACCUUACCGAGAAGUAACCAACAACAGUCCAAAGUCAUUGCAGCAAUUGCAAUUUAUCACAACAUCAGAAAGAGUCAAAUAAGAACUUGUAAGGCAAACCCACAUACUCAAUCAUCUCUUUUUUCCACAAUUGUUGCAACUCACGUGGUACUCAUGGUGUCAAAGUUUCAACUGGACACAGAGGAAGAUAGGGGCUUAUAGUUUUGCCUCCCAACUAUUUACCUCAAGGGUAAAGUCAACAAUAAUAAAGCAUGAUUACUCAACUCCAAGUUGAUAUAUGAAUAUAGAUCUUUCCCAAGCAUGUGACGGUAGCCAAGACAAAGGCAAAAAUAGGGAAUUGGUGAAGAUCACCAUGACUCUUGCAAGGGAAAAAAGUAAAGGUACAAGAUAGGCCCUUCGCAGAGGGAAGCAGAGGUUGUCAUGCACUUUUGAGGUUUGAAUGUGUGUCCUCUUAGUGCGGAGGAACGUCACUUUAUAUUACCUCCUGUGAUAAAGAACUUUAUUAUGCAAUCUGUCGCUUUUAUGUCUUCCUCAUCACAGGUUCGUACAAAGCUUAUUUUCCACACACUAAUAGAUCAUACAUAUUAGAGAGCAAUUUUUAUUGCUUGCACCGAUGACAACUUACUUGAAGGAUCUUAUUCAAUCCAUAGGUAGGUAUGGUGGACUCUCAUGGCAAAACUGGGUUGAAGGUUUAUGGAUGCACAAGUAGUAUCUCUACUUGGUGCGGGAGUUUUGGAUAAUAUGAGGUGGAAGCAAUCGUCACAUGCUAAGGGAUCUCUAAUCAUAUAACAUUGUUUGGAACCAAGCAAACACAAUUCAUUAUGUUGUCUUCCUUGUCCAACAUCUACUCCUAAGCAUGCAAUAGUUUGGUGAGUGCUCACAAUUGUAAAAAGUGUCUAAGAUGAUAUAUUUAUAUGUGAACCUCUCUUUCCUUAUUACUUCUUAUCAAUUGCAACAAUGAGUGAUGUCUAUGUCUAUUUAUUCUCAACAAGUUUCAAUCAUCAUACGUGUCAUAUGUGAAGCUAUCACUUUCCAUAAAAUCGUCUCAUGAUCUUUCAUGCUCUCGUUCUUUUCAUACUUUUGAUCAUGGCACAAAGCAAAGCCCUUGAUUAAGAUACUCUUUAUUAUAUAGCUCGUAAGCUCGAAUACAUCGGGGGAGAGACAAAAGCAAAAGACUCAAACUAAACACUAAAGACUUAUUCCUCUAAAACAAAGGUAAAAGCAAAAGAUAUAAAGGUGAUACGAUACCAGGGCAACUCCCCCAAGCUUGGCAGAAGCCAAGGGGAUUGCCCAUAACAAUGCUUAGUUAUCUUCCUUUGGUGGUGAUGGUGGUGGAGUUGUUGAAGCAGCCUGAUCCUCCGUCUUCCAAGGCAUAAGUGCUCCAUCAUGGUAGGAUGAACGAGUCGCCGGAAUCCUCAAAUCUGCAGCCAACCUUAUUGAUUUAAAUUUGUACUCAUACUCACAGUUUUGGUUCUGCAGGUCAUAGAUCUGGCCCUGAAGUUGAUCAACCCUGUCAUGGAGCCUGGAGAGGUGUUUCCAAUAUCAAUGGCAUCCAUCUUGUGAUUGCUAGUGAACUCCGUGAUCAUCAUGUGGUUGGCGUUGAGUCCACGCUCCACCAUCCCUUGGCACUUGAAGACUUGUUGCUCCAUUGCUUCGAGCCUCGUCUCCACGCUUCCGGUCUUCUUAGGCCCCUCAACAUCACGGAUGUGCAACAUCCCCUCGCUCAUCUUGAUAGAUUGAGGGUGUUUGAGCACUUCCGUGAGGUAGGGAUUGAUGACCUUCUCGAAGAUCUUGUCCUUAGGAGCGUCUAGGGAAGUCAUGAUGAUCUAGAUCUGUCACAGAAACAGGCUCGAAACAAAAACAGAGGAAAACUGCGCGAUACGGACAUCAAAACCUUCGGGCGAGUAUAUAUUGAUUUUUUCUGGACCAGAAGGAGUGCUCCGCAAGAAAACAGAGUCCGGGAGGUACACGAGGUGCCCACAAGCUUGCCCUCCUCCACCAGGGGGUAGGGGGCGGUGGCAGGGCUUGUGGCCGCCUCGUGCACUCUCCGGGCUACUUUUUAUUUUUCUAAUUUUCCAAAAAUUCCAAAACGGAGGAAAUUUCCUAUUGGAAAAGCAUCCGAGUCCAAUUUCUUACCUUAACAGAUACCUCUUCGUUUUCAGGGUCUGAAACAGGCUGAUAAACAUCCCUUAUGUACUCCUCUAGAGUUAUGACAUUGAUGAUAUUGGUCUCAACAUUUAUGGGAGUACCAGAGAUGUAAUGCUUGAUUCUUUGCCCAUUUACCACUCUAGGAAAAUUUCCUUCCGUGUUAUUGAUUUUGAUGGCACCGGAACGAUAUACUUCCUCGAUAACAUAGGGACCUUCCCAUUUAGAGAGAAGCUUGCUGCAAAGAAUCUCAAACGAGAAUUGUAUAGCAAGACAUAAUCACCUACAUUGAACUCUCGUUUCUGUAUUCGUUUAUCGUGUCAUCUCUUAACCUUUUCCUUGAACAACUUGGCAUUCUCGUAUGCCUGGGCUCUCCAUUCAUCUAACGAGCUGAUAUCAAACAAUUGCUUCUCAUCGGCAAGUUUGAAAUCGAAGUUGAGCUCUUAGAUUGCCCAAUAAGCUUUGUGUUCCAGCUCAAGGGGUAAAUGACAGGCCUUACCGUAAACCAUUUUAUAUGGUGACAUGCCCAUGGGAUUCUUAUAAGCGGUCCUAUAAGCCCAUGGUGCAUCGUCAAGUUUGCUAGACCAAUUCUUUCGAGAUCUAUUGACGGUCUUUUGUAGGAUCAACUUGAUCUCCCUAUUACUCAACUCCAUUUGACCACUAGACUGAGGAUGAUAAGGAGAUGCAACUCUAUAGUUGACAUCGUACUUAGCGAGCAUCUUGCGGAAAAUACCAUGAAUGAAGUGUGAACCGCCAUCAGUCAUCAGAUAUCUAGGGACUCCAAAUCUUGGGAAAAUGACUUCUUUAAGCAUCUUAAUAGAGGUGUGGUGAUCAGGUGGUUUUAGUGGGGAUAGCUUCUACCUACUUAGUGACGUAAUCCACAACAACUAAGAUGUUAGUGUACCCAUUGGAACUUGGGAAGGGUCCCAUAUAAUCAAAGCCCCAGACAUCAAAUGGUUCAAUGACAAGUGAAUAGUUCAAAGGCAUUUCCUAACGCUUACUGAUAUUCCCUAUUCUUGGGCAUUCGUCACAAGACAAGACAAACUUACGGGCAUCCUUGAAGAGAGUGGGCCAAUAGAAACCUGAUUGCAAUACCUUAUGGGCAGUUCUAUCUCUAGCAUGGUGCCCUCCAUAGUCUUCGGAAUGACACUUCUGCAAGAUCUGUCCCUGUUCAUGUUCAGGUACACAACGUCUAAUCACACCAUCUACUCCUUCCUUAUAAAGGUGAGGAUCAUCCCAAAAGUAGUGUCUCAAAUCAAAGAAUAAUUUCUUCUUUUGCUGAUAGGUGAAACUGGGUGGUAUGUAUUUGGCUACGAUAUAGUUUGCAUAAUCAGCAUACCACGGUGCACCAUGUGAAGUGCGGAUGACAUUUAAUUGCUCAUCAGGAAAGCUAUCAUCAAUAAGUAGUGGGUCAUCAAGUACAUUCUCUAGCCUAGACAAGUUAUCUGCUACAGGGUUAUCAGUACCCUUUCGGUCAACGACGUGCAAAUCAAAUUCCUGUAGCAGGAGAAUCCAUCCGAUCAGCCUAGGCUUAGCGUCCUUCUUCUCCAGAAGGUACUUAAUAGCAGCAUGAUCAGAGUGAAUAGUGACUUUUGAGUCAACUAUAUAAGAUCUGAACUUUUCACAUGCAAACACGACUGCUAAAAAUUCCUUCUCCGUAGUGGCAUAGUUUCUUUGGGCACUGUCUAGAGUUUUACUAGCGUAGUGAAUAACAUUCAACUUCUUGACAACUCUUUGUCCUAGAACAGCACCAACAACAUAAGCACUAGCAUCGCGCAUGAUUUCAAAGGGCAAAUUCCAGUCAGGUGGUUGAACAAUAGGUGCGGUUAUCAAAGCCUUCUUAAGUAUUUCGAAAGCUUCCUCACAAUUCUUAUAAAAAACAAAAGGUACAUCCUUCUGCAAGGUGUUGGUAAGAGGCCUAGAAAUCUUAGAGAAGUCUUUAAUGAACCUUCUAUAGAAACCAGCAUGACCUAGGAAACUUCGUAUACCUCUGAUAUCUGUGGGGCAAGGCAUUUUCUCAAUUGCAUCAACCUUAGCCUUAUCAACUUCAAUGCCUCUCUCAGAAAUUUUGUGUCCUAAGACGAUACCUUCAUUAACCAAAAAGUGGCACAUCUCCCAAUUCAAGACGAGGUUGGUAUCUUCGCAUCUCGGUAAGACUCAAUCAAGGUUGCUGAGGCAAUCAUCAAAGGAAGACCCGUAAAUGGAGAAGUCAUCCAUGAAAACCUCAACAAUCUUUUCACAAAAGUCAGAGAAUAUAGCCAUCAUACAUCGUUGGAAGGUGGUAGGUGCAUUGCAUAAUCCAAAAGGCAUAUGACUAUAAGCAAAGGUACCAAAGGGGCGGGUGAAAGUGGUUUUCUCCUGAUUAGAUUGUGCAACAGGUAUUUGCGAGAAACCUGAAUAACCGUCUAGAAAGCAGAACUGUGUGUGUUUUGAUAGCCUUUCUAGCAUUUGGUCGAUAAACGACAAAGGAUAAUGAUCUUUCCUGGUUGCCUUAUUCAGUUUCCGAAAGUCUAUCACCAUCCUAUAGCCGGUAAUAAUCCUUUGUGGGAUUAGUUCAUCCUUAUCAUUAGGAACGACGGCGAUACCUCCCUUCUUAGGUACGCAAUGUAGUGGACGUACCCAAUCACUAUGAGCAACAGGAUAAAUGAGUCCUGCUUCCAGAAUUUUUAAUAUUUCUUUUCUAACGACCUCUUUCAUCUUAGGAUUUAAUCUCCUUUGAUGAUCAGCAACUGGUUUAAAGUCAGGACCGGUUUAAACUUGUGCUGACAUAGAGUAGGACUAAUACCCUUAAGAUCAUCAAGAGUAUAUCCAAUAGCAGCACGGUGCUUCCUCAGAAUUCUUAGUAACUUCUUCUCUUCAUGCUCUGAAAGGAGGGCACUAAUAAUGAUAGGAUAUAUCUCCUUCUCAUCAGUAUAGGCAUACUUAAGAGUAUCAGGCAACUGUUUAAGCUCAAAUACAGGAUCACCCUUUGGUGGGGGAGGAUUCCCAAGCAGUUCAACGGGCAGAUUAUUCUUGAGAAUAGGAUAUUGUUCUAAGACAAUUUUAUCUAUCUCAUCUCUCUCCUCCAUAUGCAUAUCAUUUUCAUGCUCAAGAAGAUAUUGCUCUAAAGGAUCCGUAGGAGGUACGGCAAUAGAGGCAAGAGCAAUAAUUUCAUCUCUACCAGAUGACUCUCUUUCAUGGGGUUGUCUUCCAAACUUGGAGAAGUUAAAUUCAUGAGACACACCCUCGAAACUAACUGUGACAGUCUGCUUAAUGCAACCAAUGUGAGCAUUGACAGUGUUGAGAAAGGGUCUACAUAAUAUGAUGGGACAAAAGCUAUCUUGUGCAGUACCAAGGACGAGGAAAUCAGUAGGAUACUUCGUCUUACCACACAGGACUUCUACGUCUCUCACAAUUCCCAGAGGGCAGAUAGUGUCUCUAUUGGCUAGUGUAAUAGUGACAUCAAUGGGUUCUAACUCAGCAGGUGCAAUCUCAUCUUUGAUUUCAUCAUAUAGAGAACGGGGUAUUGCACUAACACAAGCUCCCAUAUCACAUAAACCAUGGUAACAGUGAUCUCCUAUCUUGACAGAAACAACGGGCAGGCCAACUACAGGUCUGUGUUUGUCUUUCGCGUGAAGUUUAGCAAUUCUAGCGGAGUCCUCACAGAAUUUGAUAACAUGCACAUCUAUGUCUUCGUCUAAGAGAUCUUUGAUAAUAGAAACACUAGGUUCAACUCUAAUCUCCUCAGGGGGUGCAAGUGGUCUAAUGUAACCCCUACGUAUCACAGUUGGAGCUUUAGAAUAAUCCUAGCAGGGUAUGGUGGUUUCUCAAUGUAAGCACAAGGAACAACAGGAUCACUAAAAGCAAUGACUUUCUCCUCAACUAGAUUGGUUUUGGCUAUGUUGCUUUCUACAGGAGGAUGAUAUUUAAACCACUUCUCUUUGGGAAGAUCAACAUGAGCAGCAAAAUAUUCACAUAGAGAAGCUACUAUCUCAGAGUCAAGUCCAUACUUAGCGCUAAAAUCUCUAAAAGUGUUGGUCUCAACAAAAGAUUUAACGCAAUCAAACUCGAAAUUCAUACCUGACUCCUUACCUUCCUCCAGAUCCCAAUCUUCAGAGUUGCGUUUGAUUCUUUCCAUAAAUUUCACUUGUGAUCAAUAUCCUUCUUCAUAAAAGAACCGGUACAAGAAGUGUCAAGCAUGGUACGAUCUUCGUGAGAAAGCCGAGCAUAAAAGUUUUGAGUGAUGAUUUCUCUCGAGAGCUCAUGAUUGGGGCAUGAAUAUAGCAUUGAUUUAUGCCUCCCCCAAGCUUGAGCUAUGCUUUCCCUGUCAUGAGGACAAAAGUUAUAAAUAAAGUUCCGAUCACGAUGUACUAAAUACAUAGGAUAGAACUUUUGAUGAAAUUCCAAUUUCAACCGAUUGUAGCCCCAUGAUCCAAUAUCAUCACAUAGCCUAUACCAUGUCAACGCCUUAUCCUUCAAAGAUAAAGGAAAGACUUUCUUCUUUACCUCAUCCUCAGGCAAACCUGCAAGCUUAAAUAAACCACAAACUUUAUCUACAUAGAUCAGAUGCAAGUCUGGAUGUGAAGAUCCAUCUCGUGUGAAAGGAUUAGCCAGCAGUUUCUCAAGCAUACCCGAAGGAAUUUCAUAAAAGAUAUUUUCAGUAGGUACCUCAGGUUGAGGAACAACUCCUCGUGCUUCCAUUCGUGGUGAAGAUACCCCGAACAAACUCCUCAAAGGAACAGUUUCCAUAGGGAAAAGUGACAAUAAAUUUCAGCACAGUAUAAAAAAAUUCCUUACCAAUUUCCACUUACCAAAGGCGCUUCACUCCGAGGCAACGGCGCCAGAAAAGAGUCUUGAUGACCCACAAGUAUAGGUGAUCAAUCAUAGUCCUUUCGAUAAGUAAGAGUGUCGAACCCAACGAGGAGCGGAAGGCUCUGAUAAACGGAUUUCAGCAAGUUAAUAACUGCAAGCACUGAAAGUAGCGGUAACAAGUGAUUGUGUAGCGAGGUGAAACGUAGCAAGCAAAAAGUAACAAGUAACAAGUAGUAGCAACGGUGCAGCAAGUGGCCCAAUCCCUUUUGUAGCAAGGGACAAGCCUGAACAAAGUCUUAUAGGAGGAAAAACGCUCCCGAGGACACACGGGAAUUUCUGUCAUGCUAGUUUCAUCAUGUUCAUAUGAUUCGCGUUCGUUACUUUGAUAGUUUGAUAUGUGGGUGGACCGGCGCUUGGGUACUGCCCUUACUUGGACAAGCAUCCCACUUAUGAUUAACCUCUCUCGCAAGCAUCCGCAACUACAAAAGAAGAAUUAAGACAACAUCUAACCAUAGCAUUAAACUAGUGGAUCCAAAUACGCCCCUCACGAAGCAACGCAUAGACUGGGGUUUAAGCUUCUGUCACUCCAGCAACCCAUCAUCUACUUACUACUCCCCAAUGCCUUCCUCUAGGCCCAAAUAUGGUGAAGUCUUAUGUAGUCGACGUUCACAUAACACCACUAUAGGAAAAACAACAUACAACAUAUCAAAAUACCGAACGAAUAUCAAAUUCACAUGACUAUUAUCAGCCUGACUUAUCCCAUGUCCCCAGGAACAAAAGUAACUACUCACAAAGCAUAAUCAUAAUCAUGAUCAGAGGUGUAAUGAAUAGCAUCAAAGAUCUGAACAUAAACUCUUCCACCAAGUAAUCCAACUAGCAUCAACUACAAAGAGUAAUCAACAGUACUAGCAACCUUACAAGUACCAAUCGGAGUCAUGAGACGGAGAUUGGUUACAAGAGAUGAACUAGGGAUUGGAGAGGAGAUGGUGCUGAUGAAGAUGUUGAUGAAGAUGCCUCCCCUCCGCCGAGAGGAGUGUUGGUGAUGACGAUGGAGACGAUUUCCCCCUCCGGGAGGGAAGUUUCCCGGGCAGGAUCGUCCUGCCGGAGCUCUAGAUUGGAUCUGCUCAAGUUCCGCCUCGUGGCGGCGGCGAAACCACGAAAAAGCUCCCGAAUGAUUUUUUUUUGGACCAAAACCCUUCAUAUAGCAAAAGAGGGGGGCUAGUGGGCCGUCAGGGAGCCCACAAGCCCCCACUCCGCCACCAGGGGGUGGCGGUGGCAGGGCAUGUGGCGCCCUAGCAACCCCCCUCCGGUACUUCUUUCGCCCAGUAUUUUUUAUAUAAUCCCAAAAAAAUCCACGUAACUUUUCAGGGCAUUUGGAGAUGUGCAGAAUAGUGGACUAAGAUUUGCUCCUUUUCCAGUCCAGAAUUCCAGCUGCCUGAAUUCAACCUCUUCAAAUAAACCUUGCAAAAUAAGAGAUAAAAGGCAUAAAUAUGGUACCACAAAGUAAUAUAACAACCCAAAAAGCAAUAAAUAUCAACAUGAAAGCAUGAUGCAAAAUGGACGUAUCACCUAUUACUCACUGAUUUUGGUUCCAGCUGCGAUCCGAACGUUUCGGGAACCCCGGGGAUCGGUUACGGGGAACUCGUCAAAACUCACAUUUUGCUCUAUUCUGGCCAGUUUUGUAUGCUAUUACUCACUGAUUUUCGGUCCCGAUACGAUCUGAACGUUUCAGAAACCCCGGGGUCCGGUUACGGGGAACUCGUCAAAACUCAUAGUUUUGGCCUAUUUCGGCCAGUUUGGUAUGCUAUUAGUCACUAAUUUUAGGUCCCGAUCCCAUCUGAAUGUUUCGGGAACCCCGGGGUCCGGUUAGGGGAAAUCGUGAAAACUCGCAGUUUUGGCCUAUGUCGGCCAGUUUUGUAUGCUAUUACUCACUGAUUUUGGUUCCCGCUGCGAUCCGAACGUUUUGGGAACCCCGGGGUGCUAUUACGGGGAACUCGUCAAAACUCGCAGUUUAUGUCUAUUCUAGCUAGUUUUGUAUGCUAUUACUCACUGAUUUUGGGUCCCGCUGCGAUCCAAACGUUUCGGGAAGCCCGAGGUCCGGUUAUGUGGAACUCAUCAAAACUCACAGUGUUGGUNNNNNNNNNNNNNNNNNNNNNNNNNNNNNNNNNNNNNNNNNNNNNNNNNNNNNNNNNNNNNNNNNNNNNNNNNNNNNNNNNNNNNNNNNNNNNNNNNNNNNNNNNNNNNNNNNNNNNNNNNNNNNNNNNNNNNNNNNNNNNNNNNNNNNNNNNNNNNNNNNNNUACUCACUGAUUUUGGUUGCCGUUGCGAUCCGAACGUUUCGGGAACCUCGGGGUCCGGUUACGGCGAACUCGUCAAAACUCAUAGUUUUGGUCUAUUCUCGCCGGUUUUGUAUGCUUUUAAUCAGUGAUUUUUAGACCCGUUGCGAUCCGAACGUUUCGGAAUCCCCGGGGUCCAGUUACGUGGAACUCGUGAAAACUCACAGUUUUGGUCUAUUCUGGCUAGUUUUGUAUGCCAUCAGUCACUAAUUUUGGGUCGCGUUGUGGCCCAAACAUUUCGGUAACUCCGUGGUCCGUUACGGGGAACUUGUAAAAAUGGCAGUUUUGGCCUAUUGUGGCCAGUUUUGUAUGCUAUUACUCACUGAUUUUGGGACCCGUUGCGAUCCGAACGUUUCAGGAACCCCGGGAUCCGGUUACGUGGAACUCGUCAAAACAAGCAGUUUUGGCUUAUAGUGGCCAGUUUUCUAUCCUAUUACUCACUGUUUUUGGGUCCCCCUGCGAUCUGUACGUUUUGGGAACCCCGAUGUCCGGUUACGGGGAACUUGUCGAAACUCGCAAGUUUAGCCUAUUCUAGCCAUCUUUGUAUGCUAUUGGUCACUCAUUUUGGCUCCUCCCGCGAUCCGAACAUUUCGGUAACCCCGGGGUCCGGUUACAAGAACUCGUCAAAACUCGCAGUUUUGGCCUAUUACUGCGAGUUGUCUUUGCUAUUAGUCACUGAUUUUGGGUCCCGUUGUGAUCCAAAUAUUUCGGAAACCGUAGAGUCAUGUUACGGGGAACUCGUGAAAACUCGCAGUUUUGGCCUAUUCUGGCUAGUUUUGUAUGCUAUUAGUCACUCAUUUUGGGUCCCGUUGUGAUCCGAACAUUUCGGUAAUUCCGUGGUCCGGUUACGGGGAACUCGUAAAAAAUCGCAGGUUUGGCCUAUUGUGCCAGUUUUGUAUGCUAUCACUCACUAACUUUGGGUCUCGCCGGGAUCCUAAUGUUUCAGGAAUCCCGGGAUCCGGUUACGUGGAAUUCGUCAAAACACGCAAUUUUGGCUUAUUGUGGCAUGUUUUGUAUGCUAUUACUCUCAGAUUUUGGGUCCUGCUGCGAUCCGAACGUUUCGGGAACCCCGAUGUCCGGUUACGGGGAACUCGUCAAAACUCGUAGUUUUAGCCUAUUGUGGCCAYGUUUGUAUGCUAUCAGUCACUCAUUUUGGGUCCUCCUGCAAUCCGAACAUUUCGGGAACCCCGGGGUCCGGUUACAAUGAACUCGUCAAAACUCGCAGUUUGAGCCUUUUCUGGCCACGUUUGUAUGCUAUUAAUCACUCAUUUUGUGUCCUCGUGCGAUNNNNNNNNNNNNNNNNNNNNNNNNNNNNNNNNNNNNNNNNNNNNNNNNNNNNNNNNNNNNNNNNNNNNNNNNNNNNNNNNNNNNNNNNNNNNNNNNNNNNGCUUGCACACCGCCACAUCCACGCGGCACUUCCACACUGCCACGCCGGCAGCCUGACACGCCGCACCCGAUGUUGUCGCCCUGGUCGCUGGAUGGCCGGAUUCCCUGCUUUUGGUUAGGUGUGUGUAUGCACUAUCAGCUGCCGGUUGAAUCUCUCUGAUUAUGCGUGGGUUUUCAAGAAGGUCUGUUGGUUGUGAUGCGACUGAUGUUCAUCUAUUGUUUGACGUACUACAGAUUUUCCAAUAUGUCCAAUAAUUUAGAUGUUCUUCUAAUCUUCUGGUAAUUUAGAUGUCCAUCCAAUCGCUUAAUUUAUACUUACUAGAAAAUGCAAUCUGUUUUAAAAAAAUAGGGGAUGAGGAAAUUGCCGAAUGUCCAUUAGCUCCUGAUUUUGAUUCCCAGUUACGCGUCAAUUUAGUAUGACUAUUGUGUUUGUGUGAACAAUAUACGCGACAUAUGUUGUACCGAUACUUUGCACCUUGAUGUUUGUUCACAUAUGUUUAAUACCUCUGAAUCUUAGGUCCGACUUAUGUGAUAUGUUAUACUGAUACUUUGCAUUUUAAUAUUUGUUCAUGUAUGUUUAAUACCUCUGAAUCAUAGGCCCUCUGUCAGAAUGAAGCCAAGGAGGCCAAGGAAGUUGUGAUGGUUGAGGAUGAUGAAUUGCCAAAAUCAUCGGGAAAAAGGAAAUACUCGAAUGUAUGGGAGCACUUUGAGGAGGUUGAGGUGCUUUCAAAGAAGAAAAAAGGAGAAAUGGAGAGAAAGGUCAAGUGCAAGUCUUGCAGCAAACUGUACAUGUACCCAAAGACUGGAACUACAACAACAAUGAAGAGGCAUCUGGAUGGCUGCUUUGCACAUCAGGGUGAGAAGAACAUCAAAAAAGGUCAAGACACUCUGAAUUUUGAUGCGGCUGAUGCGUGUGAUAUUGAUCUUCCAGUAGUCAAUUUCUCUGGUGGCUAUGAUCAUGGAAAAAUUCGUGAGCUUAUAGCUACAAUGAUAAUUGUCCAUGAGUACCCUUUCCGCAUGGUGGAGCAUUUUUGGUUCAAUGUGCUGAUGAAGUCUUUGAAUCCUUCUUAUCAGAAGACAACAAGAGCCACCAUCAGAAAUGAUUGUUUGCAGAUUUUUAAGUCCCGAAAGGAAACACUGAACAAGGAACUUAAGAAUAUUCGCAAAAUUAGCCUCACGUGUGAUCUGUGGACCUCGAACCAAAGUCUCUGUUAUAUGAGCUUGGUGGCACACUAUAUUGAUUCAGAAUGGAAUAUGCAGUACCGUGUGAUUAGUUUCCUUGAUCUGGAGCCACCACACACAGGUAUUGUGAUAUCUCAGGCUAUAUUUGAGUGCCUUUCUGAUUGGAAGAUUGAAGACAAAAUUGCAACUAUAACUCUUGAUAAUGCUUCUUCCAAUGGCAUGGCUGCUCGUCAACUCAUGUCCAAGUUUAAGGCGAGAGGAAGUGUGUUUUUUCCAUGGUAAAAUUUUUCAUGUCAGAUGCUCUGCUCAUAUACUCAACCUUUUGGUAUCAGAUGGCCUAAAAGCUAUAGAACCACUCAUUGAGAACAUCAGGCAGACUGUUAAGUAUUUGAAGAAAUCGCCAUCUCGGCUCUACAAAUUUACUAAGAUUGUCAAGUCACUUAACAUGUCAACCAAGAUGGGGUUGUGUCUUGAUGUUCCAACUAGAUUGGGAUCCACAUACAAGAUGCUUGAGCGUGACUUUGCUUUCAAAAAUGCAUUCUUACAUUAUGCAGAUUUGGAUGCCAAUUCUAAGUGGGAGCCAUCUAGCGAAGAGUGGAGGUUGUAUGCUAAAAUAAGGGAUAUUUUAGCAGUGUUGAGCAUGGCAACCACUGUGUUAUCUGGAUCAACCUAUCCUACAGCUAAUGAGUUCUUUCUUCUCAUUGUGAAUGUUAAGAAGGUCCUCGAUGAUGCAUUUAUCUCUACCGAUAAAUUCUUUCAUGAUAUGGGAAAUGCUAUGCUUCAGAAAUUUGAGAAAUAUUGGAAAGAGUGUAGUACUUUGCUGGCAAUAGCAUCAAUUUUGGAUCCAAGGUGCAAGAUGGAUCUAAUUAAUUUUUGUUUUCCCAAGAUAUAUGUUGCUAGUGACAUUGAACAUAACAUUGACUCAGUAAGUUUGGCACUGAAGGAGUUGUAUGAAAUUUAUGAGAGUGACCACACAACCAAUUUGGUUGCACCAGAAAAGGAAGUGGAUAAUCAGGUCCUUGUUUCAGAAAAUGGGACAUCAAGCAGUAGUCUUAUGGCAAUUUCAACUCAGUUUCGUACCUUCAUGAAAGCUACUGCUAAAAAGGUUUCCAAGUCAGAUCUAGUUGCAUACUUGGAUGAGGCUGCACUUACUGAUCAUUCGGAAGUCUUUGAUGUGCUACUUUGGUGGAAGCAAAAUUCAUCAAGGUAUCCAAUACUAUCCAAGGUUGCGAAGGAUAUACUUACUGUGCCAGUCAGUACUGUUUCUUCGGAAUCAUCAUUUAGUACUGGAGGUAGAGUGCUUGAUAAGUUUUGAAGCGCUUUACUCCCAAAUACUGUUGAGGCUUUGCUGUGUUCAGCUAGUUGGAUAGAGUCUCCCAAAAGAAGAAGAAAGCUAACAAUGUGAGUUCCUGAAUACUCUGUUUAUGCCAUAUAUUUCAAAUAGUCUAACAUGUACAUAAGUACAUCUUACGAUUUUGUUGUGCACAAAUACUCUCAGGAUAAAGAACACCAAGAUGACUUACUUGAAGUUCCUUUUCUGGAUAAAGAUCCUUCAAUCGUUUCUACAGACUAGUAAGAAACGAAUAUAAUAUGGUGAACAUUCAUUUGAAUUGUUACAUUGUUUGUAUUAUCUUCCAAACUAAUAAAUUGUAAUAUGCAGGCGAGUUGCGCUUCUUGUUAUGUUGAUGGAGAAUUACUUCAAGUCCUACGAACUCCAAGAUCAUCUACGGCCUACACUAUACAACAACUUUUUAUGAUCUUCGACGAAUAAUUUGUUUUUCCAAUUAUAUAUCGGUCAUGAAUUGUCAUCUUAUGUUGAUGCUAGACUGUUGGUUAUUAGAGAAUAAGUCGAACUACUUUGAAUAAGCUACAUUAUCAUCAUAUUGAUUGGAAUAAUAUUUGUAGUGCUUUCUUAUGUCGUGAUGUGCCUUAUCUAGUUGGAAUCAUCCUCCAAGAUUUAUAUUUUUUACUGUCCCAUUUAGCUCGAAACUAACUCGAGACCGACUCGAGAUCGUUACAAGCUGAGUAUAAAUCAUGUUUUACAACUCGACAUUGAGCUUCACUCAGUUUGAGCUCACUUGAAUUUUAAUAUGAGCUGAACUGAGCCAAGUACAACUCGCUCGAACUCGACUCGUUUGCGGCCCUAGUUGUGGUCCGAACGUUUCGGCAACCCCGUGGUUCGGUUACAGGGAACUCGUAAAAAAUCGCAGUUUUGGCCUAUUGUGGCCAGUUUUGUACGCUAUUACUCACUGAUUUUGGGACCCGCUGCGAUCCGAAUGUUUCAGGAACCCCGGGAUCCUGUUACGUGGAACUCGUCAAAACACGCAGUUUUGGCUUAUUGUGGCCAGUUUUCUAUCCUAUUACUCACUGAUUUUGGGUCCCGCUGCGAUCCAAACAUUUCGGGAACCCCGAUGUCCGGUUACGGGGAAGUCGUCAAAACUCGCAGUUUUAGCCUAUUCUAGCCACGUUUGUAUGUUAUUAGUCACUCAUUUGGGGUCCUCCUGCGAUCCAAACAUUUCGGGAACCCCGGGGUCCGGUUACGACAGAACUCGUCAAAACUCGCAGUGUUGCCUAUUACGACCAGUUUUUUGUGCUAUUAGUCACUAAUUUUGGGUCCCGCUAUGAUCCAAAUGUUUCAGGAACGCUGGGGUCUGGUUACGGGGAACUCGUCAAAACUCGAAGUUUUGGCCUAUUCUCGCGAGUUUUGUAUGAUAUUAUCACUAACUUUGGGUCCUACUGCGAUCCAAACGUUUUGGGAAACCCGGGUUCCGAUUACGAGGAACUCAUCAAAACUCGCAAUUUUGGCAUAUUCUGACGAGUUUUACAUGCUAUUACAAACUGGUUUUGGUUCCCACUGCGAUACGAACGUUUUGGGAACCCCGUGGUCCGGUUACGGGGAACUCGUCAAAACUCGCAAUUUGGCCUAUGCUNNNNNNNNNNNNNNNNNNNNNNNNNNNNNNNNNNNNNNNNNNNNNNNNNNNNNNNNNNNNNNNNNNNNNNNNNNNNNNNNNNNNNNNNNNNNNNNNNNNNCAGAAACGUUCGGAUCGCACGAGGACACAAAAUGAGUGAUUAAUAGCAUACAAACGUGGCCAGAAAAGGCUCAAACUGCGAGUUUUGACGAGUUCAUUGUAACCGGACCCCGGGGUUCCUGAAAUGUUCGGAUUGCAGGAGGACCCAAAAUGAGUGACUGAUAGCAUACAAACAUGGCCACAAUAGGCUAAAACUACGAGUUUUGACGAGUUCCCCGUAACCGGACAUCAGAGUUCCUGAAACGUUCGGAUCACAGCGGGACCCAAAAUCAGUGAGUAAUAGCAUACAAAACUUGCCACAAUAAGCCAAAAUUGCGUGUUUUGACGAGUUCCACGUAGUCGGAUUCCGGUGUUCCCGAAAUGUUCGGAUCGCGGCGAGACCCAAAUUAGUGAGUAAUAGCAUACAAAACUAGCCAGAGUAGGCCAAAACUGUGAGUUUUCACGAGUUCCACGUAACCGGACCCCGGGGUUUCCGAAAUAUUCGGAUUGUAAUGGGACCCAAAAUCAGCGAUUAAUAGCAUACAAAACUCGCGAGAAUAGACCAAAACUACGAGUUUUGACGAGUUGCUCGUAACCGGACCCCGGGGUUCCCAAAUCGUUCGGAUCGCAGCGGAACCAAAUCAGUGAGUAAUAGCAUACAAAACUUGCGAGAAUAGACCAAAACUGCCAGUUGCGACGACUUCUCCGUAAUUGGACCACGGGUUACUGAUACGUUCGAAUCACAGCGGGACACAAAAUCAAUGAGUAAUAGCAUACAAAACUGGCCAGAAUAAAUCAAAACUUUGAGUUUCAACGAGUUCCCUGUAAUCGGACCACGGGUUCCCGAAACGUUCGAAUCGCAGCRGGAACCAAAAUCAGUGAGUAAUAGGAUACAAAAUUGGCCGGAAUAGGCCAAAACUGCGAGUUUUGACGAUUUGCCCUUAACCGGACCCCAGGGUUCCCGACACAUUCGGAUGGCAUCGGGACCCAAAAUGAGUGACUAGUAGAAUACGAAACUUGCCAGAAUAAACCAAAAUUUUGUAGUUUUGAAAAAUUCCCCGUAACCGGACCCUGUGGUUCCCGAAACAUUCGUCUCGCAGCGGGAACCAAAAUCAGUGAGUAAUAGCAUACAAAACUCGCGACSAUAGGCCAAAACUGCGAGUUUGGACGAGUUCCCCGUAACUAGACCCGAGGGUUUCUGAAACAUUCGGAUCACAUCGGUUCCCAAAAUCAGUGACUAAUAGCAUAGAGAACUUGAAGUAAUAGGCCAAAACUGCGAGUUUUGACGAGUUCUUUGUAACCGGACCCCGGGGUUCCCGAAGCGUUCGGAUCGCAGGAGGACCCAAAAUGAGUGACUAAUAGCAUACAAACCUGGCUAGAAUAGGCUAAAACUACGAGUUUUGACGAGUUCCCCGUAACAUGACCCUACGGUUCUCGAAACACUCGGAUCACAACGGGACCCAAAAUCAGUGACUAAUAGCAUAGACAACUGGUAGUAAUAGGCCAAAACUACGAGUUUUGACGAGUUCUGUGUAACCGGACCCCGGGGUUCCCGAAAUGUUUGGAUCGCAGGAGGACCCCAAAUGAGUGACUAAUAACAUACAAACGUGGCUAGAAUAGGCUAAAACUGCGAGUUUUGACGACUUCCCCGUAACCGGACAUCGGGGUUCCCGAAAUGUUUGGAUCGCAGCGGGACCCAAAAUCAGUGAGUAAUAGGAUAGAAAACUGGCCACAAUAAGCCAAAACUGCGUGUUUUGACGAGUUCCACGUAACAGGAUCCCGGGGUUCCUGAAACAUUCGGAUCGCAGCGGGUCCCAAAAUCAGUGAGUAAUAGCGUACAAAACUGGCCACAAUAGGCCAAAACUGCGAUUUUUUACGAGUUCCCUGUAACCGAACCACGGGGUUGCCGAAACGUUCGGACCACAACUAGGGCCGCAAACGAGUCGAGUUCGAGCGAGUUGUACUUGGCUCAGUUCAGCUCAUAUUAAAAUUCAAGUGAGCUCAAACUGAGUGAAGCUCAAUGUCGAGUUGUAAAACAUGAUUUAUACUCAGCUUGUAACGAUCUCGAGUCGGUCUCGAGUUAGUUUCGAGCUAAAUGGGACAGUAAAAAAUAUAAAUCUUGGAGGAUGAUUCCAACUAGAUAAGGCACAUCACGACAUAAGAAAGCACUACAAAUAUUAUUCCAAUCAAUAUGAUGAUAAUGUAGCUUAUUCAAAGUAGUUCGACGUUUAUCUCUAAAUACCAACAGUCUAGCAUUCAACAUAAGAUGACAAUUCAUGACCGAUAUAUAAUUGGAAAAAACAAAUUAUUCGUCGAAAGAUCAUAAAAAGUUGUUGUAUAGUGUAGCCGUNNNNNNNNNNNNNNNNNNNNNNNNNNNNNNNNNNNNNNNNNNNNNNNNNNNNNNNNNNNNNNNNNNNNNNNNNNNNNNNNNNNNNNNNNNNNNNNNNNNNAAAUCAAUGAGUAAUAGGAUACAAAACUCGACCAGCAUAGGCCAAAAUUGCGAGUUUUGACGAUUUCCCCGUUACCGGACCCCGGGGUUCCCGAAACGUUUGUAUCACGGCGGGAACCAAAAUCAAUGAGUAGUAGCAUAUAAAACUCGUGAGAAUAUGCCAAAAUUGCGAGUUUUGAUGAGUUCCCCGUAAUCGGAACCCGGGGUUCCCAAAACGUUCCCAUCGCAGCAGGACCCAAAAUCAGUGACUAAUAUCAUACAAAACUCGCGAAAAUAGGCCAAAACUUCGAGUUUCGACGAGUUCCUGUAACCAAACCCUAGUGUUCCCGAAACAUUCGGAUCACAGCGGGACCCAAAAUCAGUGACUAAUAGCCUAGAAACUUGUCGUAAUAGGCCAAACUUGCGAGUUUUGACGAGUUCUGUGUAACCGGACCCCGGAGUUCCCGAAACGUUCGAAUCGUAGGAGGACCCAAAAUGAGUGACUAAUAGCAUACAAAYGUGGCAAGAAUAGGACUAAAACUGCGAGUUUUGACGAGUUCCCCGUAACAACACAUCAGGGUUCCGAAACGUUCGGAUCGCAGCUGGACCCAAGAUCAGUGAGUAAUGGCAUACAAAACUUGCCACAAUAGGCCAAAACUGCGUGUUUUGACAACGUGCCACCUAACCGGAUACCCGGGGUUCCCGUAACGUUCGAAUCGCAGCGGGACCCAAAAUCAGUGAGUAAUAGCAUACAAAACUGGCCAGAAUAGACCAAAACUGCGAGUUUCGACGAGAUCCCCGUAAUCGGACCACGGGUUCCCAAAACGUUCGGAUCGCAGCGGGAACCAAAAUCAGUGAGUAAUAGCAUACAAAACUGGCCAGAAUAUGCCAAAUCUGCGAGUUUCACGAUUUCCCCUUAACCGGACCCCGGGGUUCCUGAAACGUUUGGAUCGCAGCACGACCCAAAAUCAAUGACUAAUAGCAUACAAAACUGGCCAGAAUAGACCAAAACUUUGAAUUUUGAUGAAUUCCCCGUAACCGGACCCCAUGGUUCCCGAAAGGUUCGUAUCGCAGCAGGAAACAAAAUCAGUGAGUAAUAGCAUAGAAAACUGGUCGUAAUAGUCCAAAAUUGCGAGUUUUGACGAGUUCUCUCUAACCGGACCCCAGGGUUCCCCAAACGUUCGGAUCGCAGCAAGACCCAAAAUCAGUGACUAAUACCAUACAAAACUCGCCAGAAUAGGCCAAAACCCUGAGUUGUGACUAUUUCCCCGUAACCGGACCCCAGGGUUCCCGAAACAUUCAGAUCACAUCGGGACACAAAAUCAGUGAGUAAUAGCAUACAAAACUGGCCAGAAUAGCCAAAACUUUGAGUUUUGACGAAUUCCCCGUAACGGACCCUAGAGUUCUCGAAACAUUCGAAUCACAGNNNNNNNNNNNNNNNNNNNNNNNNNNNNNNNNNNNNNNNNNNNNNNNNNNNNNNNNNNNNNNNNNNNNNNNNNNNNNNNNNNNNNNNNNNNNNNNNNNNNAUGCUAUUACUCAAUGAUUUUGGGUCCCGCUGCGAUCCAAAUGUUUCGGGAACCCCGGGGUCCGGUUACGUGGAAUUCGUCAAAACUCGUAGUUUUGGCCUAUUCCGGCCAUUUUUGUGUGCUAUUACUCAGUUAUUUUGGGUCACGCUGCGAUCCGAACGUUUCGGGAACCCCGGGGUCCGGUUAAGGGGAAAUCGUGAAAACUCGCAGUUAUGCCUAUUCCGGCCAGUUUUGUAUGCUAUUACUCACUGAUUUUGAUUCCCGCUGCGAUCCGAAUGUUUCGGGAACCCGUGGUCCGAUUACGGGGAACUCGUCAAAACUCCCAGUUUCGGGAACUGUGAGUUUUGACGAAUUCCCCGUAACCGGACCCAGUGGUUCCCGAAACGUUCAUAUCGCAGAGGGAACCAAAAUUAGCGAGUUAGUAUACAAAACUCGCCAGAAUAGACAAAAAUUCAAGGUUUUGUUGAGUUCCCCGUAACCGGAACCCGGGGUUCCCAAAACGUUCAGAUCGCAGCAGGACCCAAAAUUAGUGACUAAUAGCAUACAAAACUCACAAGAAUAGGCCAAAACUCCAAGUUUUGACGAUUACCCGUAACCGGACCCCACGGUUCCCAAAACAUUCAUAUUACAACGGGAUCCAAAAUCAGUGACUAAUAGCAUAGAAAACUGGUCAUAAUAAGCCAAAACUAUGAGUUUUGACGAGUUCUCUUUAACCGGACCACGGGGUUCCUAGAACGUUCGGAUCGCACGAGGACCCAGAAUACUAAUAGAGUACAAACGUGGCCAGAAUAGGCUAAAACUGUGAGGUUUGACGAGUUCCCCGUAACCGGACAUCGGGGUUCCCGAAACGAUCGGAUCGCAACGGGACCCAAAAUUAGUGAGUAAUAGCAUACAAAACUAGCCACAAUAGGCCAAAACUGCAUGUUUUGACGAGUUCCACGUAACCAGAUCCCGGGGUUCCUGAAACGUUCAGAUCGCAGCGGGACCCAAAAUCAGUUAGUAAUAGCAUAAAAACUAGCCACAAUAGGCCAAAACUGCGAUUUUUGACGAUUUCCCCGUAACCGGACCACAGGGUUACCGAAACGUUCGGAUCACAGCGGGACCCAAAAUCAGUGAAGCAUACCAUACAAAAAUGCCGGGAAUAAGCCAAAAUUGCGAGUUUUCACGAGNNNNNNNNNNNNNNNNNNNNNNNNNNNNNNNNNNNNNNNNNNNNNNNNNNNNNNNNNNNNNNNNNNNNNNNNNNNNNNNNNNNNNNNNNNNNNNNNNNNNCCGUGAGGGCUUGUGACUCCCUCGUGGCCUAUCUUGCCUUCUUCCAAAGCUUCGGGGGUCUCUUUUGGUCUAAAAAAAUCAUCGUAAAGUUUCAUUCCAUUUGGACUCCGUCUGAAAAUGGGCCAAAAACACGGAAAAAACAGAAACUGGCACUUGGCACUGAGUUAAUAGGUUAGUCCCAAAAAAGAUACUCCCUCCGUCCCAAAAUAAGUAUCUUAAGCUUAGUACAAUUUUGUACUAGAGCUAGUACAAAGUUAAGACAGUUAUUUUGGGACAGAGGGAGUAUAAAAUAGCAUAGUAAUGCAUAUAAAAGAUCCAAAGUUGACAAGAUAAUAGCAUGGAACCAUAAAAAAUUAUAGAUACGUUGGAGACGUAUCAGAACGCAGCGGGACCCAAAAUCAGUGAGUAAUAGCUUACAAAACUAGCUAGAAUAGACAAAAAAUGCGAGUUUUGACGAGUUCCCCGUAACAGGACCCCGGGGUUCCCAAAACGUUCGGAUCGCAGGGGGAACCAAAAUCUGGGAGUAAUAGCAUACAAAACUGGCUGACAUAGGCCAAAACUACGAGUUUUCACUAUUUGCCCUUAACCGGACCCUGGGGUUCCCGAACUGUUCGGAUGGCAUCGGGACCCAAAAUCAGUGACUAAUAGCAUACAAAACUUGUCGGAAUAGGCCAAAACUACGAGUUUCGACGAGUUGUCCGUAACCGGACCCCGGGGUUCCCGGAACGUUCGGAUCGCAGCGGGACCCAAAAUGAGUGACUAAUAGCAUACAAAACUCGCCAGAAUAGACCAAAACCGCGAGUUUUGACGAGUUCACCGUAACCGGACCCCGGGGUUCCCGAAACGUUCGGAUCGCAGGACCCAAAAUGAGUGACUAAUAGCAUACAAACGUGGCUAGAAUAGGCUCAAACUGCGAGUUUUGACGAGUUCUUUGUAACUGGACCCCGGGGUUCCCGAAAUAUUCGGAUCACAGGACGACCCAACAUGAGUGACUGAUAGUAUACAAACGUGGCCAGAAUAGGCUAAAACUGCGAGGUUUGACGAGUUCCCNNNNNNNNNNNNNNNNNNNNNNNNNNNNNNNNNNNNNNNNNNNNNNNNNNNNNNNNNNNNNNNNNNNNNNNNNNNNNNNNNNNNNNNNNNNNNNNNNNNNCUGGGGGAAUAGGCUAGAACUGCGAGUUUUGACCGAGUUCCCCGUAACCGGACCCAAGGGUUCCCGAAACGUUCGGAUCACAGCGGAACCCACGAUGAGUAGACUAAUAGCAAUACAAAACUAGGGGGAAUAGGCCAGAACUACGAGUUUUGACGAGUUCCCCGUAACCGGACCCAAUGGUUCCCGAAACAUUCGGAUCACAUCGGGACCCAAAAUCAGUGACUAAUAGCAUACAAAACUAGCGGGAAUAGUCUAGAACUGUGAGUUUUGAUGAGUUCCCUGUAACCGGACCCCAAGGUUCCUUGAAACAUUCGGAUCAYAGCGGGACCCAAAAUCAGUGAGUAAUAGCAUACAAAACUGGCCAGAAUAGRCCAAAACUGYRAGUUUYGACGAGUUCCCCGUAACUGGACCCAAGGGUUCCCGAAACAUUGGGAUCACACCGAGAACCAAAAUAAGUGACUAAUAGCAUACAAAACUGGCAAAUUAGGCCAAAAGUGUGAGUUUUAACGAGUUCCAAGUAACCGGACCCCAAGGUUCCCGAAACGUUCGGAUCACAACGGGGCCCAAAAUCAAUGACUAAUAGCAUACAAAACUAGCCGGAAUAGGCCAAAACUGCGAGGUUUUACGAGUUCCCCGUAACCUGAUGCAAGGGUUUCCGAAACAUUCGGAUUACAUAGAGACCCAAAAUCAGUGACAAAUAGCAUACAAAACUUUCCAGAAUUGGCCAAAACUAUAGGUUUUGACGAGUUCCCCGUAACCGGACCCCGGGGUCCCAAAACAUUCUCAUCACAACGGGACCCGAAAUCAAUGACUAAUAGCAUUCAAAACUGGGCGGAAUAGGCCAAAACAGCGAGUUCUCACAAGUUCCCGGUAACCGGACCCCGGGGUUCUCGAAACGUUCGGAUCGCAGCNNNNNNNNNNNNNNNNNNNNNNNNNNNNNNNNNNNNNNNNNNNNNNNNNNNNNNNNNNNNNNNNNNNNNNNNNNNNNNNNNNNNNNNNNNNNNNNNNNNNAACUCGUCAAAACUCGCAGUUUUGGCCUAUUACUGCGAGUUUGCUUUUGCUAUUAGUCACUGAUUUUGGGUCCCGUUUGUCGAUCCAAUAUUUCGGAAACCGUAGAGUCAUGUUACGGGGAACUCGUACAAAACUCACAGUUUUAGCCUUUUCUGGCCACGUUUGUAUGCUAUUAGUCACUCAUUUUGGGUCCUCCUGCGAUCCGAACGUUUCGGGAACCCCGAGGUCCGGUUACAAAGAACUCAUCAAAACUCGCAGUUUGAGCCUUUUCUGGCCACGUUUGUAUGCUAUUAAACACUCAUUUUGUGUCCUCCUGUGAUCUGAACGUUUCUGGCACCCUGGGGUCUAGUUACGGGGAACUCGUCAAAACUCAUAGUUUUGGCCUAUUCCGACCAGUUUUGUAUGCUAUUAGUCAAAGAUUUCGGGUCCUGCUGCUAUCCGAACGUUUUGGGAACGUCGGGUUCCGCUUACGAGGAACUCAUCAAUACUCGCGGUUUUGGCCUAUGCCGGCCAUUUUUGGAUGCUAUUACUCACUGAUUUUGGUUUCCACUUCGAUCCGAACGUUUCGGGAACCUCGAGGUCCGGUUACGGGGAACUCGUCAAAACUCACAGAUUUUGUCUAUUCUGGCUAGUUUUGUAUGCUAUUACUAACUAAUUUUGGGUCCUGUUGCGAUCCAAACGUUUCAGGAAUCCCGAGGUCGGGUUACGGGGAACUCGUCAAAACUCGCAGUUUUAGCCUAUUCUGGCCACGUUUGUAUGCUAUCAGUCACUCAUUUUGGGUCCUCCUGCGAUCCGAACAUUUCGGGAACCACGGGGUCCGGUUACAAAGAACUCGUCAACACUCACAGUUUGAGCCUUUCUCGCCAUGUAUGUAUGCUAUNNNNNNNNNNNNNNNNNNNNNNNNNNNNNNNNNNNNNNNNNNNNNNNNNNNNNNNNNNNNNNNNNNNNNNNNNNNNNNNNNNNNNNNNNNNNNNNNNNNNCCCAUGAAGCGGUCUUGCCGGCGAUUCUAAAGCCACUAACUAACUUAUCUGAAGAAAGAAAACUACACUGAACCGUACGUGCACGCUGACGGCUCGCUUAUUCAGCUAAGGUUUGAAUCAAAGUUGGCAAGGGGAUUAUCCUUCAUGGGCGCGGGCGUCCCGAGGGUGAGGCCUCGGUGCGGCCUUCAGGCGGUAGGCGCCGCGAGUCCCUGUCGUUGUGACCGCCGAGUGCAAUGUGGCUGCGCCACAAUAGAAAUGCUGGGGACUCCACGCCGCGUGCCAGUCAUCGCCGCUCUCGUCCGUCGCUGGACGUUGAGGAUGCGGACGCAGCGGCUACGCUCCGGUUGUUUCUGGAGGCUGAGGAGAGCCGUUGUUGGAGAUGUAGCCAAUGGCUGACUCUCCGUGCGUUGGCGUUCUCCAACUGAUGUGUGCAUAGCCAGGUAUGUCAAAGUAUUAACUUUUGAGGCAUUUGUGCUUACAGAAUCGAAAAUCGGAAGGUAGCACCUUGUUCUUGUAGCCAUUAGAUCAAGAUUUUUGUAUGAGCAUGACUGCUUGAUCUUCUGUUUGAUUUUUAUCUUUCUCGAGGCCAAACCCGUGGAAUCAAGGGUCACAGGAGAUCAGGACCGCCGGAGUUGCUACCUCCUUCAUGCCGAUUUCUAUUUCGUCUGGCCUUUCCGUCAGGCUGAGGGGGCGAUGCAAUAGCCAGGAACCACUGCGCCGAUGGAAUCGCUCUGGUCGGGAAGCAGUGUUGAUAACGUGUUGAAUGGAAUCGAGAAACAAACGAUAAAGACAACAAAAUGAUUCAAACUGUAUCAUUUUCAUUGAUGAUGAUGUCUUACAUAGAAUUACAAAGGGUGCCUCCAAGGGGUGUUUGUACGAAGGGACAUGAGCAACCGACAUGCCAAAAGUAAUUGCCUUGGUAAUUAAGAAAAGCAAGGAUUAACAUAAUUCUCUCCCUAAUCUCUUCCUAAUCCUAAUAAUAAAGCAGCUACUGCUUCUGUCGCCCGUCUAGAGGUUUUGCAAAAACGUCCCCCUGUUAUUUCAAAAUCAACCCGCGGUCCUCCAUUAAGUGGAAAAAAAUGUUUCGCCUUUUCAAAAAAGCCCCUGUCCUCCACCGGUCCAGGGCUCACGGUCCGGUCCCGAUCUGGUUGAGGAGGAGGUCGGUCCGUCGACGGCGGCUCCGGCGCCGGCGAGCAUCGCGGCGGUGGUCAGAGGUGGAGGCGAGGCCAAGGGGCGCGUUGGGCGGCCGGAUCCAUGGCGAGCCGGGCCGGAUCUGGCGGCGGGCACAGCGCACCAUGCGCUGGGGCGGCUAGACAGGAGGCGGCGGCGUGCAACAGCGCNNNNNNNNNNNNNNNNNNNNNNNNNNNNNNNNNNNNNNNNNNNNNNNNNNNNNNNNNNNNNNNNNNNNNNNNNNNNNNNNNNNNNNNNNNNNNNNNNNNNUCCAUGGAUUGAUAAACCUUAGGUCACCCACUUGAGGGAAAAUUGCGACUGUCCCACAAACCUCUGCACUUGGAGGCCCAACAACGUCUACAAGGAGAAGGUUGCGUAGUAGACAUCACGAUCCAGAGGUUUCGGAAGCCCGAGGUCCGGUUACGUGGAACUCGUCAAAACUCGUAGCGUUGGUCUAUUCUGGCCAGUUUUGUAUGCUAUUACUCACUGAUUUUGGGUCCCGCUGCGAUCCNNNNNNNNNNUGUUUCGGAACCUCGGGUUCGGUUACGUGGAAUUCAUCAAAACUCGCUGUUUUGGCCUAUUCCGGACAGUUUUGUAUGCUAUUACUCACUGAUUUUGGUUCCCGCUGCGACCCGAACGUUUCGGGAACACCGGGGUCCGGUUACGGGGAACUCGUCAAAACUCAUAGUUUUGGUCUAUUCUCGCCGGUUUUGUAUGCUAUUAAUCACUGAUUUUGGGUCCCGUUGCGAUCCGAACGUUUCGGAAACCCCGGGGUCGAGUUACGUGGAACUCGUGAAAACUCACAGUUUUGGCCUAUUCUGGCUAGUUUUGUAUGCUAUUAGUCAGUGAUUUUGGGUCCCGUUGUGGUUAGGGCUGCAAGAAAAGCUCGAGGCUCGUGAGCCGCUCGAGAUCGACUCGUGUUUUGGCUCGACUCGAGAUCGACUCGAAAAGGAACGAGUUGAGUAUGAACAUUUUUUGUAGCUCGAUCGAGAAACGAGCCGAUCUUAAGCCAAUAUCCGCUCCCUCGAUUUUAGCUCGAUAGCUCGGCUAAACAUCAUUAUAUUAAAUGAUCAUGUCAUAUAUUAAAUGGAAAUAGAAUAAUUUGUUACCAUAUAUAGUGUCCACAAUUAUUUUCAUUUUAUUUAUUAGCAAAUACGGAAGUUUAAUUAAGUGUAGAGAAAGUUUAGGCCUUAUUAUGGUACAUGNNNNNNNNNNNNNNNNNNNNNNNNNNNNNNNNNNNNNNNNNNNNNNNNNNNNNNNNNNNNNNNNNNNNNNNNNNNNNNNNNNNNNNNNNNNNNNNNNNNNUCAUUCCAUUUGGACUCCGUCUGAAAAUGGGCCAAAAACACGGAAAAAACAGAAACUGGCACUUGGCACUGAGUUAAUAGGUUAGUCCCAAAAAAGAUACUCCCUCCGUCCCAAAAUAAGUAUCUUAAGCUUAGUACAAUUUUGUACUAGAGCUAGUACAAAGUUAAGACAGUUAUUUUGGGACAGAGGGAGUAUAAAAUAGCAUAGUAAUGCAUAUAAAAGAUCCAAAGUUGACAAGAUAAUAGCAUGGAACCAUAAAAAAUUAUAGAUACGUUGGAGACGUAUCAGAACGCAGCGGGACCCAAAAUCAGUGAGUAAUAGCUUACAAAACUAGCUAGAAUAGACAAAAAAUGCGAGUUUUGACGAGUUCCCCGUAACAGGACCCCGGGGUUCCCAAAACGUUCGGAUCGCAGGGGGAACCAAAAUCUGGGAGUAAUAGCAUACAAAACUGGCUGACAUAGGCCAAAACUACGAGUUUUCACUAUUUGCCCUUAACCGGACCCUGGGGUUCCCGAACUGUUCGGAUGGCAUCGGGACCCAAAAUCAGUGACUAAUAGCAUACAAAACUUGUCGGAAUAGGCCAAAACUACGAGUUUCGACGAGUUGUCCGUAACCGGACCCCGGGGUUCCCGGAACGUUCGGAUCGCAGCGGGACCCAAAAUGAGUGACUAAUAGCAUACAAAACUCGCCAGAAUAGACCAAAACCGCGAGUUUUGACGAGUUCACCGUAACCGGACCCCGGGGUUCCCGAAACGUUCGGAUCGCAACAGGAACCAAAAUCAAUGAGUAAUAGCAUACAAAACUCGCCAGCAUAGGCCAAAAUUGCGAGUUUUAACGAGUUCCCCGUUACCGGACCCCGGGGUUUCCGAAACGUUCGGAUCGCAGCGGGACCCAAAAUCAAUGAGUAAUAGCAUACAAAACUGACCACAAUAGGCCAAAACUAUAAUUUUUUACGAGUUCCCCGUAACCAGACCACGGGAUUACCGAAACAUUCGGAUCACAAUGGGACCAAAAAUCAGUGACGCAUACGAAACUGGCCAGAAUAGGCCAAAACUGCUACUUUUCAUGAGUUCCUCGUGACCGGACCCCGAUGUUUUCGAAACGUUCAGAUCACAACGGGACCCAAAAUCAGUGAUUAAUAGCAUAUAAAACUGGCGACAAUAGACCAAAACUACGAGUUUUAACAAAUUCUCCGUAACUAGACCCCGGGGUUCCCGAAACGUUUGGAUCGCAACAGGACCCAAAAUCAGUGAGUAAUAGCAUACAAAACUGGCCAGAAUAAAACAAAACUUUAAGGUUCGACGAGUUCCCUGUAAUCAGACCAUGGGUUCCCGAAACAUUCGGAUCACAACGGGAAACAAAAUCAGUAAGUAAUAGCGUACAAAACUGGCCGGAAUAGGUCAAAACUGCGAGUUUUCAAGAUUUCCCCUUAACCGGACCCCGGGGUUCCCAAAACGUUCGGAUGGAAUCAGGACCCAAAAUCAGUGACUAAUAGCAUAGAAAACUGGCGAGAAUAGACCUAAACUUUGAGUUUUGACGAAUUCCCCGUAAUUGGACCCCGUGGUUCCACGUAACCGGACCCUAGACUUCCCGAAACAUUCCGAUCACAGCGGGACCAAAAAUCAGUUACUAAUAUCAUAGAAAACUGGUUGUAAUAGGCCAAAACUGCGAGUUCUGACGAGUUCUGUGUAACCGGAACUCGAGGUUCCCGAAAUGUUCGGAUCAAGGAGGACCCAUAAUGAGUGACUGAUAGCACACAAACGUGGCGAGAAUAGGCUAAAACGCGAGUUUUGACGAUUUCCCCGUAAUCGGACAUCGGGGUUCCCGAAACGAUCGGAUCGGAGCGGGACCCAAAAGCAAUGAGUAAUAGCAUACAAAACUUGGCACAAUAGGCCAAAACUGCGUGUUUUGACGAGUUCCAUGUAGCCGGAACCCGGGGUUCCCGAAACGUUCGGAUCGCAGCGGGACCCAAAAUUAGUGACUAAUAGCAUACAAAAAUGGCCGGAAUAGGCCAAAACUGCGAGUUUUCAUGAUUUCCCCUUAACCGGACCCUGGGGUUCCCGAAACGUUCGGAUGGCGUCGGGACCCAAAAUCAGUGACUAAUAGCAUACAAAACUGGCUAGAAUAGCUCAAAACUACGAGUUUUGACGAAUUCCCCGUAACCGGACCCGGGGUUUCCGAAACGUUCGGAUUGUAUCGGGACCCAAAUUCAGCGAGUAAUAGCAUACAAAACUGGCCAGAAUAGAGCAAAACUACGAGUUUUGACGAGUUCCCCGUAACCGAACACCGGGGUUCCCGAAAUGUUCGGAUCGCAGCAGGAACCAAAAUCAAUGAGUAAUAGCAUACAAAACUCGCUAGCAUAGGCCAAAAUUGCGAGUUUUGACGAGUUCCCCGUAACCGGACCACGGGGUUCCCAAAACGUUCGUAUCGCAGUGGGAACCAAAACCAGUUUGUAAUAGCAUGUAAAACUCGUCAGAAUAUGCCAAAAUUGCGAGUUUUGAUGAGUUCCUCGUAAUCGGAACCCGGGUUUCCCAAAACGUUUGGAUCGCAGUAGGACCCAAAGUUAGUGAUAAUAUCAUACAAAACUCGCGAGAAUAGGCCAAAACUUCGAGUUUUGACGAGUUCCCCGUAACCAGACCCCAGCGUUCCUGAAACAUUUGGAUCAUAGCGGGACCCAAAAUUAGUGACUAAUAGCACAAAAAACUGGUCGUAAUAGGCAACACUGCGAGUUUUGACGAGUUCUGUGUAACCGGACCCCGGGGUUCCAGAAACGUUCGGAUCGCACGAGGACCCAAAAUGAGUCAUUAAUAGCAUACAUACAUGGCGAGAAAGGCUCAAACUGUGAGUGUUGACGAGUUCUUUGUAACCGGACCCCGUGGUUCCCGAAAUGUUCGGAUCGCAGGAGGACCCAAAAUGAGUGACUGAUAGCAUACAAACGUGGCCAGAAUAGGCUAAAACUGCGAGUUUUGACGAGUUCCCCGUAACCCGACAUCGGGGUUCCGAAAACGUUUGGAUCGCAGUGGGACCCAAAAUCAGUGAGUAAUAGCAUACAAAACUUGCCACAAUAAGCCAAAAUUGCGUGUUUUGACGAGUUCCACGUAGUCGGAUUCCGGUGUUCCCGAAAUGUUCGGAUCGCGGCGAGACCCAAAUUAGUGAGUAAUAGCAUACAAAACUAGCCAGAGUAGGCCAAAACUGUGAGUUUUCACGAGUUCCACGUAACCGGACCCCGGGGUUUCCGAAAUAUUCGGAUUGUAAUGGGACCCAAAAUCAGCGAUUAAUAGCAUACAAAACUCGCGAGAAUAGACCAAAACUACGAGUUUUGACGAGUUGCUCGUAACCGGACCCCGGGGUUCCCAAAUCGUUCGGAUCGCAGCGGGAACCAAAAUCAGUGAGUAAUAGCAUACAAAACUAGUCGGAAUAGGUCAAAACUGCGAGUUUUGACGACUUCCCACUAACCGGACCCCGGGGUUCCCGAAACGUUCGGAUCGCAGCGGGAGCCAAAAUCAGUGAGUAAUAGCAUACAAAACUGGCCAGAAUAGACCAAAGCUGCGAGUUUUGACGAGUUCCCCGUAACCCGACCUCGGGAUUCCUGAAACGUUUGGAUCGCAACAGGACCCAAAAUUAGUUAGUAAUAGCAUACAAAACUAGCCAGAAUAGACAAAAUCUGUGAGUUUUGACGAGUUCCCCGUAACCGGACCUCGAGGUUCCCGAAACGUUCGGAUCGAAGUGGAAACCAAAAUCAGUGAGUAAUAGCAUCCAAAAAUGGCCGGCAUAGGCCAAAACCGCGAGUAUUGAUGAGUUCCUCGUAAGCGGAACCCGACGUUCCCAAAACGUUCGGAUAGCAGCAGGACCCGAAAUCUUUGACUAAUAGCAUACAAAACUGGUCGGAAUAGGCCAAAACUAUGAGUUUUGACGAGUUCCCCGUAACUAGACCCCAGGGUGCCAGAAACGUUCAGAUCACAGGAGGACACAAAAUGAGUGUUUAAUAGCAUACAAACGUGGCCAGAAAAGGCUCAAACUGCGAGUUUUGAUGAGUUCUUUGUAACCGGACCUCGGGGUUCCCGAAACGUUCGGAUCGCAGGAGGACCCAAAAUGAGUGACUAAUAGCAUACAAACGUGGCCAGAAAAGGCUAAAACUGUGAGUUUUGACGAGUUCCCCGUAACAUGACUCUACGGUUUCCGAAAUAUUUGGAUCACAACGGGACCCAAAAUCAGUGACUAAUAGCAAAGACAACUCGCAGUAAUAGGCCAAAACUGCGAGUUUUGACGAGUUGUUUGUAACCGGACCCCGGGGUUACCGAAAUGUUCGGAUCGCGGGAGGAGCCAAAAUGAGUGACCAAUAGCAUACAAAGAUGGCUAGAAUAGGCUAAACUUGCGAGUUUCGACAAGUUCCCCGUAACCGGACAUCGGGGUUCCCAAAACGUACAGAUCGCAGGGGGACCCAAAAACAGUGAGUAAUAGGAUAGAAAACUGGCCACUAUAAGCCAAAACUGCUUGUUUUGACGAGUUCCACGUAACCGGAUCCCGGGGUUCCUGAAACGUUCGGAUCGCAACGGGUCCCAAAAUCAGUGAGUAAUAGCAUACAAAACUGGCCACAAUAGGCCAAAACUGCCAUUUUUUACAAGUUCCCCGUAACCGGACCACGGAGUUACCGAAAUGUUUGGGCCACAACGCGACCCAAAAUUAGUGACUGAUGGCAUACAAAACUAGCCAGAAUAGACCAAAACUGUGAGUUUUCACGAGUUCCACGUAACUGGACCCCGGGGAUUCCGAAACGUUCGGAUCGCAACGGGUCUAAAAAUCACUGAUUAAAAGCAUACAAAACCGGCGAGAAUAGACCAAAACUAUGAGUUUUGACGAGUUCGCCGUAACCGGACCCCGAGGUUCCCGAAACGUUCGGAUCGCAACGGCAACCAAAAUCAGUGAGUAAUAGCAUACAAAACUGGCCGGAAUAGGCCAAAACUGCGAGUUUUGACGACUUCCCCGUAACCGAACCCGGGGUUCCCAAAACGUUCGGAUCGCAGCGGGACCCAAAAUUAGUGAGUAAUAGGAUACAAAACUGGCCAGAAUAGNNNNNNNNNNNNNNNNNNNNNNNNNNNNNNNNNNNNNNNNNNNNNNNNNNNNNNNNNNNNNNNNNNNNNNNNNNNNNNNNNNNNNNNNNNNNNNNNNNNNUGGGUAAGAGAUAACCGAGGCACGCGAAGACGAUGAUGUAUCUCGAAAUUCACACCCUUGCGGAUGCUAAUCUCCGUUGGAGCGGUGUGGAGGCACAAUGCUCCCCGAGAUGCCACUAAGGCCACCGUAAUCUCCUCACGCUCUCGCACAAUGCAAGAUGCUGUGAUUCCACUAAGGGACCCUUGAGGGCGGUCACCGAACCCGUACAAANNNNNNNNNNACGAUGCCACUAAGACCAUCGUAAUCUCCUCACGCUCUCGCACAAUGCAAGAUGCCGUGAUUCCACUAAGGGAUCCUUAAGGGCGGUGCAAGAUGCCGUGAUUCCACUAAGGGACCCUUGAGGGCGGUCACCGAACCCGUACAAAUGGCAAACCUUGGGGGCAGUCACCGAUACCCGUACAAAUUGCUCAGGGCAAUCUCCACGACCUAAUUGGAGACCCCGAUGCUUGCCCGGAGCUUUACACCACAAUGAUUGAGCUCCGAGACACCACCNNNNNNNNNNGGUCACCGAUACCCAUACAAAUUGCUCGGGGCAAUCUCCACAACCUAAUUGGAGAUCCCGACGCUUGCCCGGAGCUUUACACCACAAUGAUUGAGCUCCGAGACACCACCAAGCUUCAAGGACGCCAAAGCAUCCAUGAAGAACAAUAUCUAGGGUACUAAGUACCAAAGGUAAUAAGCUUCUCAAACUUCACUUCCACGUAUCACCGUGGAGAACUCAAACGAUGCAACUAAUGCAAUGGCAAGGGCACACAGAGUGCCCAAGUCCUUCUCUCCCAAAUCCCACCAAAGCAACUAAUGCUAGGGAGGAAAAUGAGAGGAAGAACGAAGAAGAACACGAAGAACUCCAAGAACUAGACCAAGGGGUUCCCCUCACUUAGAGGAGAAAGUGAUUGGUGGAAAUGUGNNNNNNNNNNNNNNNNNNNNNNNNNNNNNNNNNNNNNNNNNNNNNNNNNNNNNNNNNNNNNNNNNNNNNNNNNNNNNNNNNNNNNNNNNNNNNNNNNNNNUCGUCAAAACUCGCAGUUUUGCUCUAUUCUGGCCAGUUUUGUAUGCUAUUACUCACUGAUUUUGGGUCCUGAUACGAUCCGAACGUUUCGGAAACUCCGGGGUCCGGUUACGGGGAACUUGUCAAAACUCGUAGUUUUGGCCUAUUCCGCACAGUUUUGUAUGCUAUUAGUCACUGAUUUUGGGUCCCGAUGCCAUCCGAACGUUUCGGGAACCCGGGGGUCCGGUUAAGGGGAAAUCGUGAAAACUCGCAGUUUUGGCCUAUGGCGUCCAGUUUUGUAUGCUAUUACUCCCAGAUUUUGGUUCCCGCUGUGAUCCCAAUGUUUCGGGAACCCCGGGGUCCGGUUAUGGGGAACUCGUCAAAACUCGCAGUUUUUGUCUAUUCUAGCUAGUUUUGUACGCUAUUACUCACUGAUUUUGGAUCCGCUGCGAUCCAUACGUUUCGGGAAGCCCGAGGUCCGCUUACGGGGAACUCGUCAAAACUCGCAGUUUUGGUCUAUUCUGCCCAGUUUUGUAUGCUAUUACUCACUGAUUUUGGGUCCCGCUGCGAUCCGAACAUUUCGGGAACACCGGGGUUCGAUUACGGGGAAGUCGUCAAAACUCGCAGUUUUGGCCUAUUCCAACCAGUUUUGUAUGCUAUUACUCACUGAUUUUGGUUCCCGCUGUGACCCGAACGUUUCGGGAACCCCGGGGUCCGGUUACUGGGAACUCGUUAAAACUCGUAGUUUUGGUCUAUUCUCGCCGGUUUUGUAUGCUAUUAAUCACUGAUUNNNNNNNNNNUAUCCAGUUACGUGGAACUCGUGAAAACUCGCAGUUUUGGCCGAUUGUGGCUAGUUUUGUAUGCUAUUAGUCACUGAUUUUGGGUCCCGUUAUGAUCUGAACGUUUCGGUAACCCCGUGGUCCGGUUACGGGGAACUCGUAAAAAACGCAGUUUUGGCCUAUUGUGGCCAGUUUUUUAUGCUAUUACUUACUGAUUUUGGGACCCGCUGCGAUUCGAAUGUUUCGGGAACCCCGGGAUCCGGUUACAUGGAACUCGUCAAAACACGCAGUUUUGGCUUAUUGUGGCCAGUUUUCUAUGCUAUCACUCACUCAUUUUGGGUCCCGCUACGAUCCGAACGUUUCGGGAACCCCGAUGUCUGGUUACGGGGAACUUGUCAAAACUCAUAGUUUUUGCCUAUUGUGGCCACGUUUGUAUGCUAUUAGUCACUCAUUUUGGUUCCUCCUGCGAUCCGAACGUUUCUGAAACCCCGGGGUCCGGUUACACAGAGCUCGUCAAAACUCGCAGUUUUGGCCUAUUAUUGCCAGUUGUCUAUGCUAUUAGUCACUGAUUUUGGGUCUCGCUGUGAUCCGAAUGUUUCGGGAAUCCUGGGGUCUAGUUACGGGGAACUCGUCAAAACUCGCAAUUUUGCCUAUUCUCGCGAGUUUUGUAUGCUAUUAGUCAAUGAUUUUGGGUCCUGCUGCUAUCCGAACGUUUUGGGAACCCCGGGUUCCGGUUACGGGGAACUCAUCAAAACUCGGAGUUUUGGCCUAUUCUGGCGAGUUUUGUAUGCUAUUACUCACUGAUCUUGAUUCCCGUUGCGAUACGAACGUUUCGGAAUCCCCGGGGUCCGGUAACGGGGAACUGGUCAAAACUCGCAAUUUUGGCCUAUGCUGGUGAAUUUCAUAUGCUAUUACUCAUUGAUUGUGGUUCCUGCUGCGAUCAGAACGUUUCGGGAACCCCGGGGUCCGGUUAUGGUGAACUCGUCAAAACUCGCAGUUUUGGUCUAUUCUGGCCAGUUGUGUAUGCUAUUACACACUGAUUUUGGGUCCCGCUGCGAUCCGAACGUUUCAGGAACCCCGUGGUCCGGUUACGGGGAACUCGUCAAAACUCAUAGUUUUGGCCUAUUCCGGCCAGUUUUGUAUGCUAUUAGUCACUGACUUUGGGUCCCGAUGCCAUCCGAACGUUUAAGGAACCCCGGGGUCCGGUUGAGGGGAAAUCGUAAAAACUCACAGUUUGGGCCUAUGACGGCCAGUUUUGGAUGUUAUUACUCACAGAUUUUGGUUCCCGCUGCGAUCCGAACGUUUCGGGAACCCCGGGGUCCGGUUACGAGGAACUCGUCAAAACUUGCAGUUUUUGUCUAUUCUGGCUAGUUUUGUAUGCUAUUACUAACUGAUUUUUGGUCCCGCCGCGAUCCAAACGCUUCGGGAAGCCCGAGGUCCAGGUACGGGGAACUCGUCAAAACUCGUAUCUUUGGUCUAUUUUGACCAGUUUUGUAUGCUAUUACUCACUGAUUUUGGCUCCCGCUGCGAUCUGAACGUUUCGGGAACCCCGGGGUCCGGUUACGGGGACGUUGUCAAAACUCGUAGUUUUGGCCUAUUCCGACCAGUAUUGUAUGCUAUUACUCACUAAUUUUGGUUCCCGCUGCGAUCCGAACGAUUCGGGAACCCCGGGGUCCGGUUACAGGGAACUCGUCAAAACUCAUACUUUUGGUCUAUUCUUGUCAGUUUUGUAUGCUAUUAAUCGCUGAUUUUGGGUCCCAUUACGAUCCGAACAUUUCAGAAACCCCCGGGUCCGGUUACGUGGAACUCGUGAAAACUAGCAGUUUUGACCUAUUCUGACUAGAUUUGGAUCUCGCCGUGAUCCGAACGUUUCGGGAACCCCGGGAUCCGAUUACGUGGAACUCGUCAAAACAUGCAAUUUUGGCAUAUUGUGGCAAGUUUUAUAUGCUAUUACUCACUGAUUUUGGGUCCCUCUACGACCCGAACGUUUCAGGAACCCCGAUGUCCGGUUAUGGGGAACUCAUAUUGUGGCCACGUUUGUAUGCGAUGAGUCACUCAUUUUGGGUCCUCCUGCGAUCCGAACAUUUCAGGAACCCCGGGAUCCGGUUACAGUGAACUCGUCAAAACUCGCAGUUUGGGCCUUUUGUUGCCACGUUUGUAAGCUAUUAAUCACUCAUUUUGGGUCCUCCUGCGAUCCGAGCGUUUCUGGAACCCCGGGUUCCGGUUACAUAGAACUCGUCAAAACUCGCAGUGUUGCCUAUUACGACUACUUUUCUAUGCUAUUAGUCUCUGAUUUUGGGUCCCGCUGUGAUCCGAAUGAUUCGGGAACCCUGGGGUCUGGUUACGGGAACUCGUCAAAACUCGAAGUUUUGGCCUAUUCUGGCGAGUUUUGUAUGAUAUUAGUCACUAAUUUUGGGUCCUGUUGCGAUCCGAAUGUUUUGUGAACCCCGUGUUCCGAUUACAGGGAACUCAUCAAAACUCACAAUUUUGGCAUAUUCUGACGAGUUUUAUAUGCUAUUACUCACUCAUUAUGGUUCCCGCUAAGAUACGAACGUUUUGGGAACCCCGGGGUCCGGUUACGGGGAACUCGUCAAAACUCGCAAUUUUGGCCUAUGCUGGCGAGUUUUGUAUCCUAUUACUCAUUGAUUUUGGUUCCUCCUGCGAUCCGAACGUUUCGGAAACCCCGGGGUUCGGUUACGGGGAACUCGUCAAAACUCGCAGUUUUGCUCUAUUCUAGCCAGUUUUGUAUGCUAUUACUCACUGAUUUUGGGUCCCGAUACGAUCCGAACGUUUCAGAAACCCCGAGGUCCGGUUACGGGGAACUCGUCAAAACUCGUAGUUUUGGCCAAUUCUGGACAGUUUUGUAUGCUAUUAGUCACUGAUUUUGGAUCCCGAUGCCAUCCGAACGUUUCGGGAACCCCGGGGUCCGGUUAAGGGGAAAUCGUGAAAAAUCGCAGUUUUGGCCUAUGCCGGACAAUUUUGUAUGCUAUUACUCCCAGAUUUUGGGUCCCGCUACGAUCCGAAUGGUUCGGGAACCCCGGGGUCCGGUAAUGGGGAACCCGUCAAAACUCGCAGUUUUUGUCUAUUCUAGCUAGUUUUGUAUGCUAUUACUCAUUGAUUUUGUGUCCCGCUUUGAUCCAUACUUUUGCCCAGUUUUUUAUGUUAUUACUCACUGAUUUUGGGUCCCACUCCGAUCCGAACAUUUCGGGAACCCCGGGGUUCUAUUACGGGGAAGUCGUCAAAACUCGCAGUUUUGGCCUAUUCCGACCAGUUUUCUAUGCUAUUACUCACUGAUUUUGGUUCCCGCUGCAAUCCGAACGUUUCGGGAACCNNNNNNNNNNNNNNNNNNNNNNNNNNNNNNNNNNNNNNNNNNNNNNNNNNNNNNNNNNNNNNNNNNNNNNNNNNNNNNNNNNNNNNNNNNNNNNNNNNNNAAUUAAUUUUUGUUUUCCCAAGAUAUAUGUUGCUAGUGACAUUGAACACAACAUUGACUCAGUAAGUUUGGCACUCAAGGAGUUGUAUGAAGUUUAUGAGAGUGACCACACAACCAAUUUGGUUGCAGCAGAAAAGGAAGUGGAUAAUCAGGUCCUGGUUUCAGAAAAUGGGACAUCAAGCAAUAGUCUUAUGGCAAUUUCAACUCAGUUUCGUACCUUCAUGAAAGCUACUGCUAAAAAGGUUUCCAAGUCAGAUCUAGUUGCGUACUUGGAUGAGGCUGCACUUACUGAUCAUUCAGAAGUCUUUGAUGUGCUACUUUGGUGGAAGCAAAAUUCAUCAAGAUAUCCAAUACUAUCCAAGGUUGCGAAGGAUAUACUUACUGUGCCAGUCAGUAUUUUUUCUUCGGAAUCAUCAUUCAGUACUGGAGGUAGAGUGCUUGAUAAUUUUUGAAGCGCUUUACUCCCAAAUACUGUUGAGGCUUUGGUGUGUUCAGCUAGUUGGAUUAGAGGUCCCAAAAGAAGAAAAAAGCUAACAAUGUGAGUUCCUGAAUACUCUGUUUAUGCCAUAUAUUUNNNNNNNNNNNNNNNNNNNNNNNNNNNNNNNNNNNNNNNNNNNNNNNNNNNNNNNNNNNNNNNNNNNNNNNNNNNNNNNNNNNNNNNNNNNNNNNNNNNNGCUUUUUCGUUUUUUCUUUCUUCCACGAACACCAUCAUCUGCUGCAAGCUUGCAAGAUGAGCUCCCUGAGAACGACGAGAUGGUUGUACAACCGAUCAAAGUAAGCCCCUUUUCUGAGAUUUGAGUAUACAUUCACGUGUAAAAUACUCUUGCGUAAUUCAGAGUACAGCCAAAGUGACCAUGCCUCCACAGAUUCAGAGUACAAUCUCAUCUACUGUCCAACACACGUCCAACACAGAUUCAACGUACAACCUCAUCCAUCUGUCCAAUGCACAUCCGCCUCCAGCCCUUCGCCUUGUUCUCCACCAUGACCAUGCCUCGCCAUCGACCGACGGCGUGAACUUCUGACCUCUUCUUUGCCCCAUGACCGGCAGUCCGGCACUUCGUGCACCCGUGCCCGAGGAUGCUCCUCAUCUUCUUGGUGGCUGGAGCAUAAGCUUGCACACCGCCACAUCCACGCGGCACUUCCACACUGCCACGCCGGCAGCCUGACACGCCGCACCCGAUGUUGUCGCCCUGGUCGCUGGAUGGCCGGAUUCCCUGCUUUUGGUUAGGUGUGUGUAUGCACUAUCAGCUGCCGGUUGAAUCUCUCUGAUUAUGCGUGGGUUUUCAAGAAGGUCUGUUGGUUGUGAUGCGACUGAUGUUCAUCUAUUGUUUGACGUACUACAGAUUUUCCAAUAUGUCCAAUAAUUUAGAUGUUCUUCUAAUCUUCUGGUAAUUUAGAUGUCCAUCCAAUCGCUUAAUUUAUACUUACUAGAAAAUGCAAUCUGUUUUUAAAAGAAUAGGGGAUGAGGAAAUUGCUGAAUGUCCAUUAGCUCCUGAUUUUGAUUCCCAGUUACGCGUGAACUUAGUGUGACUAUUGUGUUUGUGUUAACAAUAUAUGCGACAUAUGUUAUACCGAUANNNNNNNNNNGCACCUUAAUGUUUGUUCACAUAUGUUUAAUACCUCUGAAUCUUAGGUCUGACAUAUGUGAUAUGUUAUACUGAUACUUUGCAUUUGAAUAUUUGUUCACAUAUGUUUAAUACCUCUGAAUCGUAGGUCCUUUGUGAGAAUGAAGCCAAGGAGGCCAAGGAAGUUGUGAUGGUUGAGGAUGAUGNNNNNNNNNNAAAAAAAUAGGGGAUGAGGAAAUUGCCGAAUGUCCAUUAGCUCCUGAUUUUGAUUCCCAGUUACGCGUCAAUUUAGUAUGACUAUUGUGUUUGUGUGAACAAUAUACGCGACAUAUGUUGUACCGAUACUUUGCACCUUGAUGUUUGUUCACAUAUGUUUAAUACCUCUGAAUCUUAGGUCCGACUUAUGUGAUAUGUUAUACUGAUACUUUGCAUUUUAAUAUUUGUUCACGUAUGUUUAAUACCUCUGAAUCAUAGGCCCUCUGUCAGAAUGAAUCCAAGGAGGCCAAGGAAGUUGUGAUGGUUGAGGAUGAUGAAUUGCCAAAAUCAUCGGGAAAAAGGAAAUACUCGGAUGUAUGGGAGCACUUUGAGGAGGUUGAGGUGCUUUCAAAGAAGAAAAAAGGAGAAAUGGAGAGAAAGGUCAAGUGCAAGUCUUGCAGCAAACUGUACAUGUACCCAAAGACUGGAACUACAACAACAAUGAAGAGGCAUCUGGAUGGCUGCUUUGCACAUCAGGGUGAGAAGAACAUCAAAAAAGGUCAAGACACUCUGAAUUUUGAUGCGGCUGAUGCGUGUGAUAUUGAUCUUCCAGUAGUCAAUUUCUCUGGUGGCUAUGAUCAUGGAAAAAUUCGUGAGCUUAUAGCUACAAUGAUAAUUGUCCAUGAGUACCCUUUCCGCAUGGUGGAGCAUUUUUGGUUCAAUGUGCUGAUGAAGACUUUGAAUCCUUCUUAUCAAAAGACAUCAAGAGCCACCAUCAGAAAUGAUUGUCUGCAGAUUUUUAAGUCCCGAAAGGAAACACUGAAGAAAGAACUUAAGAAUAUUCGCAAAAUUAGCCUCACGUGUGAUUUGUGGACCUCGAACCAAAGUCUCUGUUAUAUGAGCUUGGUGGCACACUNNNNNNNNNNUCUUUGAAUCCUUCUUAUCAGAAGACAACAAGAGCCACCAUCAGAAAUGAUUGUUUGCAGAUUUUUAAGUCCCGAAAGGAAACACUGAACAAGGAACUUAAGAAUAUUCGCAAAAUUAGCCUCACGUGUGAUCUGUGGACCUCGAACCAAAGUCUCUGUUAUAUGAGCUUGGUGGCACACUAUAUUGAUUCAGAAUGGAAUAUGCAGUACCGUGUGAUUAGUUUCCUUGAUCUGGAGCCACCACACACAGGUAUUGUGAUAUCUCAGGCUAUAUUUGAGUGCCUUUCUGAUUGGAAGAUUGAAGACAAAAUUGCAACUAUAACUCUUGAUAAUGCUUCUUCCAAUGGCAUGGCUGCUCGUCAACUCAUGUCCAAGUUUAAGGCGAGAGGAAGUGUGUUUUUUCCAUGGUAAAAUUUUUCAUGUCAGAUGCUCUGCUCAUAUACUCAACCUUUUGGUAUCAGAUGGCCUAAAAGCUAUAGAACCACUCAUUGAGAACAUCAGGCAGACUGUUAAGUAUUUGAAGAAAUCGCCAUCUCGGCUCUACAAAUUUACUAAGAUUGUCAAGUCACUUAACAUGUCAACCAAGAUGGGGUUGUGUCUUGAUGUUCCAACUAGAUUGGGAUCCACAUACAAGAUGCUUGAGCGUGACUUUGCUUUCAAAAAUGCAUUCUUACAUUAUGCAGAUUUGGAUGCCAAUUCUAAGUGGGAGCCAUCUAGCGAAGAGUGGAGGUUGUAUGCUAAAAUAAGGGAUAUUUUAGCAGUGUUGAGCAUGGCAACCACUGUGUUAUCUGGAUCAACCUAUCCUACAGCUAAUGAGUUCUUUCUUCUCAUUGUGAAUGUUAAGAAGGUCCUCGAUGAUGCAUUUAUCUCUACCGAUAAAUUCUUUCAUGAUAUGGGAAAUGCUAUGCUUCAGAAAUUUGAGAAAUAUUGGAAAGAGUGUAGUACUUUGCUGGCAAUAGCAUCAAUUUUGGAUCCAAGGUGCAAGAUGGAUCUAAUUAAUUUUUGUUUUCCCAAGAUAUAUGUUGCUAGUGACAUUGAACAUAACAUUGACUCAGUAAGUUUGGCACUGAAGGAGUUGUAUGAAAUUUAUGAGAGUGACCACACAACCAAUUUGGUUGCACCAGAAAAGGAAGUGGAUAAUCAGGUCCUUGUUUCAGAAAAUGGGACAUCAAGCAGUAGUCUUAUGGCAAUUUCAACUCAGUUUCGUACCUUCAUGAAAGCUACUGCUAAAAAGGUUUCCAAGUCAGAUCUAGUUGCAUACUUGGAUGAGGCUGCACUUACUGAUCAUUCGGAAGUCUUUGAUGUGCUACUUUGGUGGAAGCAAAAUUCAUCAAGGUAUCCAAUACUAUCCAAGGUUGCGAAGGAUAUACUUACUGUGCCAGUCNNNNNNNNNNCUGUUUCUUCGGAAUCAUCAUUUAGUACUGGAGGUAGAGUGCUUGAUAAGUUUUGAAGCGCUUUACUCCCAAAUACUGUUGAGGCUUUGCUGUGUUCAGCUAGUUGGAUAGAGUCUCCCAAAAGAAGAAGAAAGCUAACAAUGUGAGUUCCUGAAUACUCUGUUUAUGCCAUAUAUUUCAAAUAGUCUAACAUGUACAUAAGUACAUCUUACGAUUUUGUUGUGCACAAAUACUCUCAGGAUAAAGAACACCAAGAUGACUUACUUGAAGUUCCUUUUCUGGAUAAAGAUCCUUCAAUCGUUUCUACAGACUAGUAAGAAACGAAUAUAAUAUGGUGAACAUUCAUUUGAAUUGUUACAUUGUUUGUAUUAUCUUCCAAACUAAUAAAUUGUAAUAUGCAGGCGAGUUGCGCUUCUUGUUAUGUUGAUGGAGAAUUACUUCAAGUCCUACGAACUCCAAGAUCAUCUACGGCCUACACUAUACAACAACUUUUUAUGAUCUUCGACGAAUAAUUUGUUUUUCCAAUUAUAUAUCGGUCAUGAAUUGUCAUCUUAUGUUGAUGCUAGACUGUUGGUUAUUAGAGAAUAAGUCGAACUACUUUGAAUAAGCUACAUUAUCAUCAUAUUGAUUGGAAUAAUAUUUGUAGUGCUUUCUUAUGUCGUGAUGUGCCUUAUCUANNNNNNNNNNCCUCCAAGAUUUAUAUUUUUUACUGUCCCAUUUAGCUCGAAACUAACUCGAGACCGACUCGAGAUCGUUACAAGCUGAGUAUAAAUCAUGUUUUACAACUCGACAUUGAGCUUCACUCAGUUUGAGCUCACUUGAAUUUUAAUAUGAGCUGAACUGAGCCAAGUACAACUCGCUCGAACUCGACUCGUUUGCGGCCCUAGUUGUGGUCCGAACGUUUCGGCAACCCCGUGGUUCGGUUACAGGGAACUCGUAAAAAAUCGCAGUUUUGGCCUAUUGUGGCCAGUUUUGUACGCUAUUACUCACUGAUUUUGGGACCCGCUGCGAUCCGAAUGUUUCAGGAACCCCGGGAUCCUGUUACGUGGAACUCGUCAAAACACGCAGUUUUGGCUUAUUGUGGCCAGUUUUCUAUCCUAUUACUCACUGAUUUUGGGUCCCGCUGCGAUCCAAACAUUUCGGGAACCCCGAUGUCCGGUUACGGGGAAGUCGUCAAAACUCGCAGUUUUAGCCUAUUCUAGCCACGUUUGUAUGUUAUUAGUCACUCAUUUGGGGUCCUCCUGCGAUCCAAACAUUUCGGGAACCCCGGGGUCCGGUUACACAGAACUCGUCAAAACUCGUAGUUUUGGCCUAUUACUACCAGUUGUCUAUGCUAUUAGUCACUGAUUUUGGGUCCCGUUGUGAUCCGAGUGUUUCGAGAACCGUAGGGUCAUGUUACGGGGAACUCGUCAAAACUCGUAGUUUUAGCCUAUUCUAGCCAGGUUUGUAUGCUAUUAGUCACUCAUUUUGGGUCCUCCUGCGAUCCGAACGCUUCGGGAACCCCGGGGUCCGGUUACAAAGAACUCGUCAAAACUCGCAGUUUUGGCCUAUUACUUCAAGUUCUCUAUGCUAUUAGUCACUGAUUUUGGGAACCGAUGUGAUCCGAAUGUUUCAGAAACCCUCGGGUCUAGUUACGGGGAACUCGUCCAAACUCGCAGUUUUGGCCUAUGGUCGCGAGUUUUGUAUGCUAUUAGUCAAUGAUUUUGGGUCCUGCUGCUAUCCGAACGUUUUGGGAACCCCGGGUUUCGGUUACGGGGAACUCAUCAAAACUCGCAAUUUUGGCCUAUUCUGGUGAGUUUUGUAUACUAUUACUCACUGAUUUUGGUUCCCGCUGUGAUACGAACGUUUCGGGAACCCCGGGGUCCGGUAACGGGGAACUGGUCAAAACUCGCAAUUUUGGCCNNNNNNNNNNGUUUCGUAUGCUAUUACUCAUUGAUUUUGAUCCCCGCUGCGAUCCGAACGUUUCGGGAACCCCGGGGUCCAGUUAUGGUGAACUCGUCAAAACUCGCAGUUUUGGUCUAUUCUGGCCAGUUUUGUAUGGUAUUACUCACUGAUUUUGGGUCCCGCUGCGAUCCGAACGUUUCGGGAACCCCGUAGUCCGGUUACGGGGAACUCGUCGAAACUCAUAGUUUUGGCCUAUUGCGGCCAGUUUUGUAUGCUAUUAGUCACUAACUUUGGGUCCCGAUGUCAUCCGAACGUUUAGGGAACCCCGGGGACCGGUUGAGGGGAAAUCGUGAAAACUCCCAGUUUUGGCCUAUGCCAGCCAGUUUCGGAUGCUAUUACUCACUGAUUUUGGUUCCCGCUGUGAUCCGAACAUUUCAGGAACCCCGGGGUCCGGUUACGAGGAACUCGUCAAAACUCGCAGUUUUUGUCUAUUCUGGCUAGUUUUGUAUGCUAUUAUUAACUGAUUUUGGGUCCCGUUGCGAUCCAAACAUUUCGGCAAGCCCGAGGUCUUGUUACGGGGAACUCGUCAAAACUCGCAGCUUUGGUCUAUUCUGGCCAGUUUUGUAUGCUAUUACUCACUAAUUUUGGGUCCCGCUGCAAUCCGAACGAUUCGGGAACCACGUGGUCCGGUUACAGGGAACUUGUCAAAACUCGUAGUUUUGGUCUAUUCUCGCCAGUUUUGUAUGCUAGUAAUCGCUGAUUUUGGGUCCCAUUACGAUCCGAACAUUUCGGAAACCCCGGGGUCCGGUUACGUGGAACUCGUGAAAACUCGCAGUUUUGGCCUAUUCUGGCUAGUUUUGGGUCUCGCCGCGAUCCGAACGUUUUGGGAACCCCGGGAUCCGAUUACGUGGAACUCGUCAAAACACGCAAUUUUGGCUUAUUAUGGCAUGUUUUGAAUGCUAUUACUCACUGAUUUUGGGUCCCGCUGUGAUCCGAACGUUUCAGGAACUCUGAUGUCCGGUUACGGGGAACUCGUCAAAACUCGUAGUUUUAGCCUAUUGUGGCCAUGUUUGUAUGCUAUCAGUCACUCAUUUUGGGUCCUCCUGCAAUCCGAACAUUUCAGGAACCCCGGGGUCCGGUUACAAUGAACUCGUCAAAACUCGCAGUUUGAGCCUUUUCUGGCCACGUUUGUAUGCUAUUANNNNNNNNNNNNNNNNNNNNNNNNNNNNNNNNNNNNNNNNNNNNNNNNNNNNNNNNNNNNNNNNNNNNNNNNNNNNNNNNNNNNNNNNNNNNNNNNNNNNAUGAACCGUCCCUCGAUCCGUCCCACGAUCUAGUGCCGAACGGACGGCACCUCCGCGUUCAGCACACGUACAGCUCGACGAUGAUCUCGGCCUUCUUGAUCCAGCAAGAGAUACGGAGAGGUAGAUGAGUUAUCCGGCAGCGUGACGAUGCUCCGGAGGUUGCUGGUGAUCUAAUCUCAGCAGGGCUCCGCCCGAGCUCCGCAGAAACACGAUCUAGAGGUAAAACCGUGGAGGUAUGUGGUCGGGCUGCCGUGGCAAAAUUGUCUUAAAUCAGCCCUAAUAGCUCCAUAUAUAUAGGAGGAGGGGAGGGGAGGCUUGCCUUGAGGCUCAAGGAGCCCCAAGGGCUGCGCCACCAAGGGAGGAGGAGUCCUCCUUCAAUCCUAGUCCAACUAGGAUUGGAAGGUGGAGUCCUUCUCUCCUUUCCCACCUCCUUUUUUUUCUUUUCUCUUUGAUUUUCUAUUUAUGACGCAUAGGGCCUUCUUGGGCUGUCCCACCAGCCCACCAAGGGCUGGUGCGCCACCCCCAAGGCCUAUGGGCCUCCCCGGGGUGGGUUGCCCCCCCGAUGCACACCCGGAACCCAUUCGUCAUUCCCGGUACAUUCCCGGUAACUCCGNNNNNNNNNNNNNNNNNNNNNNNNNNNNNNNNNNNNNNNNNNNNNNNNNNNNNNNNNNNNNNNNNNNNNNNNNNNNNNNNNNNNNNNNNNNNNNNNNNNNGCAACCGAGGAAGCAGAGGAGUCUGCUCCGGUCAUUGCCGCCGGGGUGGGUGUGAAUGGGUCCGCCAUUCCGGCGACGGCUAGCGGCGCACCUUCUGAUGUGCUUGCGUCGGCCGCCAUCGCAGCGGUCGACCGUCUGGUCGGCGAGCAGGUGGAGGAUGAAGUCGGUGGAGAUCUAGAGCAGAAGGCCAAGCGCAAGCGCGAGCUCUACGAAGAGGUCGAUAACCUCUACGAUGAGUCCGAGCUCUCCAUGCUCGACAGUCCAAGGAAGGCCGACGAGUUCAAAGAGGAGGUCAGCGACGAGCUCCCCGAGGUAGAGCUCUAUUUUCUCAUUAGACUGGGGUUUGGUACUCUGUUUUCUCAUCGCAUUAGGGUUUUCUCGUAAAUCAGACGAGCAUCGAUUUGAUCUGGCCCUGGUAGUUGAUGUAGGAUUUUAGGGUUCUAUGUGCGUCCUCUGCUUAGGCUUUAGGAUUUUUGGGUUCUUUGGUGGAUUUCGUGUCUGUGGUGUGCAAUCGCAAGACGUAUUUUAUUUAUACUAAAUAUUUGUACGUAUUUAUAUUUUAGUUAUCACUAAUUUUUAUUUGGUAUUAUGAUUGGAUGCCCUUUUAUAAUUAAUCAAUUUUAGAGAUUCAUUGUUGUUAUCCCACAACAUCAACCACAUACCUACAUUUAUAAUACUGAAAUCAAGCUUAUUUGUUAUACAUAUAUCGUUCUAAAUACAUCAAUGCUAUGGUAAGACAAAUUUUACUAUGGAUAUUUUUCUAUGUUUUCAAAAAAUCAUUUGACACGUUAUUAAGUUGAACCACGUCCAAAUAUAAACAAAACGUACAAAGUGGUGCUACUUUGUUGCUUUACUGUGUCUAUACAUGUUUAUUUUCAGUCUAUCUUUAGAUAUCGGUAGAGGAUUCUACAAUCUUUGUGUUUACCAAAUAUCCUAAGGAAUUGUUUGGUAGAAGUGGAUUACGAAGGUUUGGGGAGGUGGGGAUUUUAGGGGAUUGGGGAAUCCCUUCCUUCUACCCAAUCCUCUCAAUUCACCUCAGAUCCCCCAGUUUCCAAUCCCCUUCCAUAAAAACUUGUUUGGUAGACGGGGUUUGCUAUAAUAAAGUGAGAUGGUACAAAAUGUCAACAAUGCCGUUAAAGAUCCAAUCUUUGCAAGUUUAGCAACUUGUAUAAGGAAAAAAAAUGCUAUAGAACUUCACUUGUACUUGCUCCAAGAUUAUGCAAAGUAGCAAAACUAAGGACGCCACAUACAAAACAACAAGGUCCUCACAAUAUUCUGUUACAACCAAGUUUAACAUAGGGCGUGGUAGCCAUUAUUGUAUUUCGCUGGCUGCAUUUGGCAAUUGAGAUCUUUCCAUUGUUACCAUUUAACUCCAACCUGGAAAGCAGAAAAUACUCGUAAUAACUUUGCAAGAAAACAUCGAUCUUGAGUCCACACAGAAAAGCCCAAAAUAGCAACAUCAUCAGAACACACAUCUACAAGUUGAAAAUUGUACAUUUCACAUACUAGAUACUCGUGCAUCUACUAAUCAGAACUAAAAACCUAAGUUCAUAUGAUCACUGAAAAUAUAGGACUAAUUCUUUAGUAGAAUAGUAAUUAUAGUAAUUUAGUACUAACACUUUUGACAAAGUUGCAAAUACUACUUCUCCAGCAAAAGCUAGAACUAAUGUUAGAACUAAUUAUUCAAUAAAAACUACAAAAAAAAUUGAUAAUUUCAGUAGCAGGCGAAGCAAAGACUAAAUCAAAUGUUUUAGUCUAACGAGGAAGCUUGCUUAUUAUAGUUCAGACCAAGAAAGCAAGACCAAGAAAGCAGCAUUAUAAUAGGCGCUCUAGCAAGAACUAAAUCAUAGAUUCAUGUAUUAGUUGCAAUAGGAGUACAAUUGAGGUUCUUGUCCAUUUUGCAUCAUUCUUUUAUAUCGAUAUUUAUUGCAUUAUGGAUUGUUAUUACAUAUUAUGGUAUAAUACUUAUGCCUUUUCUCUGUUAUUUGAAGAGGGAGAAUGCCGACAGGUGGAAUUCUGGACUGGAAAAGGAGAAAAUCUGAGUGAAGUUUUGGAGAAUUGAUUUCGAAUAUAUAAAAAAUAUUGGACGGAUGAAAUACCAGAGGGGACCCACCAGGAGGUCACAAGCCAGGGGGCGCGGCCUACCGCCCUGACCGCCUCGAAGGUUUUGACCCCCUGGCAGGCUUGUGGCCCCCUGGCAGGCCUUCGGUGCCUAUCUUCUUCUAUAUGAAGGGUUUUGACCUGGAAAAAAUCAUAUCAGAGCUUUCGGGACAAGACGCUGCCGUCUCGAGGCGUAACUUUGACAGAACAAAUCUAGAGCUCCGACGGAGCUAUUCCGCCGUGGAAACUUCCCUCCCGGAGGGGGAAAUCGAAGCCAUCGUCAUCACCAACGAUCCUCUCAUCGAGAGGUGGUCAAUCUCCAUCAACAUCUUCAUGAACAUCAUCUCCUCUUCAAACCCUAGUUCAUCUCUUGUAUCCGAUCUUUGUCUCAAAACCUCAGAUUGGUACCAGUGGGUUGCUAGUAAUGUUGAUUACUCCUUGUAGUUGAUGCUAGUUGGUUUACUUGGUGGAACAUUAUAUGUUCAGAUCCUUUAUGAUUAUUAAUACUCCUCUGAUUAUGAACAUGAAUAUGCUUUGUGAGUAAAUAUGUUUGUUCCUUAGGACAUGGGAUAAGUCUUGUUAUAAGUAAUCAUGUGAAUUUGGUAUUCGUUCGAUAUUUUGAUGAGAUGUAUGGUGUCUCUCCUCUAGUGGUGUCAUGUGAACGUCGACUACAUGACCAUUCACCAUUAUUUGGGCCUAGGGGAAGGCAUUGAGAAUUAAUAAGUAGAUAAUGGGUUGCUAGACUAAAACUUUCUUCCUGGUUCAGAAAAUGAUACCAUGUCAAUGAUCUCAACUCCUCCCUCUUCAUCUUCUUCUUCAUCAUCCUCAUCUUCUUCUCCUUCCUCUUCUUCUUCAUAGUCAAUAUCUUCUUCAUCGGCCUCAUCUUCCUCAAAAUCAACCAUAAGAGUGUCAUGUGAAUGUCGUGCUGAAUAAAGGACACAAGUGUUAAAGUUGCAGUUAGAUAAUAACUUAUCAACUCUUAAGUUGCAUUCCUAGAAAACGAAAGAUUGAAAAUGCUCACCAUGAUAAGCUUUCAAACGUUUAUCGAAAAAGGAGACAACCCUGGAGGUGGUUGAGCCCUUCUCAUUGUCGCACCGGAUAUCAACGAUGAACAGCCACUUUGGUAUGCCUCCUGGUCCCCUUCUUGAUCUUCCAUGUUUCUGAUCAUAGAGAAAUAUAGGAUCAUUAGAAGGAUCAACACACACGAAACUUGAAUGGCGUCAUGGUGGCGUCGAUGGCGGAGGCACCUGCCAAGGCUGGUACCUCAAUCUGCUCUGAAGAUGAACCAGUGGAAGAUGGUGGCGACGACACAUGUGAGUGCGUCAGACCGGUUUGUGCCCCUGACCCAGUAUGUGGCUCGGUCGGGGCCUCCGGCUUUAAAUGUUAGGAUUAGGUGAGAGGUCUGGGUAUUUGGCUCAGCUUGCACCCCUUCAUCAUAUCGAUAGGAGUAGGGACAAAUGUUGCCAAGAUGGCGGAUACAGACAUAUUGUUGUAUUACUUUGUAAAGUCCUCAGAAAUAAUCAAUAAAAUGGUCGCAUGCAUCUCUCAGAUGCAGAGACCGGGGGUCAUCCUCCUUUUCUAAAAAAAUAAAUAAAAUAAAAACACAAAACUUGAAGGGUUGAUCACACGUACACCAUCAUAAGAAUAAUUCGUGAUUCAUAUCAGGUUGUCCAUGCUGGUGGGCCAGCGGCGGAUACACGUCUCAGUGGGCUCAAGAGCAGCGGGCAAAUGGAAUGUGCGUUGCCUUCUAUAGCCGGCCGGUCAAAAAAGGUUGUUGUUCUUUCUAAGAGCAUGGUUAAUAGUAUAGCCAACUGCUGGCUAUAAGCAGUCUUAUAGUCCAUCUUAUAGCAAGCUUGUACAAUAGUUAGCUUAAAAGAGUACUAUUUUUAUCAUAUAUGGUCCACCUUCCAUUCUCACAAAGCACCUAGGAGCACGUGCUAGAGUUGGCUCUUCACGAAGAGUCCGCUUCCCUUCUCUCUCCUCUUCUCUCUCAUCCAACUCAGCAAAAAUAUAGUAUUUUUAUCCUUACAGCCUGGACUGUACCUUAUUGUACUUGCUCUAAAAAGAAAUCAGAGUUGUCUGUCUGUUGGUUGAUGACCCACCACCAUCAGUCAGACCACCCACAAAAUUUUAAAUGGUGUAACUAAAAUCUGACAACAUUUUUACUAAAUGCGGUAAAUCGAAUGAAACCCUCCAAUAUCAAUUUAUGCAUGUUGAAGCCUAGUGUGCUAUCCUCCUGUUCAGAAAAAAGGCGAACAACAAAACAUGAUUGGCACACGAAACUCAUGGAUAAUUAAGCAUUAGCGCAAUGAGGAACCAGCCUCAUUUUUUGUCUAUAACAGAUACAUAUAUAUAGGUAGCAAGCACUCCCGCUCCCAUGAGCGAGCAGAAAUCAAAUUACAGUUUCAGCUGCUGCUACUCUACUCCAUCUCACUUCUCAGAACGGUCCGGGAGACAGACCAACAGAACAGAUAGACACCUAUCGAGCUGGAGCAACACGAACCAUACACACGCAAAUAGAUAUGCUGCCAGUGGCCGCACCUCAACCACGGCACGGCAUCCAUCAAUAAGUUAGAUCUGGUUUGGGGUGUUCCUGCUAGAAGUUGAGAUUCAACAGCGUCUUGGAAUCAAGCACGAGCAGAACAUGAGAUUAAACUGGAUCUUGAAAUCACGCAGGUGAACGGGGUCUUGAAGGAAACCAGCAAGAAGGCCUUACCUCCGACAAGUUGGAGAGGACGGCGACCGGGAUGGCGUGCUCGACGGCGUCCGGGACGACAUACUCGAUGCGAAACGCCGGCGACAGUAGAGAUACUCGGGGGCGUCCGACGGCGGUGGCGGCACAUGUGGUUGGGGGCGUCCGGCGUUCGGCUGCAGGAGUCACCAGAGAUGGUCAGGGGCGUUCGGCAGCGGCAGCGAUGGACGAGGGUGUCCACUGGCAGAGGGUGACGGCGGAGAUGGUCGACGGCGGCGGCAGAUAUGGUCGGGGGGCCUCGGGGGCGGCUGGAGAUGGAGAGAUCGACAGGGGCUAGGGCACGGUGAUAAUCUGGCUGGGUCGACCCGUGUGACCCAUACCUGGCCAAACGGGCCGGACCGGCACGGCCCGGCCCGGCCUGCCGUAAUCGUGCCAGGCACGGCACGACACGCAUGGGCCUGAUUAUUAGUCGGGUCGUGUCGUGCCGUCCCGCGUGCCAGCCUCCCAGGCCCAAGCACGGCACGUGGCCUAACCGGGUCGGCCCGCGGCACGCUAAGGCACGGCGGUCCGCGACAGGUUUGCUGUUUUUUUUUCCCUCUGGCCCUCUCCCGCACAGAUCCCGCCUAGACCCCGCCAGUUGGCCGCGUUUCCGCCCAUUUACAGCCCUUUCCCCGUUUCUCAAUUCCCGCCCGCAGCGGCGUGAUACGUCUCCAACGUAUCUAUAAUUUUUGAUUGGUUUCAUGCUAUUAUCUUGUCAAACUUUGGAUGUUCUGUAUGCCUUAUAUAUAUAUUUUUGGGACUAACUUUUAACUCAGUGUCAAGUGUCAGUUCCUGUUUUUCCCAUGUUUUUGACCCCUAAACCCUGGGAGAUUUUGAAACGGAGUCCAAACGGAAGAAAAUCCCCGAAAAGAUUUUUUUUUGGAACGGAAGAAUAUCGGAGAACUUGGGAGCCAAGGCAGGGAAGCCCCAGGGGCCCCACAAGCCCCCACCCCGCGGUCAGGGGGCGCGCCAUCCAGGCUUGUGGGCCCCCUGGAGGUCCCCUGACCUAGGUCUUUCGCCUAUAUAAUCCCAUAAAUUCCAGAAAAAAUCAGGAGAUCAUCGCAAUCGCUUUUCCACCGCCGCAAGCUUGUGUCUCCGCAAGAUCCCAUCUGGGGCACGUCCUGGUGCCCUGCCGGAGGCGGGAUUCGGACACGAAGGGCUUCUUCAUCAACAACAUGGCCUCUCCGAUGAUGCGUGAGUAGUUCACCAUAGACCUACGUGUCCAUAGCUAGUAACUAGAUGGCUUCUUCUCUCUCUUGGAUCUUCAAUACAAAGUUCUUCAUGAUCUUCAUGGAGAUCUAUCCGAUGUAAUCUUCUUUUGCGGUGUGUUUGUCCAGAUCCGAUGAAUUGUGGAUUUAAGAUCAGAUUAUCUAUGACUCUUAUUUGAGUUUCUUUUGAUCUCUCUUAUGGAUGAUUUCAUAUCCUUGUAAUUCUGUUCGAGUUGUGGGUUUUGUCUGGCCAACUAGAUCUAUGAUUCUUGCAAUGGGAGAAGUGCUUGGUUUUGGGUUCAUACCGUGCGGUGACCUCACCCAGUGACAGAAGGGGUAGUGAGGCACGCAUCGUGUUGUUGCCAUGAAGGGUAAAAAGAUGGGAUUUUCAUCAUUGGUUUGAGAUUAUCCCUCUACAUCAUGUCAUCUUGCUUAAAGCGUUACUCUGUUCGUCAUGAACUCAAUACACUAGAUGCAUGCUGGAUAGCGGUCGAUGUGUGGAGUAAUAGUAGUAGAUGCAGAAAGUAUCGGUCUACUUGUCUCGGACGUGAUGCCUAUAUGAAUGAUCAUUGCAUUAGAUAUCGUCAUGACUUUGCGCGGUUCUAUUAAUUGCUCGACAGUAAUUUGUUCACCCACCGUAAUACUUGCUAUUUUGAGAGAAGCCUCUAGUGAACACUAUGGCCCCGAGUGUCUAUUCCACACCAUAUUUUCAGCCUUACACUUUUUACUUCGUUGCACUUUCCGCCUUCGGAUCUCACUUUGCAAACAAUCUUGAAGGGAUUGACAACCCCUUUGAAGCGUUGGGUGCAAGCUUGUUUGUGUUUGCGCACGUACUCUGGACUUGACGAGACCCUCCUUCUGGAUCGAUACCUUGGUUCUCAAACUGAGGGAAAUACUUACUGCUCCUAUGUUGCAUCACCCUUUCCUCUUCAAGGGAAAAACCAACGCAAGCCCAGCCUCUGUCAAUUUCUGGCGCUGUUGUCUGUGGGAUAGCAGAAGGAUUUCUCGCGCCGUUGCCGGGGAGGAAGAUCAAGUCAAGAACUCAUCCAAGUAGGUGUCGCAGACUCAUCUCUUGCAUUUACUUUGUUUGCGAGUUGCCUCUCGUUUUCCUCUCCCCCAUUUCACCAAUUUGCCUUUUUCGUUCGCCUUUUCUUUUGCCCUUUUCUCUCGCUUGCUUUCUGCUCGUCUGUGUGGGAUAGUCUAUCCUGAUGGCUAGAUCCACCACCUCGAACGAUACUCCUCAGAGCGAAGUUCUCAAUUUCAAACAAAUUGAGGGAGAAAACUUAAAGGACGCUUGGUAUAGGAUUUGCAAUGCUUAGAGUAGAUCUACUCAUAAGCAAUCCACUACCGUCUUGGUUCAUAGUUUUUAUGUGGGUAUUUCUCCUUGGAAUAGGUAUAUUCUUGACACCAUCGUAGGUGGAAAUUUCUUGGGUAGCCAUACCGUUGAUUCUUACGGAGCUGUGAUAAAUUGUUGGGGAACGUCGCAUGGGAAACAAAAAGUUUCCUACGCGCACGAAGACCUAUCAUGGUGAUGUCCAUCUACGAGAGGGGAUGUUCGAUCUACGUACCCUUGUAGACCGCACAGCAGAAGCGUUAGUGAACGCGGUUGAUGUAGUGGAACGUCCUCACGUCCCUCGAUCCGCCCCGCGAACCGUCCCGCGAUCAGUCCCACGAUCUAGUGUCGAACGGACGGCACCUCCGCGUUCAGCACACGUACAGCUCAACGAUGAUCUCGGCCUUCUUGAUCCAGCAAGAGAGACGGAGAGGUAGAUGAGUUCUCCGGCAGCGUGACGGAGCUCCGGAGGUCGGUGGUGAUCUUAUCUCAGCAGGGCUCCGCCCGAGCUCCGUGGAAACGCGAUCUAGAGGUGAAACCGUGGAGAUAUGUGGUCGGGCUGCCGUGGCAAAGUUGUUUCAAAUCAGCCCUAAAACCUCUGUAUAUAUAGGGGGAGGAGGGGGAGCCUUGCCUUGGGGUCCAAGGACUCCCAAGGGGGUCGGCUGAGCCAAGGGGGGCAACCCUCCCCUUCCAAACCGAGUCCAACUAGGUUUGGAAGGAGGAGUCCUUCCCCUUUUCCCACCUCCUCCUUUUUUUUCCUUUUCUCUUUGAUUUUCUUCCUAUGGCGCAUAGGGCCUUCUUGGGCUGUCCCACCAGCCCACUAAGGGUUGGUGCGCCACCCCCAAGGCCUAUNAAAACCUUCUGGUAAUCAAAUGAGGUCAUCCUAUAUAUCAAUCUUCGUUUCCGGACCAUUCCGGAAACCCUCGUGACGUCCGUGAUCUCAUCCAGGACUCCGAAAAACAUUCGGUAACCAACCAUAUAACUCAAAUACGCAUAAAACAACGUCGAACCUUAAGUGUGCAGACCCUGCGGGUUCGAGAACUAUGUAGACAUGACCCGAGAGACUCCUCGGUCAAUAUCCAAUAGCGGGACCUGGAUGCCCAUAUUGGAUCCUACAUAUUCUACGAAGAUCUUAUCGCUUGAACAUCAGUGCCAAGGAUUCAUAUAAUCCCGUAUGUCAUUCCCUUUGUCCUUCGGUAUGUUACUUGCCCGAGAUUCGAUCGUCAGUAUCUGCAUACCUAUUUCAAUCUCGUUUACCGGCAAGUCUAUUUACUCGUUCCGUAAUACAAUAUCCCGCAACUUACACUAAGUCACAUUGCUUGCAAGGCUUGUGUGUGAUGUUGUAUUACCGAGUGGGCCCCGAGAUACCUCUCCGUCACACGGAGUGACAAAUCCCAGUCUCGAUCCAUACUAACUCAACUAACACCUUCGGAGAUACCUGUAGAGCAUCUUUAUAGUCAUCCAGUUACGUUGCGACGUUUGAUACACACAAAGCAUUCCUCCGGUGUCAGUGAGUUAUAUGAUCUCAUGGUCAUAGGAACAAAUACUUGACACGCAGAAAACAGUAGCAACAAAAUGACACGAUCAACAUGCUACGUCUAUUAGUUUGGGUCUAGUCCAUCACAUGAUUCUCCUAAUGAUGUGAUCCCGUUAUCAAGUAACAACACUUGCCUAUGGCCAGGAAACCUUGGCCAUCUUUGAUCAAAGAGCUAGUCAACUAGAGGCUUACUAGGGACAGUGUUUUAUCUAUGUAUCCACAUAAGUAUUGUGUUUUCAAUCAAUACAAUUAUAGCAUGGAUAAUAAACGAUUAUCAUGAACAAAGAAAUAUAAUAAUAACUAAUUUAUUAUUGCCUCUAGGGCAUAUUUCCAACAUAAAUUUGAUAGGCUCACCCCACUCAUGGUUAAUGGAACUACCUUAACUCUGGAACAUGUGAUGCGUAGGUUGGACGCUAUUGAAAAUAAAGUUGCUACGAUUGAACUCAUUGAGAAUUUGGACAAAAAGAUCCACAAUCAAAUCACUCAGUACGGAUCCAAGGUGGGAAUGGUUUUGAAAAAUUUAAAGGAGAAGGAACCCACAGUUAACGAAAAUCUAGGUCAUGAUUCCGCUAGGAUUGGCAAACUAGAUGAUGUUAUAACCAACUUGGGUUCCACUUUUGCCGCUCUGCAGAAUACUCCAAAUUUUGCCCACAAUGAAAUCACCAAGUCUGUCUUUGUUCCUAAAAGUAGUGGUGAAUCAUCCAGCAAGAAAGAUGAAAACCUCAAGAUGAUAAGUGAUCACGCCACUUAUGGUUUGAGCACCAAAGACGACGAUACGUGAUUCUAUCGCUUCUAUGCCUAGCUAAGGGCGUUAAACAAUAGCGCUUGUUGGGAGGCAACCCAAUGAAUUUAUCUUUUUCUUUCUGUUUUGUUACGUCCGCACUUUCAUAAUUCUGUUGUGAGUUUUUUUUUGUGUGUUUAAGCCAAGCAAAGCCUUUAUGACUAGUCUUGGUAAUGGUUGUUUGAUCCUGCUGGAAAAAGACAGAAACUUUUCACUCACGAGAUUAUUUUUCAUUUUUAUUCAGAAAUAUAUUUUGAUUUGAUUCUUUUUUCUGCUGAUUGAUAUGCUUUUUCCCCAGGCCGUCGUAAUUCGUCAGAUGUUUUGAGGUACCAGAAGUAUACUAAGUAUACAGAUUGCUACAGACUGGUCUGUUUUUGACAGAUUUUGUUUUUGUUGAGUUGGUUGCUUGUUUUGAUGAAACUAUGGUUAGUAUCGGGGGGUACUAGCCAUUGAAAAGUGAGAAUACAGUAGCCCAUCAUCAAAUAUAGAUGGAAUUCAAGUUUUCUACAGUACCAAAAGAAGUGGUAGUUUGUUUUCUUGUACUAAUGUUAUCACAAGUUUCUGUUUAAGUUUUGUGUUGUGAAGUUUUCAAGUUUUGGGUGAUGUUCUCAUGGACAAAGAGAUAAGGAGUGGAAAGAGUCCAAGCUUGGGGAUGCCCAAGGCAUACCAAGCCAAAUUCAAGGAUACCAAAAAGCCUAAGCUUGGGGAUGCCCCGGGAAGGCAUCCCCUCUUUCGUCUUCAAUCCAUCGGUAACAUUACUUGGAGCUAUAUUUUUAUUCACCACAUGAUAUGUGUUUUGCUUGGAGCGUCUUGUAUCUUAGGAGUAUUUUCUUUUUGUUGUGCCACAAUCAUCCUUGCUGCACACCUUUUUGAGAGAGAUACAUGCACUCAUCAUGAUUUUGCUAGAAUGCUCAUAGUGCUUCACUUAUAUCUUUUGAGCUAGAUACUUUUGCUCUAGUGCUUCACUUAUAUCUUUUGAGCUAGAUACUUUUGCUCUUGUGCUUCACUUAUAUCUUUAGAGCACGGCGGUGCAUGACUUGGUAGUUGGCUUACGCUAUGAAAGUAGUCCCAAAUGUGCUAGGUACCCAAAGAGGAUGCAAAAACCUCCAUCUUCAUGUGCAUUGAGUAGUAAGAGAAGUUUCGAUUCCUCAAUUAGUUUUGAGACGUGGAUUCGGUAAUAUUGAGAGUUAUGUUAGUAGGGUGUUGUGAAUCUAGAAAUACUUGUGUUGAAGUUAAUGAUUCCCGUAGCAAUGACGUAUGGUGAACCGCUAUGUUAGGAAGUCGGAGCAUAAUUGAUCUAUUGAUUGUCAUCCUUUGUGUUGAGGUCGGGAUCGCGCGAUGCUUUACACCUACCAACCCUUCCCCUCGGAGUAUGCGUUUAGCACUUUGUUUCGAUCACUAAUAAAAACUUUCGCAAUAAGUAUGUGAGUUCUUCAUGACUAAUGUGAGUCCAUGGUAUAGAUGCACUUUCACCUUCCACCAUUGCUAGCCUCUCUAGUGCUGCGCAAUUCUCGCCGGUGCACAAACCCACCAAAUUCCUUCCUCAAAACAGUCACCAUACCUACCUACUAUGGCAUUUUCAUAGCCAUUCCGAGAUAUAUUGCCAUGCAACUCCCACUGUUCCGUCUCAUGACUUGUGUCGUCACUCUCAUAUUGCCAUUGCAUGAUCGUAAGAUAGAUAGCGAGAUGUUUCAACGUCAUACGCCAUGCUAGAUCGUUGCACAUCCCGGUACACUAUCGGAGGCAUUUCCUAUGGAGUUAUCAUCAUUGUGAUCUUUGACUGUGAGUAAAUAAAAGUGUGAUGAUCAUCAUUAUUAGAGCAUUGUCCCAUGUGAGGAAAUAAAAUAAAAAGAGGCCAAAAACAAAACAAAACAAAACAAAACAAAUAAAAGAAAAGAAAAAAAGAGGCCUAAUAGCCCAAAUGAAAAAAAAGAAAAAGAGAGAAGGGACAAUGCUACUAUCUUUUUCCACACUUGUGCUUCAUGAUAGCACCAUGUUCUUCACGAUUGAGAGCUUCUUGCUUUGUCACUACCAUAUGCUAGUGGGAAUCUUCGUUUUAUAACUUGGCUUGUAUAUUCCAAUGAUGGGCUUCCUCAAAAUUGCCCUAGGUCUUCAUGAGCAAGCAAGUUGGAUGCACACCCACUAGUUUUCCUCUUGAGCUUUCACAUUCUUAUAGCUCUAGUGCAUCUCUUGUAUGGCAAUCCCUACUCAUUCACAUUGAUAUCUUUCAAUGGGCAUCUCCACAGCCUAUUGAUACUCCGAGUCAAUGUGACCAUCUCCUCUUUUUUGUCUCACAACCACCACCACACUCUAUUCCACCUAUAGUGCUAUAUCCAUGGCUCGCGCUCAUGUAUUGCGUGAUAGUUAUAAAAGGUUUGAGAAAGUAAGAGUGCGAAAACAAUUACUUGGUCAAUUCCGGGGUUGUGCAUGAUUUACAUUAGUUGUGUGAGGAUGAUGGAGCAUAGCCAGACUAUAUGAUUUUGUAGGGAUAACUUUCUUUGGCCUUGUUAUUUCAAAAGUUCAUGAUUACUUUGCUAGUUUGCUUGAAGUAUUACUGUUUUCAUGUCAAUAGCAAACUAUUAUUUUGAAUCUUACGGAUCUGAAUAUUCAUGUCAUGUUAAAGGAGUUGGAAAGGACAACUAUGCUAGGUAGCAUUCCACAUCAAAAACUCAUUCUUUAUCACUUCCCUACUCGAGGACGAGCAGGAGUUAAGCUUGGGGAUGAUUGAUACGUCUCCAACGUAUCUACACUUUUUUAUGGUUUCAUGCUAUUAUCUUGUCAAACUUUGGAUGUUUUGUAUGCCUUUUACAUAUAUUUUUGGGACUAACUUAUUAACUCAGUGCCAAGUGCCAGUUCCUGUUUUUUUUCCAUGUUUUGACCCCUUUCAGAGGAGAUUUUGAAACGGAGUCCAAACGGAAGAAAAUCCCCGAAAAGAUUUUUUUGGAACGGAAGAAGAUCAGAGAACUUGGGAGCCAAGGCAGGGAAGCCCCAGGGGGCCCACAAGCCCCCACCCCGUGGCCAGGGGGCCGCGCCAUCCAGGCUUGUGGGCCCCUUGGAGGUCCCCGUCCCCUGACCUAGGUCUUUCGCCUAUAUAAUCCCAUAAAUUCCAGAAAAAAUCAAGAGAUCAUCAUAAUCGCUUUUCCGUCGCCGCAAGCUUCUGUCUCCGCAAGAUCCUAUCUGGGGCACGUCCUGGUGCCCUGCUGGAGGGGGAUUCGGACACAGAGGGCUUCUUUAUCAACAACAUGACCUCUCCGGUGAUGCGUGAGUAGUUCACCAUAGACCUACGGGUCCAUAGCUAGUAACUAGAUGGCUUCUUCUCUCUCUUGGAUCUUUAAUACAAAGUUCUCCAUGAUCUUCAUGGAGAUCUAUCCGAUGUAAUCUUCUUUGGCGGUGUGUUUGUUGAGAUCCGAUGAAUUGUGGAUUUAUGAUCCGAUUAUCUAUGACUCUUAUUUGAGUUUAUUUUGAUCUCUCUUAUGCAUUAUUUCAUAUCCUUGUAAUUCUCUUCGAGUUGUGGGUUUUGUUUGGCCAACUAGAUCUAUGAUUCUUGUAAAGGGAGAAGUGCUUGAUUUUGGGUUCAUACCAUGCGGUGACCUCAACCAGUGACAGAAGGGGUAGCGAGGCACGCAUCAUGUUGUUGCCAUCAAGGGUGAAAAGAUGGGAUUUUCAUCAUUGGUUUGAGAUUAUCCCUCUACAUCAUGUCAUCUUGCUUAAAGCGUUACUUUUUUCGUCAUGAACUCAAUACACUAGAUGCAUGCUCGAUAGCGGUCGAUAUGUGGAGUAAUAGUAGUAGAUGCAGAAAGUAUCGGUCUACUUGUCUCGGACGUGAUGCCUAUAUGAAUGAUCAUUGCCUUAGAUAUCGUCAUGACUUUGCGCGGUUCUAUCAAUUGCUCGACAAUAAUUUGUUCACCCACCGUAAUACUUGCUAUUUUGAGAGAAGCCUCUAGUGAACACUAUGGCCCCAGGGUCUACUCCACACCAUAUUUUCAGCCUUACAGUUUCUACUUCGUUGCACGUUCCGCCUUCGGAUCUCACUUUGCAAACAAACUUGAAGGGAUUGACAACCCCUUUGAAGCGUUGGAUGCAAGCUUGUUUGUGUUUGCGCAGGUACUCUAGACUUGACGAGACCCUCCUUCUGGAUCGAUACCUUGGUUCUCAAACUGAGGGAAAUACUUACUGCUCCUGUUCUGCAUCACCCUUUCCUCUUCAAGGGAAAAACCAACGCAAGCCCAGCCUUUGUCAACGUGUCAAUUUCUGGCGAUGUUGUCUGUGGGAUAGCACGGCGCAGCCCCCGCUCCCACCCACGUGUCGUGCCGACGCCCCUUUACUGCCCUUUCCAUGUUUCCCGAUUCCCGCUCGCAGCCCCCGCUCCGCUCCCACCCACAUGCCGUGUCGCCCUUUCCCGCCCAACGUGUCGUGUCGCCCUUUCCCGCCCGACGCCCUUUCCCGCCCAACGCCCGCACGGCCACUCCCCAGUCCCCCCGCUCCUUCGCUGGCUAAUCGUGUCGGGUCGUGCCAGCACGCGGGCUCGGGGUGGCAGCCCGGGCACGGCCCACGGCGUGCUUGUGCCUGGCUCGAGCACGAUUAGCCCGUGUUGGGCCCGGCCCGUGUCGUGCCUGGCCUGUGGGCAGUCGGGCCGGCCCGCGUGGCACGGCCCGUUUGGCCAGGUAUGGUGUGACUCAUUGGGUUGUACGGUGCCGGCUCCAGUAGACCAUAUAUGUUUUGAGGCCGACCCAGUCGACUCAUUGACCUUGACUUUUUCGGUCGGGUCAGUGACCCAGCGGGCCGACCCGACACAUUCCCAUCCUGACAUAUGAAUGACAAUCAGUUACUUUUUUCACUCCGUUUUUUUCAUGCAUGCGAUGACAUAUGAAUGACAAAGUUAGUUUACGACUUUGUAUAAAAAUAAAGGUAGUAGUACAACUAGAAUGUGGAUGAAGGUUCCAAUCUGCUGCUGCACGCACGCUAUCGUGCUACCUGAUGGACCAACGGACGGACGGCGAGUUAAGCACGAAGUACCAAAUGUACGCCGUGUGAUUGAUCACUGAUGGGCCUGCGCGGCGCUUGCAUGCAGCCAUGCAACAGGAGCGAGCAAAGCAAGCAAGCUGCAAGAUUCGCCACGCCGCUCCUCUCGGUGUGUUUGUUUGCUGGCUUAAUGAAUGAAGAAUGAAUGUGGUUCAGAGUUUGGGGCUGUCAGUACGAGAAGCUUCUCUCCCUGACCUACCCUCUGAGCCACUCCGGAGCUACAGUGCGUGUCCUAUACCCUGUCGGCGCCGCCAUGCCAUGCUCAAUUCUACCCCUUUGUUUUUGUUUUUUUGCUCCUUCAUUAACCCAACUGCUUAUUAGAAUAGCGUCAACUGAAUAAACAAACCGGUGCCAUGUUCCGGAGCACUGCGCUAUAGAAGCAGGACACCGUGCCUUGCGCCACAGAGAAGCAGCCAAGAUAGAACGCAGUCCCCCAUUGUUCAUGUUGAUCUGCAUUCCAAGGACACACGUCUCUACCAGGGUCCAUGGGACGAUGCUACAGUAGAGUUUGAUGGCCUGAGGUCAUUCCAAGAAGGCAAGAACACACGUCUCCUUCAGUAACCCCCAUGAUGGUGAGAAGAACACGUGGAAGAGGGCCUCGAGAAGGAAAAAUCAAAGUCCAUUCCAUAAUGCAGUUUGCUUUUGGUUUUCGAGGUUGAAGUUUGACCAUAAAUUUAACCAACGUGGACGAAUGCGGCGGAAACAAAAAUUAUGUCAUCGAAUCCGUAUUCGAAAGAAGUACCCGUGUUGGUUCAGUUUAUGGUUAAAUUCAAAUCUUAGAAAACGCAGACACGCCACAUUAUGAAAUGAAUGGAGUGCUGGUAGUGUACUGCCGCCUGCACCGGAUGAGAGCUACUGCUGCUGUAGCUGCUAGCCUUUUUGAAUGGAUGAAAGACGGACGACGAGUUGAGCAUAAGCAUCCAAAGCAACGUGAAUGAGUGAUCCAUCGUCGCGAAACUCAUGGGCCGGCACGGCGAGGCGCAUGCAACCAAGCAAGAUUCCCACCACCUGCUUGCACUUGCCGACCGUGUUCGUUGAAGAAAGAAGCGAGAAUGAUUCAGAGCAGCAGUAGUGCUACAGUACAAGCCCAGGAUAAUAAUAAGUGAUGAGCGGCCUGUUGCCGCCGGCCGCCGGGGUAGGUGUUACUAUGUGGGGCUGUCAGGAUGAGAAGCUUCUCUCCCUGCACCUGCCCUACCCUCACCCAGUUGGUGCCGCCAUGCCCUUCUCUGCCCUACCCAGCCCGGUUUUCUUUUGACUGCUUCACUAGCCCAUUGUGUAAUGCAUGCCAACUAAUUACUGAUUCUAUUUCAAAAUACAGAAUAAGUGUCGUUGAUUUGAUAUAAAAUUUAUAUUAACUUAGCAUCAAGUAUGCGACAUUUAAUUUAAAACAGAGGGAUCAAAUUAAUCUGACAGUGAUUGAUAGAUAAAAUGCAGAGUAAAUAAAAAGUAAGUAAAGUACAGGAAAAUAAAUGAAGCAUCGGUAAACAUAUGAAAUAGACCCGAGGGCCAUGUCGAGUCGACUGCUCCUGCCCUAGAAGCCAAGGUCCCCCUGUGAUGGGUUAAGGUUGGAUGGAUUAGAAAGAAGAAGCCAAGAAUCCACACACUGCCAUUGGAACUACGCCAAGAGCACACGUUUCCUUGUGCUACAUGACCAUGCAAACAAACACAUAGAAACGCGGCAUACAAAAUAGUAAAACCAUUUCCGACCUGACCAGUUUUCCCUUUACUCCUCUAUCUAUAGCCGCAAUGUACAAAUAUUAUCUCUCACUCGUCAACAAACACGCCCUACCAGUAUCCGAGUGUGUCCAUUUUGAUACCUCAUUUUGGCUUACAGACAACCAUAGCCCCUACCUUGACGCCUCACCUUUUCCAGACAUUUGAUCGAGCACGUUGUGGAAGACAUCACCAGAGCUUGAAAAGAAGAAGCCAAUUUUAUUUUUCCAUAAACAUGGUACUCACAUCAAAGUACUUAUAGAGACACUUAUUAUAUACACAGGCGUACACACAUCCUUGCACAAACGCACAUAACCAUUAUGAGCAUAUGGGCAUCUGUGACAAGUCUGAAACUUAAUCUUGAAUGAGUUAGUUCCACCAUAUAAUGGACUUAUCCAUCCGAGGUACGCACAGUUUGAAGGAAACCAAUAUUUCAGUCACCCCAUUAUGCAAAGAAAAACAUGGAGGGGUGCACAAAUAUAUUUGUACAAUGGAAAAAAGAAAACGAAAAAUGCUCGUCAAGGCGUCUGGUUGUCACGGGCUAACAAACAAAGCCUGGCCCGCCUACCAAAAUGAUAAGCCCAUUUUGGUAGUAUUAGGGAUUGUAAACUGGGCCACCUGCGCCGCGAUCCAGCAGUUAUGCUUCGGCACUUUUUUAAAAAAAGAAUGUCUUGUGAUCAAUAAAGGCCAAGAUAUUUAACUUAAAAUCUUGUCAAACAAAUUUAACUCAGAAACAUUGUUCCUAUGACACAUGUUUUCAACGAAUAAAGCAGACAAGAUUCUCACWAAAAAAAAAACUCAGAAACAACUAAAAAGGAUUGAACUCCAAAAAUAACAAUGAUGCAUGCUCUUCAUUCCUUGAAAAAGAGGAAUCCAUAUAUUAAUUAAUUGACCAAAUGUAUGUAUCAUCUUGCCAUAUGUUCUUGACUUCAAAAUAAAUUUCUUCCCUGAAAAAUAAAUAAUUAAGUAAUAAUAAUGGUACUGCAUGUUCUUCAAUUUCACGAACCAGAUGAAAAAAAGGUUGGAUGAUUAUGAGGAAACUGGUAUCCGCAUCCCACUAGGGGUCAAGUCUUAGACUUGGCAUUGAUGUUCGUAUUUUUCUGAAUUUUUUCCAAACUUUCUGGCAAUGUUCGUUCAGUGAAAGAAGACGUUCUAUAGUGACUUCGUAAAUUUCAAGACAAUAUGACAGCUUAGUCUCUCGAAUGUGUUCAUGCUUGCGUGCGUUAAUACGAUGAGUGUAUGCUCGUGUAUGUGAACAACUUCGAUUGUAUUGUCUUAAAGAAAUACCUAUGUUUAAAAUUUAGAAUAACCAGAUGAUCAAAUAGGUUAUCCCCACGACGGAAUGUGCCAACCAGGCAAGGCAUGGAAGUAAUGAACCGAACCGGAGUGCUCUACCUAACAUGUAACAUGCACCCUUUCUCUCGUGCACCAUCAAUUGAUUGCGUUGUUUGGUGCUCCUAGCUAGCUACUCCUACUCGUUUGGUGGCAGAAAAUAAAAGCGUACAUACCUUUCCUUGCCUUGUGUCUGUGGACGAGGCCAUAGAAUGUGGUCGUCCUCUCCUAAAGGUGGCACGCGCAACCAAAAAAUGUGUACCGGUGGUAGCAUCUCAAAUUGACAACUUUACGCUUUUGUGCAAAAAGAAAGUGAGCAGAAGGGCAGGACAUUCUUGGCACCUGCUCCGCUCCGGGGCAUUUGCUGCAUUUCGGCAAGAAUUACGGCCGUGGAAAUCCGAAAACUUUCUGAUGGACAAUAUUGAGUUUCAAAAUGUUCGAAGUUUCUAGUGAUAUGCGAACCUUCGACUAACGAGGUUUUGUAUCCCUUGUUUUGUGUCUGGAUCUCGUCGUGGUUUCAAAUAUUGGAAAUUUGUAUUAAUAUGUGAAAAUGUCAACUAUAUCGCCACCCUCUUGUGUACGUGUCGACUCUGCUCCUUGCAUUCAGUGGAAAGCCGCAGAUCACCAAACACACACAAGCUGAGAUGACUGAUGACCAAGGCUUUGGAGAAGUGCACGAGCCACCCGGCCAAACAAGUGAGAACACCAGAUCGACAAACAUGCUCUAGAUCGAGGAAGAACACCGAUUGGGAGCAUGCGAAGAAGGAAACGAGGGACAUGAUGAACUUGGUUGACACCCUCAUCGUCGCCACCCCUUUAAAAGACAUGCAAGAACGACGGAUGGCAAUCCGCAAGGUCGAGAACCGUGGAUCUAUUCGAUUCACAUGCCAAAACAUCAUUUCCUCUGUUUUUACCCGGUUUUUCAGUUAAUUAACUAGUCAAUUCUCUUCUUCUGAAUUAAUUAUUGAGCCAAAUAUUUUUGCCUCCGUUUCAAAAAGAAAAACAUCAUAGCCUCCCCGAUGCACAUAGUAAUGUGUGAUGUAUCUUGAUGAAUGAUGGAGUGACAUUAUUGAACACUCGUUGAAAUGUGGUCCUGCGGUGGGAGAGGGUGAGGCGUGACAUUCUUUCCUUCUCAUCUCAUGGUACUUCCUCCAUUCCCUAAAUAUAAGUCUUUGUAAAGAUUCCACCAGUAGACUAGAUACGGAUGUAUAUAGGCAUAUUUUAGAGUGUAGAUUCACUCAUUUUGCUUCGUAUGUAGACUCCUAGUGAAAUCGCUUAAAAAACUUAUAUUUAGGAACGGAGGGAGUAGUUGUUAUCCUGUUGGCAAAAAGAAACUGAGCAUAAACUUUCAGUUCGAAAAGCGUCCAACCACAAAAUAUGAUAUGCACUGUUAUUUGCUCCGGGUAUUCUCGAGGCCAGUAAGACACACCUACACGCGCCAAAAGUGAUGCGCGGAACAAAUAAUCCAUCCACUGACCAAAAUUUAUAAAAAGCUUAAAGUUUUAUUUAUUCUUUUGCAAAACAAAAGGGGAGAGCAGCUCGCGGCAGAGCAACCGGAGCAUGACACGGUCGAGAGCUAGCUGUGCGCCCUCAUCUAGACGAUUAGUCAAAGAGAGUACGUACACGGUACACAACUACUAUUCCAAAGGUGGUCACUUUGGUUUUUUUUUUUUMUUGCGACCAAGCAUAGGGUUUUUAUGCCAUAAUAACAGAGUUACAAUCUUCAGAGACUAAAUCGCUAAUGCAUGGGGGAGGAUUGCCCAGCCAACAGGCUGUGCUAUCGUCAUAUCUAUCAUAGUUCGCUAGUUAACAAUGUGCAACUCCAUUUUGUUCUCGAAGAAUUUUGACGGGAAUAACCACCCAAGUGCUGAAGUAAAAUUUGAUCUCCGAAACCAAAUGGCCGGACCGAACGCAUCGAGUCCCACAAGAGAGCAGUCGUAGGACACGCGAGCGGGACAUUCUAUGUCCCGGUCAAAUAGACUACAGUACGCAGAAUUUCCAAUGUGUCUCCUGAAUUUCUCUGCAUUAGUUGGAAGUGAGCCAAGCAAAGUGUCGCAUCUUGGGAGGGAAAGCCGCGCCCAAGAUCAACUUCCGUAUGGGGCGCACCCCCAGAGGUGAGGAACUAGACGCCCCUAUACCCUCAUGAUCGCUGGUCAUUACAAAGUUAUACACACUCUUCACAGUCAGGUUGUCCGAUCUAUCCCAUGGCCAAGAGAUGAAAUCCUCCUGUUGCCGCGGCUUGUUAAUUGUAUCGGUUUCCCUAAAGCACAUUCAGACGUGACAUAAAUCUUACACAUAUAAGUUCAAACAUCAUUAUUGGUAGGUAAAGAUUCGUAUGAGUAAUUUUUUUUUAAUAGUAGUACAUGAUUCAACCAUUUAAAUGCGUAAUAAAUAUGUCGUAUCUAUAUGCACCACGUACCCUAGAAAACACCCUAAUUGUAUAUUCAGAAGAAAUGAAACGUUCCACAGUCCAAAAGAGUAUGCUUCUUUGUGCAGAAAAGUGGCACGCAGCUUAGCUUGACUUUGCCCCGCUGGAACAGACUUAUUUAUCAUCAGUCCUGUCCGUUUCACCUUGCCACGUGCGCAUGCAUGCAACCUACUGUAUGUGUGUAACUGUACAUACAUAUAUUUUUUUAAGAUAUAUACACAGUACCAUAUACUCCCUCCGUUUCUAAAUAUAAGUUUUUUUAAAAGUUUCACUAAAAGACUACGUACGAAGCAAAAUAAGUGAAUCUAUACUCUAAAAUAUGUCUAUAUACAUUCCUAUGUAGUCCCCCGAUGAAAACUUUAAAAAGACUUAUAAUUGGGACGGAGGGAGUACUUGCAGACACGUAUCUUAUCACCAUGAUGAUGCGUGGUCGUCCUUGCCUAGGUACGUACGUACGUCUGCACGGCUGGAAGGAUUGGAAACCACGGCGGUCGACGGACAGCGACGCCGCAACCGCAUCCACCGAUACACAUAUAUAUCCAACGACCGCGACCCCUCGAUCCCAGACGUCGACACGUCUCCCUCCACGCGCGCGCGCACACACACUCACAUUUUUGCAUCGACCGUCCAAUCGCUUUUCGACGUGAUGGGCACAAUCGGAUGAAAAUGCUACCGAGCUUUAGCUGAAGAAGAUGAGAUAGCGUGUGCAUGCAUGUACUACCGGCCGGUGCAACGCAUGUGCGGAUGCACAAUUAAUGUGUUAACAGUGCCUAACCAGCUAGUGUCUAGUUAGUCAAUGUACCUAACACACGGGUUGGUUAGGUUCCAUACAUACAUUUGAGAAACGAGAUAUGAAAAGCAGCAGCAGUUGAGCACCAUGAGUUGGUGAUCAUCGGGAGAGAAGGAUGCAUACAUACGUGCCGAUCGGAAAAGAGGAUUCAAGUGAGAGUAAUCAGAGACAUAUAUCAUAUCAGUAUCAUAGUCUGAUCGAUGAACAAUUUUUUGCUUCCUUUCCUACGAUUGACCAAAGUAAAAAAACACAACGUAAGUAAGUACAUGCAUAUGCACGGCAAGAACGAUCGAUGAACCACAUGGAGGACAUGAACACAGCACGAAUGAGAAAUCAACGAAAAGAAAAAAUUAUUACCGCCGGCGUCGCGACCCUAAUACGUAUAAACUUACUUAUUAUUAUGAACACGGAAUCAACGGAAUCCAAUUGAAACGUACGCAUGCCCGCGCGCUUUUGAUCGCCAUGGUGACCACGGCGGCCGGCUCCAUGGACCGACAGGCCGGUGCAGCAGGUAGCUCCNUGUGACGACCGAUCACAAGGCCAGUGCUCCGGCGACCGCCACGGCCGCGAUCGCGGCCGCGCGCCACGCCGCCGGGAUGCCCGGCGCGGCGUUGGGCCGGAAGCCGGGGUCCUGCGGGUAGAGCGGCCCCGGCGGGGUGAGGUAGGACGGCAUGUUGGGCGGCGUGAACCACCCGGACGGCGUCGGGUUGUACCCGCCCCCGGACGGCGCCGGGUUGUACCCACCCCCGGACGGCGUCGGGGUGUAUGGCGCGGGCGUGUACCCCGGCGACGGCUCGGUGGGAGGCGGGGGGCAGUCGGCCGUGGGCGUGGGCGGCGGGUAGACGGCCUCGGGCGGGGGCGGGGAGUACACGGGCGCCGGCGGCGGGUAGUAGACGGGCGGGGGCAGCACGGGCUCCGGCGGCGGCGGGCUGGAGUAUGUGCACGGGAUGCCGCACGGGUUCCCGCACCCGCCCGUGCACUUCUCGCCGCCGUCGUCCGCCACCGCAACCAUCACCAGCGCCGCCAGCAGCAGCAGCCCGCACGGCUCCACCGUCCACCUCGCCAUGGCACCGAAAGCAAGAAAAGCUCGCUCGUCUUCCUCCGCCUCUCCUUUUGUGUGUGUGUGCUCGGGGUUGGUCUCCUGCUCUCGGUGGGGAAUUUGUGUGGGUUAUAAUGGUCGGCCUCCCUCUCCGCUUUAGCGGUUCGGCUUUGCGGUGGAGGCCGGUCGUCGUCGUCGUCUCGUCUUCUUUUCCUCUGCCCUGAGUGUGUGUGUGUGUGUAUUCUAGCAGCAGGUACAAACCAAGCGGCAGAAUAUUGUUCUGGUGGCUACUAACUACUGCCAGUACCAAGUUAAGCAUGCUGCAUUACAUUAUACUCCUCCUACUACUACCGACUUCCUAAUCAUGUCGUGGAUGAUGGACCAAUGCUCGUUCACGUCCUUGCAUAAAAAAGAAAGAAAGAAAGGUGACGUGAUUCAAACGGCUCCAUCCUCUUCUCUGCUCUGCAUGAUUAUCUCGGAGGGUGUUUGUUUCCACGGACUUAUUGGUUUUGGGACUUAAAAAAGUCCCUAUAAGUCCCGCCUAAACCAAACACAAGGGACUUAUUGGGACUUAUUAUGGUGAUUUGGGACUUAUCAAAUAAGACUCUCUAGUAGGAGCUUAUUGGGACUUAUUGCUCGUUAGCCCGCGAAAAAACGUCUUCCGCAUCGAUCGAGUGGCCGCCGCCCUACCCCUCGUCGCUCGCACCGCCCUACCCCUCGUCGCUCGCAGGCCCCAAUCGCCGCCGCCCCACCGCCACGUCGCUGUCCGCCCCGUCGCCGCCCGUUCGCCGCCCCGUCGUCCCGUUUUCUGCCUCGGUUCGUNCAUCGCUGGAGUUUUUUGGUCCGCAUGGAUAUGUGAACAAGUGUAUUUUAUUGGGUGCAACAUGAACUUAUAAGUCCCUGUAAACAAACAGAUAGGGACUUAUGACUUAUAAGUUGGGACUUAAAAAAGUCUUAGGACUUAUGAAACAAACAAGGCCUCAGUCGAUCGAUCCUACCAUACAAGCCCUACCAGCCUACCACCACUAGAAAGAAAAAAGAAAGAACACACAUCUUUCUCUGCAUCUUUUAUUUUCUAGCUAGUCGGCCGCUGAAAGCCUGAAAGUGACCGGAAUGUUUUUCAUUUCUUUCGUGCGUGUGUGUGUGUCUAUCUAUGUAUCGGUAGGCACGGAACAAUAUGUGCUUGGAAUAAAUCGGAGUUUCCAAGUGCCGGAUGGAUGGAUAGAAACUGCUUCUGCUACGUGGUGCUACUUUUUGAAUUUAUUCUUGAGCAGGGACUACAGAUUUAUUCUGCUCCUGCCAUGUCGGCGGUUAGUGGGUCUUGAGAACGUUGAGACGCGCCUAAUCAUCUUCGUCUUCUGCCCUUGUUUUUCUCUUUGGUGAUAGCGAGAGAUUUGGUUGAGGCCUUGACGCGUCAGUGAUGUCCGUUCUGAAAACCCUCCUACAAGUGAUGAGUAACUCCCUGCCAAAUGGCAGGUUCUUGAUGUGGCUCCUAAAUUACUUCAGUUUCUUUCUUUUUCAGUUACUCUGCCUUUCUGACACAAGGUUAUUGUGCACUACUGUGAACCCCCACAGCAAUCAUCUUCAUCUUGUGCUGGUUUAUUCCUUGGUGAUGACAUUGAGAUGUUUGGUUUGAAGCAUUGACGCUUCGGUGAUGCUGGCCAUAUGGAAAGGUUUCUUUCUUUCUUUCUUGGAAAGGUUUGUAGUAGCUUUAAUUGCAGCAAUUGAUACUCAUAUUCAGUUCUACCUACAUUCGUGUUUCUUCAGGAAAUGAAGCAGUAGGAAAUUAUUCACAGGCACCAGUAACCGUAGGUUCAGUACUACUUCAUUCUUAAUAAAAUGGCUGCAUGCAUCACUCGAUGCAGAGGCCGGGGCGAUGCCUGCUUUUCGAAAAAAAAAACCGUAGGUUCAGUACUGAUCUUUCUACUUCUUCACUUACUUUGGCCGCAACAGAAAAUAAAUGAAUGAACCCAGGAACUGACCAAGCAUGGGCUUGUGCUCUGAAAGACUGUUUGGUCAUUGCCAUGUGUGACAGCACCACAAGGUGAUAGUACUAGCGUCCAACAGUGCUGCCAAGACUUGAUUAACAUUCUCAAGCAAGAAUAUAUGCAUGUUCCAGAAUCCAGGCCAUGCAUCUCAACAUCUGAUAAAGCACCAAUCAUACAUACACAGAUCCAAAUGGUACUACUCCAUGUGUAUUAUCAGGUCUAACAGAGCCCCAGCAUCCAUCCAGUUGCAGCGAAAAGAACAAAAUCAAUCAGAAAAAGAAGAAGAUGAUGCGAAAAGGAGGAACCCAACCGAUCCCUUUUAGAUUGUUUGUUCGUAGCCUAUUGAACUGGAAUUAAGACCUACGAUUACAUACAUAUGUAGAGUAUAUCAUAUGAGAUUUAGACAUCAGCACAACGGUGGAACUGAAUCUCCUGAUGAACUCGCGCCUACAGUACAUCCGUCAGACAGAAUCACUGCUGCAGGAGCAGCAAGAAAGCAGAGCACACGGCGGCCACAGCCAGCCAUGGGGCCGUUCUAGUGGGUCUCGCCGUCGCUGCCGCCGCGAGGAACCCCGCGUCCUGGGGGAACCCCGACCUCGGCGUCGGCGUCGACGACGGCUGCUGCUCCCAGGGGAAGGGCCCGAUCGCCGGCGGCCUCUGCGGGCAGAAGGGGAACUGCGUCGGCGACGUCACCGUCGGCGGCGUGCCCGGGACGGGGCACGGCGGCACGCACUGCGGGCCCGUGCACAGGCACACCGUGCCGUUGCCACCGUCCGCCCGCGCGCCGUCCGCCGACAGCAGCAACAACCACAUCCACGCGCCCGCGACGAGCAUGACCGCCGCCCGCGGAGACGACGGCAUCGUCAGCCGCUCGCCGGCCGCCGCUUCCCCGGUCGGAAUCUUCUUUUUGGGUGACGGUGGGUGGGUGGGUGGGUGGGUGGAGGCGGCACCGCUGUAGCAGCGAUGAGCGUGGUGCGGCUGGAGGCUGGGGGCGUCCCUACCCUGCCACGCCCGAUUGGUUAAGUAGCGGUGGAGAUAGAGACGUGACGUCCCGUCCAUGGCCACGGUGAAACCACCGCGACCGGAUAACAACGGCGGUGACGACCGCCAUUAGCGAGGGUCAUGCGGGUUUCCAAUUAAGCUCGGGUGAGGUUGCGACGUCGCGAUCGUCGCCGGGCGUCGGUGCGAUCAACGGUACAGAAGUUGAAAGAUGAGACCUUUGGCUUUGGGCAGCUAGUGCCUAGUGGUGGCGAGUGACAACAACGAUGGUGACAUCCGUCCAUGGAAAAGAAGCGUUUGCUUCUUCACUGAACUGAACUUGUGAAGUGUGCUGCAGACGUUAGUUAGUUAGCUAGUUAGUUAAUUACAGGUGCUGUUCACAAGACGUCAGUACAUCUUCAGUUAAUGUCAGCAUACAUACAUACAUCGAUGAUGGAUCACUUCAGUUGACAGGUACUAGUAGUAAGUAAGCAAGCAAGUAAAGGAGGGAGUGACAAGUGUGCCAACACUGUCCAGUAACCUCCCUCUCAAUCAUCUUAUCCGUGGAUAGGAUACGCUACUGACUGUCUGGUCAGUUUCAGUUAGAAUCGGGUACAUGAACUGCUGUUGCCUGUUGCUUCACUGCUGCUCGACCAUCCUUCCUCCUCGUUGAAGCAGCAAGCAAGGUCCCCUUUCCGAAUCAUGGCAUCCUGCAUGAUCCCACUGCAUGAUCUGCCUGCCUCCCUGAAAUCAUGCAUGCGGCUUACUCACUGCAGGCAAGGAGUUUGGAGCGUUUUGCAAGAUGGUUUCAGGGUACAGCGGUGGAGAGAGGAGGGGUGUGGGUGGAUGGGGACUGCGCACCAAAUCCCACGACUGCUUUGGCUUGACCCUGAUCGCAGGCUAUUGAUUGAAAUAAAUAAAGCCAAGUGGGCAGCAACAACAACUGGAAGGCAGCAAGCACUUUUGGUCUGGCCCUAUCCUUCCUUCCUGUCUUCAGUCCUUCCCUCACGAACAACCUGAUUUCCUCUCUUCUUCUUUUUUUGCCUUAUUAUUCAAGAGUACCCCUGCUUCUCAAUUCGCAUGGUGUUGUAGAUGUUCUCUGACUCCCCCCCACAGAUUACAACCGUCGAUGUCAACAUGAAACACUAAGAAACUGUGCUUGCCUGUGUCAGCUUUUGGUUCUAACUACUGUACCUGCUUGGCAUGGAACAGAUUGGGUGAAGUAAACCAUGGAGGUCAGGUGGCUGCACAUCACAGGUUGUUGCCAUGUGACCAUCGGUAAAAAGAUUUGUCAUGUCGACGGGUCUGAUCCUGUUCUCAACUUCUUCUUCCACAACAAAGUCUUGCUAUGAUACUUUGGAGGAGUUUCUCUUUGGGAGUGACUAAUGAACAGUCGUCUGUUUUUAAAUUCAUGUCAGGUCGUUUUUUGUUCCAAUAGCUGAUUGACACGUGUCUAAGUAUGGUUCUAACUACUGUACCUUUUUUUUAAGAAAAGGGGGAUUACCUCCGGCCUCUGCAUCAGUCUAUCUUCUGUACCUGCUUGGCAUGGAACAGAUUGGGUGAAGUAAACCAUGGUGGUCAGGUGGCUGCACAUCACAUGUUGUUGCCAUGUGACCAUCGGUAAAAAAGAUUUAUCAUGUCGACGGGUCUGAUCCUGUUCUCAACUUCUUCUUCCACAACAACAUCUUGCUACUUCCAGAUGAUACUUUGGAGGAGUUUCUCUUUUCCAGAUGAUGAAGUGUGUACGUUCCUACUUCUUAUGGUGGUGAUUCUCGGUUCUGCCGAAAAGAAGACAUGGCCACAUGGGCCAGGUAUCAAAAGAUUCCAUAAGACGACUACAGAGGCAUGCUUGAAAAUUUCUAAUAUAUCCUUCAUUUCUAAGGGAAUUUAGGGACCAUCGAGUAAACUUUUUGUAAACUAAGCAAAAUGUUUGUUAUUAUUUAUUUUUUAACUAUAUGUGAGUUGCCUAGUUAAUUACUAUAAAAUUGUCGAGUCAUACAACAAAUACAUCACGACAAACUUUAACAUGCUCCCUCUAACACCCUCUUUUUAUAUGUGAUGUAAAAAAGGUAAGAGUUAAUCAGACCACUAACUAAUAAGAUCAUGUGAAAACAGGGGGUAAGAGGGAACAUGUUAAAACUGGUCAUACAUCAGAAAGAUUGAUGUGAAUAAAAAAUCAUUCUUAAACAUGUCAAAGUUGCACAUUGGUCUCACCAUCAUCACUUCCCACCAAGCGCCAAACCCUGAUAAACAAAGUCAACACAAUAAUAAGCCACACAAAAAACGUUUCCAAGCAACCAGCCACACAUUUCGACGACAAUGCAACUCAGAUUAUGUUGCAACCUUCACGAGGGAUACGCAAAGGAACAGAUCACCCGGUAGCCUAGAUCGUCACCACUCGCAGCCACCACAACAGCUCCGACUUCAUAACAUCAAGCACCAAGACAAUCUUGGCCCAUGUCUUAUGUUGUAUUUUGCUUUCCUCGCUUUUGCUGACCGCUUCGUGUAAAUACUGUGAAGCCUCCUUUCUUACUCUAAAAGUAGAGGGGCCCCACUAUAUAAUAAAAUAAUAUAAUUAUUGGACAUAUACGAUUAAUGUAGAACCUUCUUUAAUAUUUUUUAGAAUCUAAAAUGGACACAACAACAUAUAAAGAUAUAAUACAUCUUCGCCGUACAAAUUUGCAUUACACUGUUAACAAGUUUUUUUUCCUUAGAUUUAGAUGAAAUUCAAUUUAAAAAAAUGUCUCAAAAUAUUUUUUAAAUAGCAUAAAUUUCAUGAGUUUUACUUUUGGAAUGAUGUAUUUGUAAACAUAGAUCCUUUAGUUACACGCCAAUGAAUUUUGGAUUGUGAUACUACCAACAAAGUUAUAAGGUUAAUAUUGUUGAACACGACAAAAUAAAUAUCUGAAAGUAGGGACCCCGCACUAUACUAUGAAAUAAGAUAAUUAUUAUACAUAUACAUUAAUGUAGGACCUUUUUAAGAUUUUUCACAAUAUAAAAUGGACACAAAAACAUAUAAAGAUAAUACAUCUUCGUUGUACAAAUUUACAUUACAGUGUUGUUAAUUUUUUUCCUUAUAUUUAAAUAAAAUUCAAUUUAACAAAAUGUUUAAAAAUAUUGUUUUAAUAACAUAAAUUUCAUAAGUUAUAAUUUUAGAAUAAUUUAUUUUUAACAUAGAUCCUUUAGUCGCACACCAAUAAAUAUUGAAUUGUGAUACUAAUAACAAAGUUAUAUGCUUAAUAUUGUUGAACACGACAAAAAUAAAUGUCAGUUGGCAUUGCAUGUAAAUAAUAUAUUAUUUUAAAAUACUUAAGAUGUAUUGAUAAGUUGAAUUUUAAAAAUGUAAAAAUGUUUAAUAUAAUUAUGUGAUGGUCAUUGGUUGUUAGUAAUCUUUCCUGACUACAUGAUAAUACUCACGUUGCAUAAGGAUUGACACGGAGAAGAUAUUGACAUAAAUAAGAUGCAACAGGAAAUGAGAGUCAUGAUGCAGGAUACGAUAAAUGAUAUUGACAUGGAGAAUACGCAACAGGAAAUGAGAUUUACGUCACAGCUCUAACAGCUGCGAAAGACAAUCCUACGGACAAGUUACUGAAGGCAACUACUAAGUCAACACUGAGACUCUAAACUCUUUUGUUCCAACUUGUCUCGAAAACAUUGACCCGUGCUCUCGUGAAGUUUGGGAAAAACAGUUUCACCACGGAAUGAUAGGAUAUGCGUGUGACUUGAAAGUUGUUCUCACUGGGUCUUACAUUGUAGAGGAUUCCUGUUUGUAUCUUCUAUUUUUGGAUCUGUGUCGAUAAUGCAUUUAACCUCGUUAUUCUAAUGUUAUUAGUUAUUUAUAUUAUAUAUUCUCACCAAGUAUUAUUCAGAGGUGAACAAUUAAACAUGUGGCAAGUAUCAAGCAAAGUAUAGACAGAGUUAGGAACAAGCUGAAUAAACCCUCAGUUUGUGAAAUGUGCGACUUCACUUAAACAUGGAAUUGAACUUUUAAACCAGUCAAGUUAUUUGCAAUUACGGUCCCAUACUAUAAUUGAUGCAAAAGGGAAUGCACUAAAUAAUCAAAAAUAGGACGGAAAUCACCUUGGGGAAGUUGGAACCUGAUUACACGCAGGGAACCAUUACUUUUUGUAUGGAUUGGUUAGCCAAUGAUUUGAUUAAAGUGCAAGUUGCAAAGCAGACAUUUCAUGUUGUCCCGAUGAUUUGAUGAAAUUGAUUCUUUGUUUAAUCCUUUUGGUUAUAACCCAAGGUUAGUUGAUCAUACAAUUAUAACAAUCCAAACUGCUAGUCAGCUACACUAAACUUAAGUAAGUAUUAAAUUAAAUCAAUUCUAGAAGUGGGAAGCCAUAAUAAAAGAACUGAGAUGACUUAUUCUCAAUGUAAUUAUGAAAUGCAUAUAAUUAGAUGUUAAAAAUGUAAAAAUGUUUAGUAUAAUUAUGUGUUGGUCAUUUGUUGGUAGUCAUAUUUGUCCACUACAUGAUAAUACUCGCGUUGCAUAAGGAUCGUUGUUCAUUCUUUUCUCGGGGCAUCAACAUGAUGUGUGAUGUGUCUUUUCUGUUUGAAGGGCAUCACACAAAUGCAGUGGACCCAUCCAUGCCCCCCAUCGGCACAGGCUCCCUCCUUUUCGAUAAUGAAGGACAUUAAGAGAGGAUUAACCACUCAGAAACAAAUUCCAACCACUGACCUGAUAAGCGUUUCAAUCUGUCGAUUUGUCAAAUCGUAUCAUCUUCCCCAGAUCCUGAGUUCAUCAAUGUCAUUUGCAGUAUGACCGAGGAGAUGGUGGAUCCCGUCCUAUCUCCGCAUAGCAAGCAGCUAGCCGUCCGCGAGAGAAUCAAGAGGUAGGGUGCAAUUUUUUUAGUGUGCUCUCUUGUGUCAGUUGUUUCCGCGAAUAAUCUUUUGACCGUGUGUCAUUUACUCAUUUGCACGGGCAAGGGCGGCGUGGAGUUCGUUGCCGGGGCCACAACAUCUCUGCUUCCGGCAAAUCGGAUGAGGACACAUGUUCGAGAUCGUCUAUCCAAUUGUGAAUCUGUGAUUGGUCCUUCAACGGUGUGGUGAUUUAAACCUGUAUUUUCUUGUCCGUUUAGGGUUGGGAUCAUCCUUAUAGGUCAUGUGGAAUUCAAGUUCGACCUCGCCUAGUACGAAUGGCUAGAAGUGGAGAGCAAGCAGGUCUUGUCCAUUUAGUGCUAGAAGUAUAAUUGUGUACAGAUGGAAUAAUUCAAGUAUACAACGACUUGUUUUGUACUCCAUGUCUCACCUCACGAUGUAUACUCUAUAUAACCCCCCAUGAGGGUCACAACACAAUGCAACAGGAAUAUUUGAGCCAUCCUACUAUUUCCUAUGGAUAAACAUAGGUUUGCAAAUACAAUAUUUUUUGGUUUGCUAACUGCACAUACCGUACACGAGUGGGUAAACAUUGUUUUGAUUAUUGGGUAAACAUAGGUAAUCACCUAUUUGCCUAACCAAUAAUGACAGUCGAUUACAUGGCCAUUAGUGGCUGGUUUGAGGUCAAUGCGAGUUCCUAAUUCAGCUCCGGUCACGUUGAGACAUUUUGAUCGACCCUCGUGUGGGUGCCGCGUCACGCAGCAACGUUACAAAAGACUUUUUCAGAGGUGAAAGAUGAGACCUUUGAGCUGCCACCAGUGACAGGUGACAAUUAGGACAGUGACAUCCAUCCAUGUAAAUGGAAGGUGUAAGUCACCACAGCAAGCAUCUUUUUCAGCUCAAAAGGUGAAGGAUUUGUUGAGAAGAAAUCUGGACUCUGAUUGCACAGAAGAAAAAAAGAGAAAGUUGACGCUAGGAAUGGAAAGUCAACUGAUCAAGCGUUUGCUUCACUGAACUGAACUUGUGAGGUGUGCUGGAGAAGGCAGUUAGUACAUUAUCUUCAGUUAAUGAGCUGCGAAAAGGAAGGCAGCAGCUAGUUGUAGUACAACAUGUCAGAGUAUACAUCGAUGGAUCGAUCAGUUGACAGGUAAGUAAAGGGAGGGAGUGACAAGUCUGUCAACACUGUCCAGUAACCUCUCAAUCAUCUCAUGUGUGUGUGGAUAUACCGCUGACAGUCUGUGGAUAUACAACACAGCUGAGGAACUGCUGUUGCCUGUUGCUUCACUACUGCUCGACCAUCUUUCUUGAAGCAAGCAGAGCAAGGUCCCAUUUCGGAAUCAUGGCAUCCAUGAUUUCCCUGUCUGCCUGAAAUCCUGAAAUCAUGCAUGCGGCUUACUUACUGCAGGUAAGGAUUUUGGAGCGUUUUGCAGGAUGGAUGGUGGAGAGAGCAGAGCAGGACAGGAUGGGGACUGCCCACCGAAUCCGACGACUGUUUUGGCUUGAUCCUCAUUGCAACGCAUGUACGUAGUUGGAAGUAAAGCCAAGUGGGCAGCAACCGCCUCCACUGGAAUGCAGCAGGCAGCGGCAGCAUUUGUGGUGUACUGACUACUACUGACCCUAUCCUUCUUUCCAGGACAUACAUACAUACACACAGCUUUGUAUGUGGCGUACGCGAGAUGAUUGUGGUUGUCGUGGGUGUCCCUCAUCUUCACUUCUUCAUUCACAAAAAACAUCAUCUCCUUUACUUUUUGCCCUAUUGAAAAAUACCCUUAGAUAAAACGGUGGCCACACCUUCUCUGAAUCCGCACAUAUCAUCACAACGACUGAUGUGAACAUGAAACAGAAAGAAACUGCAUCUGCCAGUCAGUGUUUUGCGUCAGAGCUAGCUGGUCCUUCUGGUUUUGUAACUGUUGGCUCAUCGCUGAACAACUAUCCUGCAGCUCGACUAGCCCUGUACGCACAACUCAACUCAACAUACACGAACUAGUUGUAACACUUGAUAUCUUGCUGGCGCUCACGCAAACACCGGGACCAGAACACAUGCACGCGAACGCAUCAACACGAAGAUGGCCAGAGGCACGAAUCGUGCCUUACAAUAGUCUCUUUAUUGCUUUUCGUUUUUCUUUAUUUAUCCUUCUCCCAUAGUUUUCGUUGGUACAACUCGAUAGCCUGCCACUGCUUAUAUAGACGUAGCCAUGCAGCCACACACGAAACAUCAUCAAUAUCCUAAACCGGUUAGUACAUGGACAUCAUAGUCCAACUCCAACUCGGUUAACACAUCACCGUAUCAAACUUUCCUAGUUUGACUACUCCUAACAUAGCACAACUUAGUACUUCUAUCCUAACUCACACGAAGCAUAUUUUCCUAAACUAAUUACACGGCAACGUUGAUCACACUAUUAAUCCUAACCGAACUUAACGAGCUAUCCCACGUUUGGAUUAUCCUAUAGUAACUACCUGACUGAUGAUUGGCAUGAACAAUGAGGCAAAAAGAAAAACAAACAUCACAGGUUGUUGUUGUCAUGUGACGAUCGGUUGAAAAGAAAAACAUCACAAGGUGUUUGUUGUCCUGAGUUUUCUGUUCGCAGAUGAAUGGGUUUCCUUUUGGUUCUCCUUGCACACCGACCCAGUUUCUCACACAUCUCUCUUCCUGCUGCACCAAACCCUUUGACAUUGCAGAGGAUUUUCUCUUUUCCGGACGAUGUAACACACGUUCCUGUACUACUUAUCAUCGGUUAUGGCGUCCCAUAGCAAAAAGAAAGACAUGCGCCGGUUGUUGAAAUAUCUCAUAACACGACUGCAGGAACAUGUAGAGAAAAUCUAGUACUUCCUCCGUUGCGGUUUAAAAGACGUGUUUAAAAAUUCUCUAGAACCUAAGUGGUUAUUGAUUCACUGUAAGAUGGAUGGAAAAAUUACAUUCACACUACGCAUGCAUAUAGAAAUAAUACAAUGGAGUAUUAAUUAACUUCUAUGAGUAAAUACAAUGCGCCCUAAACCUUGUCUAUUGUGGAAAUGCACGUAAUUUAAUCGUACCUUAUAAACUUUGACGGAGAAAGUAUAGUAGUAUAUAUAUAUAUUUUCAUGAAAUUCAAAGAUUACCAAGUUAAGGAAAAAAAUCUCCUAUUACAACGCACGACCAAUUUUAACAAAAAAAAUUAGCAACGCACGACCGCCUCCACAUAUGCAAUGCUUAUUUGCUCCACCUUCCUUUGAGCCGAGCACAGAUUUGACGGUCUUUCCGACCGAGCCAUCGCCCACUAGCGAUUCUUUCACACUCGUCAAAGAGAUUGGCCGCUAGCUAGCGAAGCGCGGGGGAGGGGGAGGUGCCGGAGGAGACGAGCUGUGGAGGGUGAGCUUCGGGGUGAGGUCCAUUGACCCACUUAGCACCAUUUUUAUUAAUUAAGUAUUAUGGAGCUGCCCAGUUGGUUAUGAAAAAACUGGGUGAAAACCGCCGCAACCA